UUUUUUUUUUUUUUUUUUUUUUCUAGUCAAAGUGUUCAAUAGUGUCGAAUGAAUAAAUUAUUUUUUGAGUAAUGAUCGUCAUGAAGUUUUUAAUUAUUUGGGUUGUUGUUCGCUUCAUUUGUAAUAAUAGAAAAAUGGAAAGUUUGUUGGGUUAAUUAAUAGAAUAAUUAAGGAUAAAUUAUGAAAUUUUUUAUUAAAGCAUUGUUUCUCUUUCAUAAUAAUGUCAUCAUAUAAAUAAAAAACAAAGAGUUAAUUAUAGUUAAACGUAUGAACAUGUGUCACCAUUUUUGAAGAGUAAUAAAGGUACACCUUGGAUUAAAAUAGUAAGAAAAAUACUCUAUAGUCUUAAUUAAUACAACAAAAUUGUUUAAAUAAUCUCAACAUAGUCUUUUAAAAUUUUAAUUUGAAAACACCCCUUAAAUUAAUUAUUUUCAAAAAGUUCGUGUUCUUAAUUUACCGGAAGUAAUUUAUAGGGUAAAUUGACAACCGCAACACGCACGCGAGUAGUUCACUUGCGGCGAGUUGAAAACCGCAAAACCCUCGCUUAAACCCUCACACCUUUUUCCCUCUCUGAAAUCAAACUUCAUCUUCUUCCUCUGCCGCCGAGAUUCCUUCCAAUAUUUCUCUUUCUCUAUCGUCGCCAUGGCUGCCUCAGAGGUCUCUCCUUCUCUCUAUCUAUUUGUAUAUUAUAUGUAUAUACGGAUUGUAUUUGUGUUUUACUUUCAGUGGGUCGUGGUCGUAUUAUUGUGUUGAGUCGAAUGGGGAAGCUCAAUGAAUUUGUGAAUUAUUACAAAUUCGGAGCUUUUAUCUCAGGUUCCGACGACGGCCGUGGAUGCGAUUAGGUUUGGCUUCUUCACCGACGAAGAGGUUCGGAAGCACAGCUUUGUGAAGGUUACCAGCCCAAUUUUGUUCGAUGACUCAACACACACGCCCGUGAAUGGUGGCCUUUACGACAAGGCGAUGGGCCCACUAGGGGAUGAACGCGGCCAACUGUAAUGCCACUUUUCAUGCCCAUUCUUUGCAUUCUAAGCUCUCUGCACAUUCGUUUCAAUGGUUUCAUGGAUUUAAUUUAUACAGUUAAAACAUAUUAUUUGUUUUGUUUUAUUAUUUAUUAUUUUAAGGGUUAGUGAUUUACAGAGGUAUGCUUAUGUUUGACUAAAUAGAGGCAAAACUGAACCACUUUAUUUUGGAAUGAGUAUUCUACUCUCAGAGAUGUGUGGAAACUGUAAUUUGGGACCAAGCCGAUAAUGAUGUUUUAUUUGCUUAGUAUUGUCCACUGUUUUCUUCUUGCAUUACCAUGAAUGGUCUCGGAGAAUCAAUAAUAUGGCAUAGAAUGAAGUUCUACAAAAUCUUGUAUGCCAGAACGUUAAACAAAAUCUUGAUACAUUGUUAACUUAUGACCUGUUAGAGAAUACUAAGUUUUUUCACGAGAAUGAAGUGUCUUUUUGGAAUCUGUAUUAUUAUCAUAUUUCUUAUUCUUACUUUCUUAAAUUCCAUUUUUUGUAGUACUUUAUAAGUGAUUGAUUUUGGUCAGUGCAGCUAUCUAGUUCGAAUCCUGAUGUUUUGACUUAUUGUUGAUUGACUUAGUUGUUUAUUUUUUUUAUGCAGUUGCCAAACGUGUGGUCAGACAGCAUAUACGUGUUCGGGUCAUUGUGGUCAUAUUGACCUUGUUUUGCCAGCUUAUAAUCCCUUGCUGUUCAACAUUCUCCACAAACUUCUCCAAAGAACCUGUUUCUUCUGCUACCAUUUCCGGACAAGCCGACAGCAUGUAAUUGAACUUUGGUGAAAUGAAAUUAGCGUCUUCUCUAGCCCUUUGUGGUGUUCCCUUAAUUUUAUUGCUUUCAGAAGUUUUUUUCUUGAUCACCUUAUAUCCUCUCUAACUUCUUUCCCCUUCUCUGUUGUGCUUCUUUCUUGUUUGAUUAAGGUUGAGAAACAUGUUUCCCAAUUGAAACUCAUAAUGAAAGGUGAUGUUCUUGGGGCUAAAAGGUUAGAGUCUGACUCACCUAGUGAAUACUCAGACUGCAACGGGAGUGGUAAUCACAUAGACAAUGAUUCGAAGCAGCAAGGAUGGACUUCUCUUCAGUUUACAGAGAUAAUGUCUGUUUUGGAUAAGGCUUUACCGACACAUGGGAAAGAGUGCAAGAAUUGCAAGGCUAAAAAUCCCAAAAUCAGUAAACCUACUUUUGGAUGGUUCCAAAUGGUAUGGUCUUCCAUACUCAGUAAAUGGAACUAUUAGAGAAAUUAUUAGUAUCUGCUUUCAUAGUUAUUAAAAAGAUAUGCUUCCUUAUUUUCUGUUGACUUUUAAACUUAUGGUUAAGAAGUGGUGUAUAAAAUAUUACUUCUGUAAUUAUUAGUAUGUCCUGGCAUUCAUUUUCUUUGGUGGUAAAAAUGAAAGGCAGUGGAACUCCAAUAUUUUGAUGAAUGUGUCAGCAUGAGAUUGUGCCAACUUGCUUACAUAUGUCAAUGUUUAUAUGACCUAAUUUUUCUGUAAGGUUUUUAGUAGGCAUUUUGUUGUCCUUGGACGUUGGUAGACACUUCUAUCUCUUGUGCCUGUGGCUUCCUUUGUUUUUGUUGUUCAUUAAUAAAAUUUUCUUCCUUCAUGUUUGAAAGAAAAGUUUAGGAAGACUUCUCUAAUAACUUUGUUGCAUAGAUAGAACAUUGUUUCUGCUACUUGUCCAAUAACUAUUUCAAGGGAUAAUAACAGGAAGAUUGGAUGCCUUUUAAUUGUCUAUUGCAUGUUUUUUAGGGUUCAAUUUUUGUUUUAUAGAGUUAAUUUUAUUUCAUAAAUACCAUAAGGGUUUACUUCCCUCAGAUUACAUGUGCUUGAUCAUUCUUUUAGAUAGAGUUGGAGAAUAACAAUUGAUUGGAAGAAAGAUCAGAGAGGGAAGACACAACUGUAUAACCAAAUAUCGGGAAUGAAUCAGAGAAUAAGAGGUCACUACGUAUUAAUAAUUCUAGGGGUACCAACUCGUAUCCCAAAUGUUUAAAUCCCAACUGAUGUUGCAGCAUUUCAUUUACUUGUAUUUGGGCACACUGUGAACCCCCAUUUAUUUACAACCAGUAAGCAGCUGCCAUGCUAUGUGCCACAUCAGUUGUAUUAAAAAGUUGAGAUAAUAGCUGGUGCCUGUAGUACUAUUCCUAACAUAUAGUGAAUUGAGUGAUGACUGAUGAGGGGAGGAGAUAACACUCAAUUAAUUGUGAUCUUGUGUGAAAAACCAAAACAUAGAGCGCAGCUAGCCAUUGGAAUUUAUAAUUAAAGCCUUUUUAAGUAAGUAGUUGUGGAGAUAACUCCUUGAACAUGAGUUUUCUUCUUUCUUUUCUGAAAAGUAAGAAACCUUUAUUGACUCAGAACUCAAAUCUUACUGACAGUGGCCAAGGAGUCAACUUCUAUAGAAUGUUUCAGAUUUAACUCCUUCGGGCAAGAUUUUUGGUGGGUUCCAUCAUUGAGGGUAAGUAAGGAGUUCAACAGAAUGUUGGGGGAAUAUACAGGGUUCUUUCGAUAUCCUUCGAAAUAUAUCUUUGAGGGUUAUUAUUCUUCAUUUAUUCUGUUGUCUAAGUUUUGGAAGAAGUUUGUAUGGAGAACCAUAUUUCUGUGCUUUGUUUCUUCGUUUAACUGAUUGUUAUAAUAUCUUCCAUGGCUCCUUUGUCCCCUAGAAUUUGAAUGAUAGGGAAUUUCCAGAUCCCAUUCAGUUUCCGCUGUCUAUAGGACGGAAUUGGGUUAUAGGAUAGUUGGAUUAAUAAUAUAUCUUUGAUUCUAGUUAGGCCCAGCAAACAUGUAGUCAUGAUUCAGUUACAGGCCCUUUAAGAUGAUUUGGAAGGUUUCUUUCCAAAAAGGUGAUUUGGAAGGUUGGUUACCUCCUAAACUGUUGUUAUUUCGUUAGUUUGGCAACCGAUGAGAAAACUAAUACUUGUGAGAUUCUCCAAGCCAGAAACCUCGUACCUGUCUCUCUCCUCAUCCAUGUUUCCUUGCGAUGCCUAGCGUGUAGAUUAAUUUGUAUUAAUUUAUUGUUUUUGGCAUUGCCUUUUCAAUGUUUUCAAUUCUGGUUAGGUUUCUGUUGGGUCUACAAUUGUUUGGACUAGUGCGUCUUUGGCCUGAAAAUUGCUAUUCUUGUUGGUUGAGGAUUUUUGGUCAUUUCUGUGUUGGUGCUAAUAAGGAGAGUAAUUUUAUAAAGAUCAACAGUUUUAAUAUAGUUCUUAAGGUUGUUUGGAUGAAGAGAAAUAUAGGCUUUGAAGAUAAAGUGGACUGGGUGAGGAAGUGGAUUUUCUAAGGAAAAUAGUAGAUUUUUUGUGGCACCUUUAUGGGUUCAAUGCCAGAGUCAUCUUGGGGGGAGUUAUGAACUUAUUGUAAUACGUUUCCUAUAAUUUUCUAGCUUUUGUGAUUAACUAGAGAUGAUGGACCGUCAUUUCUGUCUCUUAUUUUUCUUUUUCAAUAGAAAUUUGUGUUUCCUAUAAAAAAGGGUCACUAGUUUAUUCUUCUGAUUUAAAAAAAGGGAAAAAGCAAAAAAGUUUGGGCUUUCACACAGAUAUUGAGCACUUGUUAGUUUUACUUUUCUAUAUAUAGAUGUAAGAAGAUAUCUGCCCAUCUAUAUUUCUUUUUUGUCUUUAAAAACAUGGACAAGUCUAUAACCUUUAUUAUAAUAUUAAGGGUCCUCAGCCUUGUAAGAUUUGGAUUUGUAACUAAUAUUUCACCUUUAUGGGUUGGUGGUUGUAGAGUGGCAAUGACCAUGCGAGAGAAAAUGUCCUCAGAGGGUGCAACCUGGAGGGACCCUUGACUGGUCAAGAUGAAGAGGCAUCUAUGCUUGAGGAUAAUAAUUUUAACAAUGUUGCUACAAGAAUGCAAAAAGGACAAGGGAGCAAAGUGCUCAGUGAAUUCUUUAAGCAGAAAAAUUCCUUGUCGGGAGAUCUAUUUCCAACAGAGGUAUGUUCCUUGCCAUUGUUAGUGUGAAACUAUGAUACAUGGAUGAGAUUAAUGAUUGUAAUUGUUGUCAUUGACUUGGGCCUAUGCUAUGCGGACCUUCAAAAUAAAACUUAUCCUUAUUUUGAAGUGCUUUAUAAUUUUAUCAUUUCUUGCAGGUUAAAGAAAUUAUUAGGCUUCUGUGGGAAAAUGAAUCUCAACUCUGCUCUUUUAUUAGUGAUAUCCAGUGCCAAGAAACUGGAACAAAUGGAGGUUACUCUAUGUUUUUCUUGGAGACUGUUCUUGUACCACCAAUCAAAUUCCGUCCUCCAUCCAAGGGUGGUGAUUCUGUAUGUAUAUCUUACUUCAGGGACCCACUUUUGUGCUCUCUAUCUAUCUAUCUAUCUCUCUCUCUCUCUCUCUCUCUCUCUCUCUCUCUCUAUAUAUAUAUAUAUAUAUAUAUAUAUACAUGCAUAGACACUUAUCUAUAUGUUUAUUUAUCCAUCACAUUAAUAUACUCCCUCAUAGAUGGAUUCUGGUUACUGGGGGAGAGAUCAUUGGAUCGUUUGGAUUCCCUUUAUUGCACUCUAGGCCCUUGUGAUUGUAAGGUCCUUUGGUAACUGGAUAGUUCAGUUGAUGGAUAGAAUAAUAAUACCUUUCUCUGUCUAUUUAUCUAUCUAUAAAAGAGAUAGUUUUGUGGUUCUCUAUUGAUAGACUUAGCACUCUUAAGCUCAAAACUUGUUUCUUCUUUUGACCAACCUUGCUAAAAUAUUGACCUUAUAUUUUUUUUCGAUGGUUUGUUGUUUUCUGUACCACAUAUUGUAUUAUCAUUGUGCCAUUUUUUUUUAUGGAACCCACUCAGUUAUUUUUCUUCAUCUAGAAAGGCUUCUUCUUUUCCGUUUUGAAGUAUAUAAGAAUUAUGAAUUUGUUUUUAGUAAAAACUUGCUACAAGAGAACCACCCAAAGCCUUUACUAAAUUUUUAGAAAAGGUUCUUUUAUGGAAUUGCAUCUUGUUUGAGUUGUUCUAGAUUUUUUGUUAAUUUUUGUUUUACUUGGAGUGGUUAUGGGGUAAUGUGCUAUGUCCCACCACCUUCUCUGAAUUCUAUUUGUUUGGUCGUGCUUUUUCAUUUUCUAUGUUCUUGAUGUAUACAAUAUUACCCUUUCUUGUUUGAUGCUUCUUUUAGGUGAUGGAGCAUCCUCAAACCGUCUUAUUAAGUAAGGUGCUGGAGGCAAAUGUUUCUUUGAGCCAAACUCUUACCAACUUAGAGCACUCAAGGAUAAUUCGACGGUGGAGGGAUCUUCAAGAGAGUAUAAAUGUGAUGUUCAAUAGCAAAACUGCUGCUGGUGAGUGAAUGUGUAUUUUGGAUUCUCUCUGUUAAGACAUAAAUUUUGUGUUGUGUUCAAAUAUUUGGUUCUAUAGUUCCUUUUUUUCCCUUUACAUCUUUGCUUUCUGCUUGUUCCUUUUACCUUUUUAUGUAUAAAAAAUCAUUAAGAAAAGCACCCUUAAUAUUUUAUUAUUAUUAUUUUGAAAUUCUUUGUAUUCCUCUAAUUAUUCUUUGUAAUACAAUCAGUAAAUUUCAUGUGCAGCAUGCAGUAGAAGUGUUGAAAGAGAAUCAUAGAUAGAAAUUGGAGAACAAUAAUGAUGCAUAUAAAAAAAAGAGAUUGAUAAGCCUGAAAAGUUCAAACAUCAAUUUGAAGCAUAUAAAUGAAACUCGGAUAGAUUUGGACAUCAGCUUCCCAAAACCUUACUAUUUCCCAUACCCACUCGAAAGCGACACCACACAACAAAAGAAAAAACCCUUUAGAAAAAUCCAUGGGCAUCGACUUAAGUCUCUAGCCGCAAUCUUGGGAUCCCUGCCUUUUUCAUGCAGUAUGAAAUCUCCGCUGCCACUUUCCAAGCAAAGUUUUGUUCCUUUUCACUAAUACUCACCCUUACACCUCCUUUUUCCUUAACUUGAGUCACCACAUCCCAUCUUAUUAAGUAAUCCCACCAAAAAAGUUUCUCAUUAACCCCUCCAAUCACUGUGCCACACCUCAAGGAAUUUGAAAAAGUGAUAGAUAUCAGAUUGGGAAACUGCUCAACACCGAUUUGAUUAAUUUCAGCCUCCCCCCCGUUGACCAAUAAGUUUUACUCCACCCCUCUAAUCCUUUUUCCACUUUUCCUCCACAAGGUUCCAAAAAGUGACUGCUCUCAUGUUUACUAACUUGGAAUCAGAGUGAUUGUUGAUGACCCAUGAUUACCAGCAAUGACAUUACCACACCCUCAGCAUGGAUUCCCACUCCUGAAAAAUCAGGAGUGUGAUUGCUGAUUUUAUGUGGGCCCAACCCUUGUUUUGAUUCCCAAAGUAUUAUUAAACACUUGAAUGACCUUGACUGGGAGUCCUAUUUUUUUAUGUUCUGAAUGGCUUGCUCUUAAUAAAUGCAAGGUUAUACUGUGUUGGAUUUUAUUUAUUUCCACGACCACUCUCUUUGAUGUUAGUAUUCCAUGGGUCUUAGAUGGAUUGUGUCCCUUUGUACGGUAAUUGGUGCAUUUAUGUAGUGAUCGCUAUUUAUUUGCAGGUUCUUAUAUAAUUAUAUCUUCGGUAGCUGGAUUAGUUACUGCAUGAUCUUUGUCAAUUAUUCACCUGUCUGUAGAAGUUAAGCAAUGACCCUUCUGUACUUAAUUCUAGGUCAAGGUCAAAGAGAUGCGGCUCCCGGAAUAUGUCAGUUGCUUGAGAAGAAGGAAGGCCUGUUCCGGCAGAAAAUGAUGGGCAAAAGGGUAAAUUUUGCGUGCCGGUCUGUCAUAUCUCCGGAUCCCUACUUAGCUGUUAAUGAGAUUGGGAUUCCUCCAUACUUUGCAACGAGAUUAACAUAUCCUGAGGUAAGGGUUACUAUUGGGCUCUAUGGCUUCAAUGGAGCGUCAAUGUUGUUUUUUAUUUUUAAUGUCGAUCUUCCUACAGAGAGUUACUCCGUGGAAUGUUGACAAGUUGAGGAAUGCUAUUGUCAACGGUUCUGAAAUCCAUCCUGGAGCUACACAAUAUGUUGAUAAAUCUGGUCCCAAGAUUUUGAGGCAAAACAGGAGAGAACGCAUUUCAAUAUCAAGAAAAUUACCUUCUUCAAAAGGGGCUGUCAUGCAACAUGGGAAGGGCUCUGAUAAUGACAUUGAAAGUAAAAUAGUGCAUCGUCACUUGCGAGAUGGGGACAUUGUGCUUGUCAAUCGACAGGUAUUGAUUAAUUGACUUUAUAUGUAUAAUUCUCUACCCAUAUUUUGUGUUGAGGAGGUUUUAAGUUGUUUUGCUAUCCAGGCUGAUUGUCAACAUUAUGGUAUGAAGCAGUUAGUACUGUGUUUGCCAUACUAGUGGUAAAUGGCUUAUGCUGCUUGUCUUCUGUUUACUUGUAAAGAAAAGAAGUUUGGUAUUUGUUGAUUUGUCUAUGUAAGGUGUAGAUGCCUAAGUGUUGACCCAAAAUAAUGAUUACAUAAUAGUUGAAUGUUAGAUCAUAUUUAUUAAGUGGUUGCGUAUGGGACUUUGUAUGUGAAUAUUUAGAUGACUGAUCCAGUGCUCAAAUGAAUUCACAGGCUGUGCAACUCCACUUCUUGUUGCUUAUGUUUUAACCUCGAAAUGCUUCACUAAAGCUAAAUGCACAGGCUGACAAACUUGAGAUAUUUGUUGGCAUUAGCAUAAAAAUUAGGUUUUUAUAAUAGAUAAUGUUACUGUACCUAUUUCAAAAGAUUUUCUUUGGCAUUGCACUAAGUGAAAAUUGUUUUAUUGAUUCAAAUUUUUGUUAUGUAUUAAUAUACUAAUCUCAAUAAUAUGAUGUGGUGAAGUGGCUUCAUUUGUACUUCAAAUAAUUUGUUAGGUUAACUUUUCUUUUCUUAUAAUUUGAUUAACGUUUAGUUUUUUGGUUGAGUGCUUAGCUCAUGUUUUUUUUCAUUUUGCAGCCUACACUUCACAAACCCAGUAUAAUGGCGCAUGUAGUUCGUGUAUUGAAGGGGGAGAAAACAAUUCGCAUGCACUAUGCUAAUUGCAGGUUGAUAUAUCACACACAUAUGCACAUAUAUAAAUCUUAAUAUUUGUUUACAUAUUGACUACAUGAACUAUGAUCCUUGAAAUUUGUCUUUGGCUUGCACAUGGUAAUUUGUGAUUUAAUGUUGUGAUUUCAGUACUUACAAUGCUGAUUUUGAUGGUGAUGAGAUGAAUGUUCAUUUUCCGCAAGAUGAAAUUUCCCGUUCGGAAGCUUACAAUAUCGUAAAUGCAAAUAAUCAGUACGUAAAGCCGACCAGUGGAGAUCCCAUUAGAGCCUUGAUUCAGGUAUCUAAUAAUUAUAAUAGUAAUAUGCCACUUAAAGAUAAUAUUUAAGUUUUUUACGUGAAAUAUUUUGAUCAACAAUACCAGUGCUUCUCUAAAUAAUUAUUGCUGUUUUUUUUUUUUUCUUUUUUGAAAAUUUCAGGAUCAUGUUAUAAGUGCUGUCCUCCUUACAAAGAAGGAUACAUUUUUACGUUGGGAUCAAUUUAAUCAGCUUCUUUACAGUUCUUGUGUUUCAGCCCGUGUGUCAGAUGCUUUCUCUGGCAAACCAGAUAAAAAAGUUUUCAUGUUUAACUCUGAAGGCACAAUGCAGCCCCUUCUUCCGGCAAUUUGGAAACCAGAGCCCCUUUGGACAGGAAAGCAGGUUAUUGUAAAUUAACUCAGCUAUUUUAUAUUUAUAAUCCAAACUAGGGGUCAAAAUGUGUUUUCCGUUGAAAAUCUGGAUGACUUUCUCCUUGUUUGAAAGCAUAACUAUUUGUGAUGUUCUUGGACGCUUACUACAUUUAUCUGUCUUUGCUUUGUUCUUUUUAUUGAUUGCUAAUUUAACAAUUGUGAUUUUCCUGGACUUUUAAAUUUAAAAUGAAAUUGUCUCCUUUGUGUAGGUCAUCACUGCCUUGCUAAAUCAUAUUACUAGAGGUUCUCCGCCAGUUACUGUUGAAAGAGAUGCAAAAAUCCCACGUGGUUUUUUUAAUUGUAAAAAUGUUGAAGGAGAAGAUAAAUCUGGUAAUGAUGGACAACAAAAAAAGAGGAAACCAAGCAAAGAACAAGCAACUGAUAAAGAUAGCUCAAAGGAAAAAGAGGAGCCUGAUGAGAACCAUUUAUUAAUAUAUAGAAACAACUUAGUACGCGGCGUGAUUGACAAGGCUCAGUUUGGUGAUUAUGGUUUGGUCCAUACAGUUCAGGAGUUCUAUGGCUCAGAUACUGCAGGAAAAUUGCUUUCUGUAUUGAGUCAUUUAUUUACCGUGUAUUUGCAGGUUAGUCGGGUUCAGAAUUUAUUUUCACUGUUAAUUAUUUAGUUCUAUUUCUUGUUUGCCAUAAUUUUUUUAGCAACUUUGUAAACUUGCAUUAAAUUGUGCUAUGCUUCAGAUGCAUGGGUUCACAUGUGGGAUUGAUGAUCUUUUGCUACUGGAAAGCAAAGACGCAAAAAUGAAGGAUCAACUAGAAAGUUGUGAAGAUGUGGGUGAAAAUGUUUACCGUGAUUUUAUCGAGGUCAAAGAUGUUAAGAGAAAAGGUAUGCCAUUUUCCAGAAAAGCUACUUAGUGAACAUUUUUAUGUCAACACACAUAUGUUGGUUGAUGAUUGUGAGGUCAUUGUAUGAAUGAUUUGGAAGCAAUGUUUAGAGUGUGAACCCACAGCCCAAAAACGUCAGUUGACGUUUCAGUGUUUUCUAUAUCCUGUUAUGGGGUGGAAGGUCUAUAUACUUGUUAUCGGUGGAAACCUGUGGUGAAAAAUCUAAUUUCCACAAGAUGGGGACGAGUUGAUAUACGAGUGUUAGCAAUGAUGGAAAUACAUGAUGUUUGUCGGCAUGGUGGCUGGCUUUGAAAUUUUUUUGGGUUGUAUACAGGCAUUUGUGGGGCAGUGUUUUUAUAGGACAAUUCUGUAACUGUUUGGACCAAGGUCCAACGGUUAUUAGCAUAGAAGAUUGCAACACGUAAGUAGGACAUUUUCUAUUAACUAUUGUAUUUUCAUCCUGCUGCUAAAACGUGACAUGGGGGCUGUAAGGUGCACCCUCUCUCUCUCUCUCUCUCUCUCUCUCUACAUACAUAAAUAUCAAGUAAAAUCUCAAUAAAACAUGGGAUAUUGGAGUAUUAACUUCAAAAAGAAAAUUAGCAUGCCAUUGGAUGUCUCAGACUCAGAUAGAGUCUGCUAGGGUGAGAAUUUCAAUCUUACAAAAAAAUUGGUUAAAAUGGAGAUGUAUAAUUUCUUACCUGUCUUUCUUUCUGAAGUUAUUACAGUCAUUUUGUUCCUUUCAUUUCUUGAUUCAUUUGUCUUAAUGCAUGUUUGAUGUCUUGAUCAAAUUUGCAGAUCCAGUGGAACUGCAAUUAAACAUCGAAAAUUUUAUUCGGAGUAAUGGAGAAUCUGCCUUGGCAUCCUUGGAUAGGAGAAUGAUUAGUCAGCUUAAUAAUAAGACCUCCAACUCUGAUGUGUUCAAACAAUUAUUGUUGAGGGGGUUAUCAAAACCAUCUGUUAAAAAUUGUAUCUAUCUUAUGACAACAUCUGGGGCUAAAGGUAGUGUGGUAAGUUUCUGGAGUUUGCUUCUUACUUAUUCAUGCUCGGAGUUAUGUGCAACAUGAUAGUGCACUAUCAGAUUACUAAGAGUAGUUAUGCUUUUGACAUUACUUCAACCAGAUUUGUUUCUUAUCACUGAUACAUAUGUAUUUUAGCAGAAAUUUUGUAAUACGUUCAUUGGGUAUACAUACCUUAAUAUUUUAUCAAGUUAUAAAGUGUAAUGUGAAAUUGCAUGUGAUGUGUUCCAUGUCAAAGGUAAUAAAAUAUCUAAGUAUAUAUUUUACUUACAAGUCACAAUAAGAAAUAAAGAUUUCCUUUGUGAAAUAAAGGCAAUUCUUUAUAGCUUCUACAUGUACGGAUUACCUGCAUGUGCUAUUUUCAUCUUCCCUUUUUAUGCUACAUCAUGAUCAUGCUUAUUAAGAUAUGUUUGUUCUUAUUUUUGUUGUUGUUGUUAUUUAUAUUAUCAGUUUUACAGUUUAUUUUAUAUUCAAUACUCAACAUCGGGUGCAAGGCACAUGUUAGUAUGCGAGUUAUUGUAUGACAGCUCUGCCAAAAAUUUAUAUCUGAUAGAUUUUUGUAAAGUUUGACCCUUGGAUACAUAUGGAUUCUUGAUGGAUAUGCAAGGGAUACCAAAGGUGGUGUAUUGUUUUUUUUCAGAAAAAGGGGGGUUUCUGCUCUGGUUGAAUUUAAAGAUUUUUUAAAAUUAUGAACUUUAUUUUUGUUUAAGGAGAUUUGGACAGAGAAACAAAACAUGAAUAAGAGAAGAAGGAAAAGGAAAAAAUACAUAUAUUAUUAGAUUGUUUUGUAUCCUUACUGUACCAAUACCCUAUUUUUUGGGGAUUCGUUUAAUUUCCCUUUGCAUUGUAUCAUGUAAACCAUUCCAGUGCAACAGUAUGAUAGUUCUGAUUUAAUUUAAAAGUCUACAUGUUACCAUCUGUAAGCUACGAAUUAUUUGUUGUCAAAUUUUGUUAUAAAGUAUUACUCAAGAAACUUCAUAAAUAGAUAUUUAUAUAUAUAUAUAUAUAUUUAAUGUUGUUUAACGUUUUGAUUAGGCUAAUCUCCAACAAAUAACUUCAUAUUUGGGUCAGCAAGAGCUAGAAGGCAAACGGGUCCCUCAAAUGAUUUCUGGAAAGACCUUACCGUGCUUUCCCCCAUGGGAUUGGUCAUCUCGAGCAGGAGGCUUUAUCAUUGAUCGUUUUCUUACUGGUCUUCAUCCUCAGGAGUACUAUUUCCAUUGCAUGGCUGGCCGUGAAGGGUAAUUUAAACUUCUUUCUCCACCCUGUCUAAGUUGUCUUUGGUGGAAAUCAUCAGCCUUUAUGUUUUUCCCUAAGCAAUAUUUUGUCGUGCAAGAAUAUAAGAUAUGCUUUUUUUCUUUUCUAGUUUCUUUUUUGUUUGUUUUUCUUGAUGGAAGUUGCAAGCUUUAUGUCACAGCAUCCGUACCCGUCGGGCUGUUGUGCAGCUGUAUUGCUUGAAAUAUCAUAGUGCUGGUGGAUAAGAAGGUUUAAACUGUGGUUUUUUGUCAUAGUCUUGGUUGCAUGUUUUGAGUUUCUAGAUCUCAAGCAAGCAAUGGAGCCUCCUAGUUUAAGUUGAGUUAUGACUCAGUAACUGAGACUUGCUUUUCCCUUGGGGAAGUGAAACGAAGAUCAAGGUUGGAAAAAUAAAAACACUCAUCACAUAAUAUUAAAAAGAGAAUUAUUUGAUUUCAUGUUUAUUGGACCAUGUUUUUCAUAUGUAACGAGAUUCUGUAAACCCCUUCCACCAACUUAAUUAACAAGUCACAAUAAACAUUUAGGGGGUGUAGAGAGCAUUUUGGGAGGUGUCAAUAGAAUUCUCCAUGCAAGUAAUAUGUAACCAAGGGAUCACUCUUGUACUUUGCAUACUGGGAUGGCAUUCAUUUGCUUUAAAAUACAGAUAAAAGAUUUACAUAGAUAUAAAAUAUAAAAUAUUUAAAAAAAACCUCUCGUCCCGCUUCCUCAGUUCCCCACCCUAGCAGACUUUUGGGGAGGAAAGAAAUCCCUAUAGUCCAUAAGUUCUAACCACCAAUCAACUGCUGUGUCUACUCUAAUUUUAUAAUGUAGUGUUGGUUUGGGUCAGUGCUAUGGUUUUACAGUAAUUUCUGAGAGGUACAUUGGAUUGUAGUAUUGCUGGAUUGAUUGUAUUAUUGUGCCACAAUGCCUUUAAGAAUUAUUUCUUGUACUUCAUCUUUUCAAUCUUCAUAGUAGAAGGGGACAAUUAAUAGCUGAGCAUGACUAAAUCUUCCUCCGUUCUACAAUAUAAUGUUUUUGAGAUAGAUUUAGAGUUUGGAUGUAAGAUUUCAACCAAUUUUUGCUUGCUGUUAGUUUUCAUUUUAUAAUUUGUUGUUUUAAUUAUAUAUUGUUCUUGUGUGGCGAUGUGCAUGCUUGAUUAUGUUGUAGUUCCGUAAUAGAUGGAGCCCAGGAAAGAGUUAAAUCCUUUGAAUAAAUAAGCUGUUGCUUAUGAGUAGGCCCAAGUCUGUACAAGUUCGUCUUGCAUUAUUUGGGUUACCUGGAUCAUAUAUUUGAAAAAUUUUCCCUAAAUUUGUCGAGUGUAAGUGUCUUCAGAAAGGCUGUAGUGGUUUUUUUAUAGCACACUGAUCGUCUUAUCUAUUCUUUAACCCAAAGAUCAAUAAAUAAAAAAACAUUCCCUCCUCCCCAAGAAAAUUAUAUAGCUCGGAAUUUGGGACCCUGUAUUUGUUAGUGUCAAAAAGUGUCCCUUUUUCCGUUUUGGCAGAGGACUCAUUCUGAAAGACAGCCCUAGUGAAGGGCGUGCUAUAGCCUGUAAACAUAGGUAGCGUGUGCUGCUUGUGUGUCGGUUUGUAUGCAUUUUGAUUCUUCAUUUUCAAACUUUUCCUUCAGCCACUUACUUCACCUGUGAUUUUUAUUUUUUCUUUUCAUUUAAAAUUAUUUAGAGAAGCUCUAGUUUAUCCUUUUUAGGAAUAGCCUUUCAGAUUAAAAUUUUCAAACAUAUUUGUCACAACAGAAAAUCACUAUUAUGCUUACAUGGAGUGUUUUUGCGCACUUGUGUGCCAUCAUGUUGUUAUUGUGGGAUGAUCAAAAAUAUUUUCUUUUCUUUACCUGGUCAAACAAAUAAAGCCAAUGGUAUAUUGUAUCCUUAGUAACCAUUUCACUGAUUUUUUCUUUGUUUAACUACAAUCUUCAUACUGCUAGGUUGGUUGAUACAGCUGUCAAAACAUCUCGUAGUGGAUACUUGCAAAGAUGCAUAAUAAAAAAUCUUGAGUGCCUAAAGGUUUCUUAUGACAAUACCGUUCGUGAUGCUGAUGGUUCCAUUAUUCAAUUUCGUUAUGGAGAAGAUGGCAUUGAUGUCCAUAUGACGAGCUUUAUUCAAAAGUUUGAAUCCCUAAUAGCUGUAAGGACUUCUUUUUGGUUUUCUGAAUAUGAAUUCCUUGCAAAACCAUUUUUCAAUAAUUUAUUUACUUCCUAAUGUUUAUUCUUCUCAGAAUAAAGAAAUGUUUCACAAGAAAGGUCGUCGUCAAAUGGAUAAAUUAAAUCCUUAUAUUAAAGACUUGCCUUUGGCUCUUAAAGAAAAAGCAGAGAAGUUUGUGCAUAAUUUGGCAUUGAAAGAGAAAGAUCAUAACUUCCAAGAGGAUUUCUUGAAGUUAAUGGAGCACAAAUACCUUUGUAGCCUUGCUCAACCUGGAGAACCAGUUGGUGUUCUUGCCGGUCAGUCUGUAGGAGAACCGUCAACACAGAUGACGUGAGUUUUCAUUUUACUUUUCUCAUAUUGUUUUAAAUGUUCAUUUUCUUGCUAUUUAUGUCUGCCCUUGGUUACAUCUCAAGAUGCAAGGGUUAGGCUGGGAACAACGUAGGUUUUCAGGUUGAAUUUUUGAAAAAAAGGGGGAAACAGGGACAUAAUUAAGUUUUCGGAGGAUGCAUGUUUGGGAGAGUUGUCUGGAAAAUGUGUGUUCUAGACUCUAUAACUUCUCUAGGUUUCACAACAUGGCUAAUAGGCUUGUUGCCUCUACUGUCUUACUAUUGAACUAUGACUUUGGGCUUAGAAGGAACUUGUGUGAAGCUGAGAUGAUGGCUAUUGUCUUCAUUAAUUUUUUUCUUUCAGAAAUUGCUUGGUUCCACUCUUCCAGGGCUAAAGUCAGGAAAACGACAAGUAGAACCCUCAGGAAGUUUCCCCAGUAAAUCUAAAGGUUGUUUUUUAAGCAACACUGUUGCAGUGUAGGCUUUUUCAACCAUAAGGAUCGAUUUGGAUUGUAAGAGUUCCCUCCAAGGUGAACAUCUUUACUUGGCAAGUGUCUCAUGGCAUGGUCCAUACUUGUGAUAUGGUUCACGGAAAUAGAUCAAACAGUUGCCUUUUCUGCCAACGGUGCAUAUUGUAAAAUAAGGAUUUAAAAUCUGUGGAUCAUGUUUUCACAUUUUGUGAUUUUGUGUCCGUGGUUGAAGUUGUUUAGUUAGCCAGAAGUAGCUUAGUAAUUUCUUGGACUUUUGUUCUCUUCUUUAUGAGGAGGGAUGAAGGUCAAAAUUAUGUGGAGUUGCAUGGUUUUCGCUGUGCUCUAGGUGGUUUGGCUGGAGAGAAAUUAGAUGGACUUUUGAAGACUGGCAAUGAGACUUAGGAGUUUUGGUCCGUACUUUGAGCAUCUGUUUCUGCAUAACGUAGGAGUUUAUCUUUCACAGAUAUGAUGACCAAAAAAAAUCUUUCAGAUUUUUGGUCCAAAACUUGUAAGUUUUAGUUAAGAACUUGGAAAAACGUUUACUUAUUUUUAGCCAAUGCAUAAAACAAAAUUAUUCAUUUUUCUUGCUGCUUUUAUGGAACAUUUAUUAUUUUUUAAAAUUUGUUAUUUGUUUUCUGAAUAAAUGGUUUGGUAGGGUUGGAUUGUUGAUCAGGUAGGAUUUAAAUUUUUAGGUUGAGGUUGAUUACUUUAGAAUGUAGAAUCGUCAUUUUGGAGCUUAGGGUUUAGUGCUCAGCUGCCAAAACUGAAACAGAAAGCAAAUUCAGUGAGUGACAUAAAUGUAAUACCUACAUAGUUACUUUUGGAUUUUAUUCUAGCAUGGCUCGGUAUUGUGGGCUAUGGAUUUAGGAUUUAAGGCUUUAGCUAAAUCCUAGAAUCUAAGCCCUCCCCAAACCCUGAACAGAAUCUAAAAUUAAUUUUAUUAAGGCUGUGGAUUGUGAUUAGUAGUGAAGUGUAUUACUUUUUAUUUCAGCGAUUUACAGUUUAAAGUGUAACUCUUACUAAGUUACGAUGAGUUUAUCAGAAUUUAGAAUGGGUCCUAAAAGACAUGGACAAAUUGAUUUAGUCUCCUUAAAGACAUGGACAAAUUGAUUUAGUCUCCUUAAAUACAUGGACAAAUUGAUUUAGUCUCCUAAAAGACAUGGACAAAUAAAAUAAUUGGAAGAUUAGAAGAUGCUAAUUUUUUUGCUAAAGGGAGCUGCUCUUUGGAGUCUAUUGCUAAAAACCCUUUUAGCAUUAGCUAGCCUUUGUCGUUCUCCUUCGCAGGUCUCUUUGAACUGGCCAUCAGUUCCACUUUCUUUCUAAUCGUAUAUUUUUCUGCUUUAUAAGAUUUCUCUAUUUUUCAAACAGAAAAAAAGAUGUAAAAAUUUAUCUCUCCUCUCUUAUUUUUGGUACAACCAAUUGCAUUUGGUAUGUGCUUUGUUUUUGUAUUUAGGCGAGCAUUAUUUUUGGUUAUAUUAAUAUGUAUCCUGCCAUAUGGUUAUUGCUAUCUUUUUCAGACUGAAUACUUUCCAUCUUGCGGGACGAGGUGAAAUGAAUGUGACCCUUGGAAUCCCACGCCUCCAAGAGAUCUUGAUGACUGCUGCAAAUGAUAUUAAGACGCCAGUUAUGACAUGCCCAUUGCAAAAGGGGAGAUCGAAGUGAGUCUUUAAUUGGUUGUUGUGAUAUACUUUUGCUCUUUCUUUUUGGGUGGGUAUGUUAGUAGACAACUGAACAUACUGUACAUUUAAUAUUUUGUUAUAAGUCUUUAAGUAACCUUGCAACAGUACGGAUUUAUUGUUUCAAAAUUUCAAAGAGAAUGCUCUGAGCUAUUGAAUAAUCUUAUUUUCACAUAAGGCUCUGGUUCAUAGUUAAAGUGAGGGUAGGGUUGAUGUAAGGGUUUAUUCUGCCUCAAUUGAAUGCAACUUUGCGUGCAAAGCUAUCCUUGCUGAUAACCAAUACCUAGUGUUUAUUGAUGUCCAAUUGCUUUUUUGUAAAUUCGCUCUCAAUGACAGAUCUUAUGUAUUUCAUAGUUUUAAAUAUUGCUAAACCCUGCUGAGCAUGUGUUAUCUGAUGUUUGUCCUCUAGUAUUUUGUUACUUGGACAUUUUAUGGAAUGUAGGGCCACCGUGUUUUUUGUUUAUAGACUUAGAAAUACUCUAUUUGUUAUAUGCAGGGAGGAAGCUCAGGAGCUAGCUGAUAAGUUGAAGAAGAUCACUGUGGCAGACAUAAUCGAGAGUAUGAAAGUAACCUUUGUGCCAUUUUUCAUUCAGGAUGGUCAAACUUGCCGUAUUUAUAAGCUUGAGAUGACACUCCACGUACCUGAACAUCUUCGAACCAUCAUUGAAUAUUCAUCAGAAGAUUGGGAGGAAAUCCUAGAGAUUGUGUUUGUUAGGGAGUUGGAAGAUGCCAUACAAAAUCAUAUUCUUUUGCUUUCUAAAAUUAGUGGUAUUAAAAAUUUCACGCCUGAUUCACAACCAAAGGCAUCAAAUGAGACAGAUGAAAAUCUUCCUGAAAAAAGAUCUCAACGUGAGGAAGAAGAUGAUGACAAUGGUGGUGCAGAUGAUGGUGAACAUGGUGAAGGGGUCGAGGAUUUUGGUCUGGAUGCCCAUAAGCGAAAGCUACAAGCUACAGAUGAGAUGGAUUAUGAAGAUGGCUGUGAUGAUGAAGUGAGAGAGGCAGACUUGUCAGAUGGAGAUGAAAGUGAAAUUGAUGAGGAGGAAAAUGAAGUUGAAAUUGGUAAGGAUGGUGAAAUUGGGGUCAUCGAUGCUAAUGAUGAAAUGCCUGGAAGUCCUUUAGAAGAAGCUGGGGACCUAGCUAAGCCCAAGUCAAAGGAGAAAAAGACCAAAUCAGGAUCCCAAAUUAGAAAGAAAAGGAAGGUCCGAGCAGAGAUGGUAAAAAAGGAGACUGACAGGGCAAUUUUUGUGUCAGCAAAAGGGUUCCACUUCGAGGUCCAUUUUAGAUUUGCCGACAAUGAACCUCAUAUUUUGCUGUCUCAGGUACUUUUAGUUUUACUCGUUGUCACACUUCUGCUCUUAUUUAUUUCCUUGGCAAGUUAGCCCACGCAUCACUCAGUAUUUCUCCUUCUUACAAGCUAUUAUGGGUCAGAAGCUUCAUAAAAAUAAAUAAAAACUAUAGGGAAAAUGAAAACAGCACAAUAAAAAGCACACCCAAAACCGCCGUUAACUUACGAGUAUAAUUAGAUUCAUGUGGCGUUUUAUAUUUUUGUUACUAUGCAGGUGUUCAUUAUAUAUUUUAUUACUAUACAUUCUCUUUCAGCCCUGUGUUGAGAAUUGUUUGAAUUAUGUUAUGUAGAUUGCUCAGAAGACAGCCCAGAAGGUUUAUAUUCAGAGAUCUGGAAAGGUUGCUGACUGUAAACAAAUUACAUGCGAUGAAAAUCAAGUCCUCUGCUUUGGGAAGGAUCCUGAAAAUAAACAAAGUUUUUCAUCCAAGGAAAAAAAGGAGAUGCCAGCUCUGCAAACUACUGGAAUUGAUUUCGGUACAUUUUGGCAACUGCAAGAUGUUCUUGAUGUCAGGUAUAUUUAUUCCAAUAACAUACAUGCUAUGCUGAACACUUACGGAGUAGAAGCCGCCAGGGAAACUAUCAUCCGAGAAAUAAAUAAUGUUUUCAAGUCUUACGGAAUAUCCGUCAACAUUAGGCAUCUUACACUAAUAGCUGACUUUAUGACUCAUGCUGGUGGUUAUCGUCCAUUGAAUCGAUUCGGAGGCAUCGUAGAGUCGAUAUCUCCGUUUAAUAAAAUGACUUUUGAGACAGCUUCCAAGUUCAUUGUUGAAGCAGCAUAUCAUGGGCAGGUGGAUCGCUUGGAAACCCCAUCCGCUAGGAUCUGUCUUGGAUUGCCAGUAAAUGUGGGUACUGGAUGUUUUGAUUUGAUGCACAAGAUGGAGGUUGAAUGCACACAGAGAUAGAGAUAUAUAUAUGAGAUUUUUACAUAUUUUGGGCCAAUUGCAGCCCUUUAUUUGUAUUUCACUUACAUGAGUUCUUUUUUCUUUUUUCUUUUUUCGUUAAGCAUGUAAUGUCCAAGGUCUGUUUUAAUAACGCAGGUCUGAUCAUUGCAAAUUGAUGAUAUUGACUGAGUUGAGUUAUCAACACCCAAUCACACUUUUAGGAAAAUGGCCAUUAAAACCCUGUGUGAAAGGACUCAAAUACCCAGAACUACAAACAAUGAUAUUUCUUAGACCUUUCAAUAACUAACUAAAAAUGUGAAGUUGAAAUUCUAUAGAAAAAGACUUUAAUGAUCAAAAUGGUCCCUUACUAUUGUUCCAAUAUCAUUUUGGUCCAUCAAUUAAAAUUUUCAUUUCAAUGGUCCUCAACUCUUCAUUUGGUAUCAAAAUGAUCCUACCGUCUCAGUUUCUGAAAUAUUCUGUUAAAUUGAGGGGCAAAAAAGUAAAAUAUUAUUUAAAAAAUUAAAAACUGAAAUGCCCAAAUAUCUAAAAUCCAAAAAAAUAAAAAUAAAAAUUCCACAAAAAAAUCUAACUCAAACCCAUCAGAGUCUUCUACCCAUUCACUCCGACUCAAAUCAAACCCAUGUUCGCCUCCUCGUCUCUCUACCACCAUCUCUUGCUGCUACUGCGAUUUCAAGUUCUGGGCUUUCAACCAAUCCUUCUUCCAUUUCGGCAGAACCCCCUCCCAAAUUCUCAUAGCAUGAUUAUUGUGAAGCAAAACGUAGGCUUGAUUGAAAGCAGUGAGUGAGUGCGAAUGGAGUAUGUUGUCGUGUUUGUUGCGUUUCUGUUUCCUGGUGCUCUGGUGGCUUUUGAUUCUGAGUCUCUGCAACCAUUGUCUUGCUUUGCUGCUGUUCGAAUUUAUUCUGCUGGAAUUUGGCACAAUGCAGUGGCAAGCUUACAUUUGUUUUCGUUAUUUAUUUAUUGAUGGAGAGUUAAUGUAUUUGCAAAAGGUAAUGCUAAUUAGCCUUCAAAUUUUAUUCACCUCAAGUGCUGUGCAAUUUGUGGGCUGCCAUUACUUAUCCUGCCCUUCACCUUGUUUCCAUUCUACAUACAUGGAGAGAGAGAGAGAGAGAGAGAGAGAGAGGCGAGGCUGCAGGUUAGUCAAAUCGGCGUGUGUGGUGGCUGGGUUUUUUUUGUGAGGGUUGUUAAUGAGGGUGGGACAGAUGGGGGGGUGAUGAGGGAAUUUGGGGUUUUUUUAUUUUUUGGUAAAGAGUCCAAUUUACCCCUAAAUUUGGAGCAUGUGCCGUCUACGUAAUUCACAUGAUCCAAUUUAAUGAAAAAUGUUACAGAAUGACCGUUUUGAUACAAAAUGAAGACUUGAAGUAUCGUUGAAAUGAAAAUUUUAGUUAGUGGACCAAAAUGAUACUUGAGCAAUAGUUGGGGGACCAUUUUGAUCAUUAAUCCAUAGAAAAAUGGUAGGAAAAAGACUCUUCUAAGUACACCAUCCUAACUUCCUAAUCUUAUCUGGUGAGUUAUGCAUGUCGUUAAAGUAAUGGCCUUUGAUUUCAUAUGUUUGAGCCUAGGGAUGGCAACAAGCGGGUAGGGGUCAGGUAUGGCAGUACCAUCUCUAUUCCUGUUUCCGCCCCCUUUUCCGGUAUGAUAUUUCGGGGAAUCCCCAUUCCCAUUCGCGUUGGGGGAUCAUAUCUCAAACCCGGCCCGAAUCCCCAAUUAUAUGUUUAAAAAAAUAUAAAACUAUCCAUAUUACACUUCAAUUUCACAUUAAACUAUCAUCUAACUCAAUUAAAUUCAAUUGAAUUAUAAAAUUUCACUCAACUACUCAAAUUCAACUCAAUUCAAUUUGACAAAAAUAAUAAAAUCAUAUAAUUUUCUUUGAGAAAAUGGGAUACAAAUUAGGGAGAUUCACUAUUAUACCAAAUAUAGAGGUCCAAAUUAUUUUUAAAAAAAACCUAUAUGAAAUGAACUUUAGAAACACACUCAAAGCUCAUUUACAACAUAAUAAAAAGAUUUUUAACUUCUUUUAAAUUACAAAAUUGUCAUUGAUUUCUUAAAACAAACUCAACCCCAAAAUCUCAUAAAAAAGCCCAAAACACUAAAUAGGGCAUUAAAGUAAUUUAAUAAUAAAAAUUAAAUUCAAUAGGGCCAAUUGUCAUUUUUUGGGUUUGUUUAUAGAAAUUAAAUGGUGUAGGAUUUAUUUAUAUUAUUAGUGCUAAGAAUGAGUAUAUGACUAAAUAUCUCUAAAAAGUAAUGGAACUAAUACAACAUAUUGUUUUCAUCGACAAUUCAUCAUCAAGAUGAAUGUCCUCACUCAAUGGAAAACAAAAAAAACUUGCGCAAGAAAAGGAUAUGUGGCUGUACAUACAGCUGUUACAUUACAACGGCAAUGCUACUUUAAUAGACUAAUCUAACUUAACUUAAUAUUUUGUCCAAAAAAAAAAACUUAACUUAAUAUUAUUUAAUUAUUUAUUUAUACAUUAAAACUUUUUAAUUGUUAUAUUAUAUUAUUUUAUAUAUAUUUAUUAAUUAAAAAUAAAUACAUCAUUUAUUGAGUCAGGUUCAGGAAUGGGGAUAACAAUAUCAUCCCGACUCGUCUCCGAUCGGGCAUUUUUAAAUUGGAGAUCCCUGUACUCAACACCCCACUCCCCCCCCCCCCCCCCCCCCCCCUCGAAAUCUCCUCUCAUUAGGGGCGAGGACCCGACGUGGAUUUCUAGCAUCCCUAUUUCUCCCUUUGCUUCCACACAAAAUAAGAAAUGGUCUUUUGCAUAAAUGGUUGGGAAUUAACAUUCUCAUCAUCUUUGGUAAAAUCAAGUCCACCAUGGAUUAUAAACUACUCUACUGUGUUUUUUAGUGUGUAACCCCAAUUUAGGUUUAAUAGUACAUCCCAAUAGGGGCGGCCAUACAUGUUCAAUUUAUCUCUCAACUUGGAUCCCAUGAGGCGGAUCUUGGAAAGUUUUAACAUAAGCAGGAGGGAUUCGCAAAUCCUCCAGAAAUAGAGUGGGCAGGGCCAUGAACCCUAACCAACUAGGGUAGAACUGUAAUUAUAUAAAGGAAAUUAUCAUCACAAGAUUAUAAGUAUUAGCUAAAUAAUUGUCUUCAUGUACGAAGUAGGGGUGGGCAUUCAAACCAGAAAAACCGGAAAAUCGAGUCGAAUGGACCAAAAAAAAAAGGAAAAAACCGAGUUAACAAAAAAUUGGACCGAGAUGACCAAAAACCGAACCAGACCAGUUUGGUCCGGUUCCAAUUCUUAUAGUGAAAAAAUCAGACCGAGUCAAACGGGAGCGGUUGUGUGUUUUUUUUAUAUACAAAAUUAUUUAAAUCAAAUGCUACUUUUUUUAAUCUCAUAACUAUUACUUCCCCAAGCCCAACUUCUAAACAUCUCUCUUUUCUAGGGCCAAUGUCUCUCUUUUUAUGAAAUUGGAUCAUUUGUUAAUUUUCAAGCCCAAAACAUAAAAUUUUAGUUGGAAUUUGUAUAAAGUAAUAAUAAUAAUAAUCCGGUUUAAAAUUAGAAAAAUAAAAAAUUGAACCAGACCAACCGGUUUUAAUUUUUUGUUCAUUAAAAUUGGACCAAACCAAACCAGUUAAAUAGUACCGUUUUCGAUUUUAAUUUAAGAUAAAAACUGGACCGAAUCGGACCUCGCCCAGCGGGUACAAAGGGUGCCGUGGUGCUUGUGGCUUUAGACUGGUAUCAGAAAUGCUACAUUGUGUCUGCACUAACACACAAAUAUAUAUUCUUGUCGAAAUUACAUUCUUAUUCACUUAAAGCCAAAACCCCCAAAAACUCACCUUAUUUUAAAGGGAAAAACCCUUUUUUUUUUCACCUCAAAGAAAAGGGUUGCAAAUGAUGAAGCACCAAAUACAGAGAUAAAAUGGGAAUUGGGAAGAAACCCCAAAAAGUCUACUGUAUCAUUUUCCCCCCACCACUUAGUACAAGCAGAAUGAAAGCCAAGAAAGCCAAGUUUUGGAUUAUACAGCAGUACUGUUAUUACAAACCAUUCAAUGAGAUUACAAUAAGAAACAUUGCUCACGAGUUACAAUAAACAAUAAACAGUGCAGGCAUAGCUGAUCUCACUUGUUCAGUACUGUAUGGCUGCUAUUACAGGGCACGAUAUAAUUUGUGGAUUUAACAAAGUGCCGAGGAAUUAUGAAGAAAGUAGUAUACUUUUUUAUUUUGGUUACAAAAGUAAUACACAUAAUGCACAUUAGGCGGAAAAUAUCUCUAUGGGGAACCUGAAAUAGGAUAUGUAGCACCCCCAUAUUUUUAUAAAAUUCCAUUAUAAACAAUAAUGUAAUUGUGUGUGCGCGCACACAUAUACACACGAGGCAGACAUGCAUGUAGAUGAGCCAAGGACGAUUCUGGUUCAGGAUGAAGAAGGUUCAGCUCCAUCAUGAAGUGCACAACAAAUGGUUGCUUUGUGAUGCCCCUGAUACACCCUGAUAUCUUCACCAGUGGACAUGGACCAAAGUCUUGCUGUUGUAUCUGAGGAAGCUGCAUGGAUAAUUGAUAAAUUGUUCAAUCUGUUAUCAGUAUCACUAUUUUUCAAAGAAAAAUUAGAGAGAAGAAAACUAAGAAUCUGAAUGUUAAUUUAUCGCACAAGUUUGACUACUGCAUUAGUUUACGAACUUGACAGAAAAAGGAUAGGGUGCUGCCAUAUCCCAAUUUACAAAAUGACAUUUUAUAGAUUAAGGUUUAGAACUCCUAGUGAAAAUCCUCAAUUGUCAAGUGUCCAUCGUUAUCUACAAGCUGCUUCAGAAGACAUGGGUUCAUUUAAAAUCGUCAGUUGUUGAGAACUAUUACCUGUUAUAAGAUAGGCACCAUCUACUGAGAAAACACAGUCCCAUACCCACCGCUGAUGUCCUACGAAGUAAAGAAACAGUAAAGAUUAAUUUAUCAUAUAGCUUGGUUUUAAGAAGCAAUCAGGCGUAUUGAGUAAUUUGUAAACUAAAAUGAGCACCUUUAAUGGUAUAGCAGAUAAUUACCUACUAGAGUUUUCUCUAAUGUGAAACCAUCAACAUUCCAUAUCUUGACAGUGUGGUCAGAAGAGGCGGUCGCCAGAUAUCUAGAAGUACAAAGACAGGUUAAGCCAACAAGUGACAAAAUCAAUAUACUGGCUGCUAGCAACAGAAGGCAAAAAUAAAAUAGUAGAUAUUGUUUGAACCAAAAAAGAAAGUUAUAGUAAAAGGCAAAAGUUUAUUGACCUAGAGAGAAUACCAGGUAGGAAAUGAAGGCGAAAUAAAACAAUAGAUUUGACCCUAAAUGAAAGGUAGAAAGAAAAGGUUAUCAGCUUUGAUGGAUCAAACCUGUGGGGUUCACAGAAUUCAGGUGAAAGAAGACAUUUGAGGAUGUAUCCCUUGUGUGCUUGCAGCUUAUGAAGUGGCUCAAAAUUUGUCAUAGUCUGGAAGAAAAAGUACUUGGCGUCAAAAUGAAUGAAGUAUGAUAAGAAGGUGAAAUCAGAUAAUCGAGUGCAUAAAGGUACUACCUGGGUUCCCCGCAACAAGCGCCAAACAUAGCAUGUACCAUGAUUAUUUGCUGCAACAACCAGGCUCCCAUCCCACAUCACUGUUAAUGACCUUACAGCCGUAUCCACCUCUGGAACCUAGAUUCACCCCAUAGAUUGAUAUUAAAUGUACCAUUCUGUAAAUUACCAUCCAAAAGAACCGUUAAAUUUACACAUCACUGUUAAUGACUUCACAUUCUUAUCCUCAGUAAUUACCAUCCAAAAAUCCCCUUCCCAUCUACCAUCUAUUCCUGCAUAUUGAACACCGCAGUGUUUUUGUUUUUCAAAUUUAUUUUCUAUUUAAGAUGGGUUGUUAUUGUUAAACACAGCGCAACAUAUGCGCACGAGUCUAGUAAAGACUUUGCCCACUUAGAUCUUCAUUUCACCUAAAAAAAUACCAAGGCUUUUAAAAAAGAUUGCUGUUUAGACAACACGGUUCCUAAUGAGACCUAGUGCAAGAUGAAAACGGGGACGAAACCUCCCCCAAAAUCACCACUUUAGAUUUGCAAUUUUGAUCAUAGCAGUAAUAAAAGGUGUAUAUGAAGUACAUAAGUGCAAGACAGCGAAGCAUACCAGUUCGCAGCUGCAUGAAUUUGCUGUCAAAUCCCAAACACGAAUAUUGCCAUUUUGGUCCCCAGAUAUCAGUUCAGUCUGUAAAACCACAUACAGAUUUAAAGAUUAGAAAAACAAUUGAAACCAUUAUGGCAUGCAAGCUCUUCCUUCUUCUUUCAUUUUUCUCAAGGGCAUAAAAUUGACAAUUAAGAGAACAAGAAUGAAUAUGAAACAACAACUCUGACUUAAAAAUUGGACUUGAACAAAACCCAUGGAAACAUCAUUGCAACAGAAUACAGAUGGCCACUGGCUCACUACAUCAACUUAAGACCUUUUAGCAAACACUAUCUCUAUAUAAACAAUUUGAUGAGCCAAAACUCUGUACAUGGUCAAUGUACGGUGAUUAUGGGAAAGUUCACUCUCAUAAGAUAGUUACCCAGAUAUGACAAUGGGCUGUAUGGAAAACUGCAUGCAUGUUCCAACUUCCAUCCAGUUCAACAUCAUACUUGAACAGUCUAAUGUAAGUAGGAGCUCACAUAUGCCAGCAUGAUGCUUUCCUUCUUGUUUUUUUUCCUCCCUACUCUCUUUUGGGAAAGCCAUUUGGCACUCUCUAAGCUUACCAGACACAAAACCAAAAUCGUCUACGAAGAUUAUCAUAUAUUUUCAAGAAAAAAAAACACAUACAAUUACAUUAUCAUGAAAGUCAAUGUUAUCUAUAUCCUUCUUAAUAACUUGAGCAGUUAUGAAGAUACUACAACCUAAUAACAUUUUUACCUAACGUAUAUAUUCCAUAGCAGAAAGGGACGAGACAAUAGUUUACCUGAUUUGGGUGCAGCACAACAGUGUUAACAGCUGCACGGCUUUCAUAUUCCCGUUGACAACCUGGAGCUCUGUGAUUAACUCAACAUAUAAGAAAAACAAACUAUAUACAAAAUAUGAACAAGACUUAAUAAAAGAAAAAUAGAUAGCACAACCAGCAUGAUGAGGACAUCUUUGUAGGGUUCACAAACGAAAGAGAUGGAAGAGGGAAUUAUUAAUUAGUUUCCUAAUGUAUUUGUUAGUUCCUAGGUUCUCUAAGUUUUCCAGAUUUCUUUCCUAGAAUAAGUUUGAUUUUCCUUUUCACUCUAGGGUUAGAUUAUUAUAAAUACCCCUUCUAUGUAAUUCAUUAUGGAGUUGAGUUGUUGAGAUAUAAAGAAAAGUUUAUUUUCCAGAGAUUGGAGACUACUUGGUGUGAAGCCAUACCCUUGGCGUGAUUCCAGACCUAUCCUUGUUCAUUCUAUUUUCUGUUUUCCAUGGUUUUCGCUUCCGCUAAACUACCUAAAUUCUCAAUUCACCCAUAUCCUACAUCACAGCAUACGUGUGUUGUCAACAAUUACCUCAAAUCCCAAAUUUUUACUGUACCAUCCUCAGAACCUGAAUACAUCCAGUUUCCAUCACAUUGAAAUCCCACUGCCAUUACAUUAUUAGUAUGUGAAUCAUAGCUCAUCACCUGCCAGACAAUUAUACCAAAAGGAUGCUCAUGAGUUGAUGGAAGAAGAACAAAUGAUCAUGAAAGUCCCCAUCUAAAUUCAACAAAAACUAAAGCAAACCUAAGAGUGAGAAAGACAAACCGGUUGAGGGCUGUUUGAAUUAACAUCAAAUAAUCGAAUGUGAGGAUUGCCGGCUGCAGCCAGGAAGCGUUUAUCUGGAGUAAUCUCGAGCCUAUUAACUUGCUGUGCUCAUGAAAAAUGGAAAAAUCAGACAAAUGAAUUAAAUAAACAAUAAGUAAACCCACCAGGAAGUUUUCCAAUCUUUUCAGAAAACAUAAUCAAGCAACUAUGAACUAAAAGAAACUCAAUGACCACCUAACAAAAGAAACCAUUCCACUCCACCAAUCUCAAAUCCUCUCAAUGCCAACUAAUUGGCUUACCUCAGUUGGAUUCUAUCAUUUGAAAACAAAACCAACAUCUCAAUAAACUCCAAAAUCCAAAAUUUACAACGACACACACACAAAGAUAAUUUCUUUCUUUAAAAAUUGAAAAGUGGGAAGUGAGAGACAUACUGAAUCAGGGUAUUGGAUGGUACGAUAGCAGCGGCCACUUUUGGCCUCCCAAAACCGAAUAGUGUGGUCAUAGCUAGCCGUUGCUAGGAUCACCGAUGGUUGCUGGCUCAUCUUAAUCUCCUCCUAAUCAAUAUUAACACAACUACUUAAAACAGACAUAACAUAAUCAACCACAGCCUAAUUGGAAUUCUUAUACAACUCUGAGAUUUAAAAAAAAAAGAAAAAAAAGAAAAAAAAAAGAAUUGGGUUGAGGUUGAGGAUGAUUUACCUAUUCAUAAAAUUAAACAAAAAAAGACGUUAAAUUUAGGUUGGUAAUGGUGGGAAAUUGAUGGGCAAUAGUGUAAUUGGGAAUUAGGGUUUUGAAGAGGGUUUUGGAGGGGAGAGAGCUCCAUGGAAAGCAGAAAGCACUGACCUGAGUGGGCAUCUUCUGGGCCUCAGUCAGAGAAAUGAAAUCAUCAUGGGCUUUCCCCGUGUUGGGUUUCUUUUGGGACUUAGAGCAAAUCCCACGAGGCACUUUUUAGGUUCAGAAAAAAAAGCUGAAACUUACUCCAACUAAAAUGUUAAAUCCAAAGUGGAAUAACAUUUCCCUGUUUUGCUGUUAUUUUUGGAUGUUUGACUAUUUCAUUAUUUUAUUAUUAUUUUUUAAUUAAUGUGCCUAGAUUUAUACUUAUUUUGAAUUUCUAAUUUCCGAACACAUAGGAAUUAGAGCAAACUUCUGGUGUUUAAUGAAUAAAAAAUUAUGUUGGUUACACAUUUGUAAUCCACAGUUAUUGAUCUCAUCCAGUCCUUGCCUCUCUUAAUUUUCGAUUUUGCGAUUCAUGACUUCUCUCAUUUCAAGUAAACAUGUCAUUAACUUGUUUUGUUUUGAGCUUGGUUUACCAACUUGUGGAAAGUAGUUCUAGUUACCGGCAACGGCAAUGGCAUGAAGGAAAGAAAGGGAGAAAUAUAUGUAAUUCAUAAGACUCAAAUGACUGAAAACCAAUAGGUAUUUUGCUAGGGUUGGAACUUGUGCAAAUGAAACAAACAGUUGGUUGCCAACUUGCCAACCAUGAACUACUAGGAUUCCAAUAAGAUCAAAGUUCAAAUUUCCGUAAAAAUGCAAAAAGAGAUUGAAAUUUUGAAAAAAAAAAGGGGGGAUAUCCAUUAAAAUCCUCAUAAUCACAGUGAGAGGACAUUUGGUAAAAUCUCCAUCUUUUAUUCAAUGACUAUUAAUUCAAAAUGCAAUGCGACGCAUAUACUUUUUUUUUUCUUUUUUUUUUUCUGAUUGCUGCAAGAUAUGCCAUGUUAUAUUGAAGCUUAACCUGUCAUUGUGAAUCAAUGAGGUGCUUGGCAGGGCUCUGGACGGAAACAAAGCAAAAUCAAUUGGAGUCCGUAUGGAGGGGUCUCAAGUCCCCAAAAUAAUAAUAAUCAACCUCAUCAUUCAUUCACAGCCACACAUAAAUUUUGUUGUUGGAUUUGAUUGGAGAGAUAGAGAAGGAGGGGGGCUGGGGUCAAAUUUUACCCCAAUGCUCCAAGUGCCUCUUUGUACAAUUUCUUGUGCAGGCCAUAAUGAGUGGACCUUCAAGUUGUUAACAGAAAAAUGAAAGAGAUGGGCCCAUUAAUUAUAAUGAUAGCUCAGCCAGUACGUAUUUAUAGACCAGAAAACUGAUCAGCCCCUGUGAAUGAUGAAUCUGUGAUGGCUACAUAAGCCUGCAGAAGUAUGAGUACCACUAAUGAGUUCAGGCUUGAGAAAGAGAUGGAGAGAGGGCUGGAAUAUUGAAGCAAGGUAUUUGAUGAUGUAUGAUGUCAUAUCUUUAUGUGAAUAGUAGGGUUCAAUCAUUAACUUCAUAAAUGCUGUCUUUGUCACUUUGUUGAUGGAUCUCAAGAUAACAUCCAGUUUUUCCCAAUGGAGGAAUUAAAGGAGUUACUUCGAACACUUUGGUUGAAAAUACUGGAUCAACUUUGCUUCUUUCAUGUUAAGCCACUGAGCAGGGACUGGACUGGAGGUUACUGCCUGCAAUGGAUUUGGUGAGAGUCCUGGUGAGGGACAAAAUGCGUAUGCGCUUGUAGGUUCCACUGCUGGUGGGAUUGGGUCGUGUUGAGGUAUUAAAAGAUUCAGAGAUCUCCAAUUCCAACUUGACUCGUUUAUCAAACAAAAAACAUGAUAUAUCAAUUCCUCCACUUAUAUAUAAUAAGAAAAUCAUGAUAAUAUUGAGAACAUUCUACAAAAAGCAAAUUUAUGUAUACAAUUUUAGCCCUACAAAAAUUUAAAUUAAUAUAACUAAAUGAGUUACAUGAAUUUGACUCGACAUGGAAACUUCAAGCUAGUUAAUUUCGAGCGUGUUCAUUUUGUGUUGGCUAGUUGAUUCAAAACCCGUUUAUUUAUUAAUCUUGUCUUGGCAAAUUGACUUGAAUAUGAUUCAAAGCUUUUCAUAAUAUAGGUUAACCCCCAUAAUUUUGUGUGAGUUUCAAAGUCUAUAACAGUGUUUGUGUCGUUACAAUUAUGUUUCAUGUCAAACCCUAACAAAUUAGGCGGGCCAGUGAGCAUGGUUUGACAUAGGAGUGAAGCGAAGAAAAUAUGUUUCGGAUUGGCUAGGAUUGUGAAUACUUUAGUUAGGUGAAAUUUUGACCCCACUAAGCUAUUCAUAACCUUAACCUCUCCAUAAAGAGCCAUGACCACCUCAUGCCUGCAUGGCUACCUCACUAUUUAGGCCAAUAGCUAGCUUGGUAAUAGAAUCUAGAUAGAUGGCGCUGCCAUGGUUGAUAGGCAAUAGUGGAGGCUUGUAGUUUUAAACAGAACAAAUGAACACAAAUGAGUUGUUUGGGCUGCAGCAGAAUUUGACUGGGCCGGUCUCCGUCGUGAAUUUGACUAGCCUGCAGCAGAAUUCAACUGAGUUUUUUCCCAUGGUCACAUGCAUGUCACAAACCUUGUCAUAAUCUUAUUUGAAAAUAUUAUUUUUCUUAAACUUGUAACCCUCAAAACGAAUUGAUGAGAAUUGAAUUGAAUUAAAUUAACAUUAACAUCUGCAAAUAGUCCAUCGAUCUCUAUGUUUAUAGGGAUUUGCGAUUGCAGGACAGAAAUGUUUGGAAGCCACAAAACAAGACAUGGACAUGGAAACUCAAAGUAGACUUAUAUAUGUCUUACAAUUACAAUGCAACACACACACACACUCGUGCUGUCUUGGAAACAUAAAAUAUUUAAAGGAUAGCAUGGGAUCUCUGGUCAAACACACUGCUGCAGACAGGCUCUUUUUGCUAAACGUUAGAUUUUGUUCUGUUCAUUUUUAAAUAUAAUUUUCUUAUUUAUAUUUUUGGCUUUCUCAAAACCCUAUCCAUAUUUCAUUUUACUUAGCUGCAUGGGUUUGAAAUUCUCAUGUACAGUAUUUUACCAUGGAAAUAUAUUAUUGCAAUCCCACAUGCACAUGGUGUUUCCCCCACCACCCCCCACUUCAUGUUCUCUAUGCAUGUGCUGAAAUUGUGCUCAAAUGUUGGUUUUCCUCAAGGGCCUCCUGCUUUCUUUCUGAUUUCCAAAGAAUUUUAAAUUGUCAUCAAGGUACCAAUAAUCUAGGGGCUUUGAAACUUUUCAGUUUGGUAAGGUAGAGAAAGAUAAUUAAUACAAGCUGAGAAGAGAGAGAGAGAGAGAGAGAGAGAGAGAGGAGUAUAAUUUGUUGCAAGAUAAUAAAAACUUGCUUUUUGUUUGUUUUCUUUCUCAUAUAUGGUCCACAGAGUACACUGAAAGUCUGAAAUAAUUUAAUGGUGCUGUAGAAAAUUAACUAUAUGAACACUAAUGGGUAAUAGCUAGGUAUAUUAUUUAUUAUUUUAAGAUGGUUAUUUUUUUUUUGUAGUUUUCGUUAAACAAGAUUUGGGGAGAAACCAAAUUUAGCCCAUAUAAAAAAGAGACUAGUUUAUAAUUCUACCCCACAAAUAUAUAUAUGUUUCUUCUGGUGAAAUAUACUUAAAACUGAUGUGACAAAUUUACAAGCUGUUGUGCAUGCAUGUGUUGUGAAUCAAUCAUUUGUACAAGUAUUGUCAUCCUUUUAUGCAAAUGGAAGUGACUUUGCUUUAAGCAAAAGGAGAACGUCCCAACCAAAUAAAGGAAAAGGGGAGAGCGAUUUUCUUUGUUUUUAUGUUUGGAUAUGAUUGAAUUCAAUAGUUAGGUUCAAACCCAUACCCAUUGAGUUAAUAAUAGAAUUUUUGUGAAGUUACGGUUCUUUAGUUUACCACGUUACGUGCACCAUAUCGACAUAUUAUGUACGGCAUCUGAUACAUCUAAUAAUAUUUUAAUUAUUAAUUAGGCAGUUAGAAUUUAAUUGUUAAGGGUCGGAUUCUCCGUUAUUGGUUGUAAGAGGUUAGCAUUGUCCAAUACUAGUUCAAGGCCUUUAUAGCUUGCUAUUGAUUUAUAGAUCUCUUCUUGUCAAAUUAGAAAGUGAGGUUUGGGUUAUUGCUAAAGAACUUUUAGGUUUAAUUUUUCCGAACUGUGACCACAUAGGCAAUCUAGUCAUGAGAUCAAUUAUGUACUUAAGAUAAUCAAAUUUGUGAACUACACAUUUAGGAUACUUGAUUCAUUUAUUUGUGAUCUCCAAUUAAACCUCAACCCCUUUUAUUAUGUCUAUUCCUUUUUGCCUAUAUACAUUAUGGCAAAGGCAAAUUCCACACAUCUCUCAACCUAAUAUCCAGUAAGUGAUAAAAAAAAAGACCCCACAACAUAAAAGCAUUAGCAUUGACUCUCUCUCUCUCUCUCUCUCUUUCUUUCUCCGCAUUAAGAGGUGAAGUGGGUGGCAAUGCUGGUUAGCUUUGCAGCAAGCCCACAAGAUGUAGUCAGUAUUUAUGUGUUGGACGUACUUUGUUUGUGAGAACUGAUCACUGCACGGCAAUCAGGCAUUUCCUCUUUCCUUCUCACCCAUUUCUAAUACAAAUCACUGUUUUUUUUGGGGGGGUCUGAUACAAGUACUGUAUAUACACAGUGGACAAUACAGUCAGGUAGGGCCUCUAUAGAUAAGCCUGUCGCACGUCUUUGGUUCUGGUCUGGCUACUCUACUCUUUAGAAUUCACCCUUGAUAAUGAAAUUAAGUUGAAUGUAACAUUGGGAUUAGUAGUUAACAUGUUGAUUACUUGAUCAAGAGGAUUUAUAUGUUAAAGAUAUUCCUACACAUUUCAUAUCAACAAAAUUGGGAAAUUGAUCAUUUGAGCUUCAAUUGACAAAUGCUGUGUAUCUCAAGCUAGUUUACAGAUGUAGACAGUAUUAGAGCCGCCUCACCUUGUUGGUUAGCUUGAUAAUCUCUAUGGUCGAGGACGUCAUGAAAUUAGAAUUUUAAUAUCAUGCCAGACAAUCAAUACAUUAUGUUUUUUUUCUUCUUUUUAUUAAAGAAAUAUAGUAGCAGAAAUUGUAAUUUGGAUUAGAUAACUUGAACUAUCUUCUAACAUUAAUAAUACAAAUAUCACCGAACAUUAGGAAUACAAAUAUUACCGAACUAAUAGUUAGUUGGUACAUACACAUACCAUUGUUUACAUGUGCAAGAUUAGGAUGAUCCAAUUUGUCCUAUGCUAUAAAAAUUACAAUUACUCAUCCAACCAAAAAACUCUCAAUUAUAUAUAGGAUUCUUGCAAGAGUUUUAUAUAUGUAUUGUCUGCUAUUUAAGAAGGAAAGCAUUGAUAAGCAAAGAUGAUUUGACUAAUCCUAGUUAGAUUUACAGUGCGAUCAAAGCCUCCCGAGUGAGACACAAACAUAUGAUAUAUGGGUAUCUUAUGGGUUGACAUGCCACAGAGUAUAGUAGAAGAUGCCUGCUGUCCUAGCAACAUGAAUUUUUCUUACCAUUUUUUUCAUCUCAAUUUUUGAGACCUAAUUAAAUUUAUAAGUUGGGGCUGGUCUAUCUUUUGGACGAGUAAAACAAAAGCACAGCUGUUGUGUGGACCAAAGGUAAAAUCUAGGCACAUUGUUGUACUUCUGAGAGGAUCUGACAAUAUUAGUUGAAUUCAAUUAGCUAGAGAGAAUUAUUGUUAAUUAUUUGAAUUAGAGAGAGAGAGAGAGAGAGAGAGAGAGAGAGAGAGAGAGAGAGAGAGAGAGAGAGAGAGAGAGAGAGAGAGAGAGAGGGAGAGAGAGAGAGAGAGAGCAGUGAUGACCUUCAUUUUUAAUGAAAUAGGGUAUAUGUGUACAAUUAUGCAUUCUGCACAGUGUGAAAAUUGGGACAAAUCCUCUCAGUUGGCUGAGCCGACCACUGCUCAAAAACCAAUGGAAAUGUUGGGGGCUUUCACCCAAACUACUUGCUUCUUGUCCAUGAUGUAUUUAUAGCAUGAAAUAAAAAAUAAGACAACGAGGGACAUACAGUCUGCCCAACUUAGAAUUUAAACAUCUCACAACUUUGCAAAUUGCAUUCAUAUCUGUUCUUAUAACCGAAAAUUAGGGGUGGGCAUCAAUUCAGCCGAAUCGAUGAAAUUGACCGAAUCAAUCCGUAAUUAUUGAUUUGGUUUGGUUUUAACUAAGAAAAAGUCAAACGGUUUAAAAACCGAAAUGGACUGUAUAUGGUUUGAUUUGAUUUUGAGUUUUUAUAAACCAACCUAAACUAAACCGGACCGUUUAUGUGUAUAUUUAUUUAUUUAUACUAUAGUUUACAUGUGUAAUACUCUAAUUAGGUAAUAACUAUAUAUUAAAAUUUGAUUUGAGCUACAUUAGUUAUUGAAAUUUGAAGUUUUAUGACAGGUUGAGUUUUAGGAUGGUUUCGUACUCUAGAAAAUGAUUUAAAUAUGGAGCAAGUUGUGAAUUUGUUGAUUGUAAUUGGGCUAACAAUGUUUAAAUUGGUUUGUUUGAUUUAGUCUCCUUCAUGACUUUGUCAAAAUUGAACCGAACCAAACUGUUAUAUUGUAAUUGGUUCGGUUGUGCUUUUGAGGUGAAACCGAUUCAAUCCGGACCGUGCCCACCUCUACCGAAAACAAGAUCUUUGAAGCCUCUCACUAUUUUUUUUUUUAAUCAAUGGAGGUUGGGGGUUUCGAACUUAGGGCCUCUUCAAUAUUGGGAAGAGAAAUUUCACUAGACCAAGAUUUAGUUGAUCUUCUCACUAUUUUACUACUAUUUUUGAGAAAAGUAUUAUGUCUAUCCUAUAUAAAGCAAAAGUUCUUUAUCUUUAUGAUUAAAUUUUUAAUUACUAUCAUUUAGUAAGGGCUUAUAGCUCAAGUAGUUGAUAGCAUUUACCCAUGUACUCAAGGUUUUAAGUUUCAUUCUCCGUCCCCCAAUAUCGCUAGUAUAAAAAAUAAAAAAAAAAUCAUCCUUUAAGAAAAAAAAAUUCAAAACACAAUUACUUCAUUUUAAGGAGGACAAUACACAAAACAAUAAUAUAUUAAAAUGCACAAGUCGCAUCCUUGAAGGCUGAAGUUGCAGAAUUGCAUAAGCUCAUCAAACAAUCAAACCGAAAAAAUCAAGACUUUGUUGAACUGGUGCAAGUUUUACAAACACGUGUAAAGACUCGUAGGUUAUAGUUUUAUUGAUGAAUAUAAUGCUUUUAAAGACUCGUAGAGUACCACUUUUGUAAUUUUAUUUAUUUUGUUGUUGGCAUGUUUGAUUAAAAUCAUUUGUAAUCAUAAGUUAUAUUUUAUUAUGUCAUAUCACAAUUGAAACCCCAAGAAAACAGAGAAUUUAAAAGAGAAAAAAUAGAUAAGAAAAAAAAGGAAAACUCUAAUUUUUUUAAGAACAUUUACACUAUGACCCAUUGGGUUACGGAUCCUAGAUCAGUCAUUGCACACGGCUUUAACCAAAAAAUAUGGCCCCUACCUCUGUGAGAUAUGAAGAAUGCAAAUAAUCAUUCCUUUCCUUUAUCGCCAAACUUUUCUCUCUAUCUCAAAACUUAUAUAUGCAAAAAAUGAUUAACACACUCGUGUGUACCUUUAUCUUAUCAUAGAGUUUUCCUCUCACGAUUUGAUUGGGAGCAACCAUAUCUUCCCUCUCAUUUCUCUCUUUCUAACGACAGAGGGUGAAUUGAACAAAAUGAGAUAAUAAUAAUAAAUAAAAACUAGCUCUAAUGGUUUUAGACCAUAAACCUUUUCUUCAUAUUAGAUGAGAAUACCAAAAAGAAAAAAAAGAAAGGAAGAAACUUGGACAAAGUCCAUAGCUAUUGCUCCACUGGUGAGUCGUCACCAUCGCCACUUCAUCCAACACUUCCACAUGGAUCACAAAAUGUACAAUCUACUACACAUGACCUCCACAAUGUCAUUUAAAACUAGCAAAGUUGUUGAUACAUAGAUGAGCCUUAUUAAGAGACAAUCUAUGUCGAAGCUUCUUCAUCUUUCUUAACUGCAUCUCUUAUUGCAACACCAUCUACACCAUUAAAGCUACUGACCCGCGAUCUACAAAACGCAAAGGAUAAUGUCCCAACCAAUUGCCGAAAAUUGUCCAAUAUGACAUCAAAAUCUUUCCCGUGUAUACCAAAGUUUAUUGUCGGCACUAAGAGUAUUGCGUUGAGCUAUUGACACCCAAUAAUAGUCAGUUUUCUUUGUUGAGGUAGGUAACUAUGACAAGAAGCUUGUCACAUUGAAGAAACUAAAGAAAUCAACAUAGUGUGAUUUAUUAAUUCAAGGUGAAAUUGCUACACUAGACAAGAAACACGACGAACACAAAGUCACAAUGCUGUCUUUGCCGCUAAAAUUUCGAAAUAUCUCUAUCUAGCCAUCAACUUUGUGAUGCAAUAAUUUCAACUCAAACCAAAGAACUCUAAUCCUUGUAGGCUAGACAACUGUUUCCAUUCAACCACGACAUAUGAGCAACAUGUCGAUGACAUAAUCUCACCUUUUCCUAGCAUGGUUGAGGAUGUUCACAAUAUCUCCUUAUGGUAUAUCCACAAUUAAUGGAAUAGGUUGUCCAAAUCUAUUUACUCCAAAAAGUUUUCAAGCCACUUACUUCUCUUGAUAUUGUAGUGCUCUAUUGAACAUGCUCCAUGCCCUGAAUAUUCCUGAAGCUUCAAGGUCAUCGUCCUCUUCUUAGAAAUUGCCUUUUGGUAGUCUCCUGGAAUUUAUCUAGUUCCUUGUGUUAGUAGUGAAGAUCCAGAGCCAAUUUUCUUGAUAUAAAAGGAAUCACUUGGGAAGGGGGGGGUGGACCAUGGGAGGCUUUCACCUACCUAAGCGAAGCCAUGCUACAAAUGAGUGUAAUUUUGAGGAUUCUAAUACACCACACCAAAAUUUUCUUUGGGGAAUGAACCUAAGGUAAUUACAACACCCAAUCCUUUUUUUGGGAAUGGUAGCUUCAAAGACAAAUUAAUAAAUAAAGUCAAUUUUACUAAGAGUGUGGGUAUUAAGGUCAAUUUCCUAGAUGCUGAUUAUGAAGAUUUGAAUGAUGAUGAGGAUGUUAUGAUCUCUCAAAAAAAGCAUCGUCCGAGUAUUCAAUUCUUAGAUCAAGCCAUGAAUCGUCUCUAUCAACCAUGGAAGAAUGCUUUGAUGGUCAAACUUCUUAGGAGGUCUCACACAUAUAACUAUCUUCAAGCUCAGCUGCAGCAAAAGUGAAAACUUAAAAGUAAUUGGAAGCUUGUUGAUAUGGUAAUUCUGUGGUGAAGUUUGACUCGGAGGACUUUAAUUUUGUAUUGACCGGAGGACCCUGGAUUAUUGCGGGUCAGUACCUGAUUAUGCAAAAAUGAAGGCCUGGGUUUAACCCAGCAACUGCUCAGAUUGUAAACAUGGCAGCUUAAAUUCGUGUUUCAGGUAACCAACUGGAAUGCUUUGAUGUUUGGGCCCUUAAAAAGAAUUGGUAACUUGUUGGGAAAAUUGUUAGAAAUUGAUUCUCUAACAACUGAUUAAUGGGCAAAUUUGCUAGACUAUGUAUUGAAUUGGAUUUGACUAAGCCUCUUGAGGCAUUUAUCCAGAUCAACCAAGUUUGGUGUAAUAUUGAAUAUGAAGACCUUCCUAAUAUUUGUUAUAUGUGUGGAAGAUAUGGAAAAAAAAAAAAUUGUAAACUGAAAGCUACUGCUGCUGUUGAAAAUAUGGAGAAAAUUUCGGAUGUUGUACCUUCCAGGGGAGAUCAUGUUACUAUGGAACAAGUGUUGUUAUGUUAAUUCGCAAUUGGACGGGCCAAUUUGUAGUAUAGCAAGAUAAGUACGAGGUCGUACCCAUGAGAACUGAGAAGUUAAACUUUGUUAUGUACUUAGAUUACCGAAUUCAAGAAAGUAGGAAGUUAAGUCUAAAACAGAAUUUAAAGUGAGAGUGAUUGUGAUCGUCAAAACAAAUGAAGCAAAAUGAAAUUGCAAACAAAAGCAAGUAAACAAGUGCAACAAAAGGUGGUUUUGAAGGUUGGAAAACUGAUUUGGAGACUGGGGCAUUCGAUUUACCAUAACAAUCCAAUUCUAGAUGAUAAGGAUUCAAGUGACAAGUCUAAUUCAGAUUCAAGAAUUGAUUCUAGCUAAAGUAUGAUUAAGCUAUGGUGUCUAGUCCUAACCUUGUAUUCCUAAUUCCCUAAUUAGAUCUUUGUUGUCGAACCUAAAUUAAGCUUUAAAAAUCCAUUAAGCAUAGAAGAAUGUUUUAAACAACCAAGCAUGUAUCUAAUUCCUGUUGUCGAAUUUCCAUACAUACUCUUCCUAUUCAUGGUUCAAAUAGAAUUAAGGCAUAUGAUGUCUACUCUUAAUUUCAACCAAGAUACACAAAUUUGAAUGAUAGCUAGGCAUUCCGAUUAGCAUAAGGGCAGGUAUGCAUAAUGAAUAAGAACAUGAAUCAUGAAUUAAACUUGAAAUUUGAAAUUUAUAAACCUAGAAUAUUCAUGUUAGGUUACAUCGAAACCCUAGUUAUGGAUUUAGCUACUCAUAAUGGGAAAGAAACUUAAACAGAAAUGAGAAAACAUAAUGAAUGCAAUAAGAGUAGAAAACCCUUUUCUGAAGUUCUUGUGGUGUCCAAUGCUUCUCCAAGAGCUUCUCCACGUGUAAUGCUUCUCCAAGAGCUUCCCAAAAUCUAGAAGGAUGUAUAAAGGUUAAGGAGGUUAUUUGGGAUGAGUUUGGGUGAGUGAUGAUGGUUGAGAAAGAGGAAAUUAGUAGGGAAAUGGAAGAGAGGCUUGUUGGGACAGUUUUUGUGAUUUGGUGCUGUUUAGAGCUUUGAGUUGAUGGCUGGAGUGUUUGGGGUUGUGAGAGUGUUUGAGGAUGAUUUCUGAACGUGUUUGAGGAAUGAUGGGAGUGUGGAGGAUGAAGUGAAUGGAUGCAUUGUGGGAGUGUGAAUCCCAUAAUAUGGUUCUUUUUAGUGUGGAAUGGAAGUGGUAUUUAUAGGAAGAAGGAAGUGAGAAAUCUGAAUUGAGAAUGGCUUUCACCUACAACAUUCACUUUACCAACCUUACCUAACACACCAAUGCAAUACAAAAUCAGUUUCUUUUCUUAUUUGGUUGUUGCACUUCACUAACAAAUCUCACCAGAAAUCAUAGCUCAUGCAUAGCUCAUCAUGACCAAGCAACCAUCAACUCAUCUUUAGGUAAGCAUGACCAGCAAAUUCGUGGGCUUACGAAUCGGAUUGUUCUUAAGAAAAUGACAACUUUUUGAGCCUUCCAUCUUGAAGUUCAGAAUGUCAUCUUUCCAACCACAUGUUAUUUGGGACAAUCCAAAGUCAGAUGAAGAUGUAAUGUCGAAACGAAUUGCUAACUCAAUUUGCACGUUUUCCUAUCCAAAGCCACCAUUGCUACCUAAAUCUCAAUGAACUGAAUGAUAAACACAAAAGAGAUUAAAAACAUAAGUUUAAGUAAAAAACAUAAUGAAAUCAUAAGCUAGAAUGGUACAAAAAGAUAUACAAUUACAAAUUGAUCAACAAGAGAAUAUUGAUUAUGCUCUUGAAAACUUGAGAGGCCCUUGGAUGAAUAUGCCUAUUAGAAGGAAACCCAAGCAUGUGGUUAACAACUUGGGAAACAAGGGAUCUAGAGGUGGCAACUUCGGGUCUAGGUUCAAUACUUUAAAAAAUGUGAGUGAAGGCUCUACGAAUGAUGGAGUGUCCUUUCAUGUGAAUGUCAGAAAGCACAAUUAUGGUCAUAUUGGCUCUUCCAAAAGUGGGGAGGCCAAUAGGAAAAAAGUUUGGACAAAAUCUAAAAACAAGACUCUUGGUCCAAGGAAAGCUUUAAAAGACAUUUCUAAUAAGCCUUUAUUGGAAUAUGUUAAAAGGACUGAUGGUUCUAUAUUUAUGAGUCAGUUUAACAACACUGUGACUAGGGGUCUGGCUACCGAGAAAGGUUAGUGAAUGGUGAGCAAAGGAUCAGGAACCACAUUUCCGUGAAUGAACAACUAAACAAGUGGAUUAGUGGUCAAAAGAAUUACAUGAAAAAUGGUGUCUAUGUCUUUAGGCACCAACCAACCAAUAUCACUCACCCAAAGAUGAUGCUUGGGAAGAAACAUACUACUAAGGAAGGAGUUGUCCCUUUGGCAUCUAAAGCCCAUGAUGGUACGAUCCCAAGUAAGCUUUGAAUCCGGCUCCAGGACAAAUGAAUUCUCUAAUUGGAGACUUAGCAUACAACACAUUCAUUGUUGUUGAUCAGAGCUAGUUCAUCGGAGAUAACUUUAAGAGUUUGCAGAUAGUCACACAUAGACUUGGAUUUAUAGUGGAUGAGAGUGAGGCGUUCCUUGAGGAUUAUUACUCGAAAAUGAGCUUGAUUAGUAUAAUGCUUAAAAAGUUUAUUCCAAAAUUCAUGGUAGAUUUUGGCUGCUAUGAUGAAUAUAGCUAGUUUACAAACAAAAGCAAGGAUGACGUGUUACAUAACACCUUGGUGUACCAUUGUGGUAUGGGCAUAAGUAUGAGCUUUGUUUUGACAAAUGGAUAUGGGCACUUGUGAGUGUCAUGAUAACUCGUGAGAUCAUAACCUACACAUUAUAAAAAAUUUGUUUCGUCUUAAAGAUAAUGAUAAAAUUACAUUGAGUCCAAAAUUACCAUAUCUUAGGCUAAUAAGUGCUUUAUUACAUUUAGCACAAUCUAAUAUACGGAAAGGCUACAAUUAAGGGGUAUAAAUGAGGGGCUUAAGUGAGUCUGAAACUCUCUGAUCCUUGUAUUUUGGUUACUUUUUGGAUAAAUUUGUGCAUCAUGACUUUGUUCGUAUGCAAGUUCAAUGCCUAUGGUUUGGAGUCUACAAGGAAGUCUCAACGAUGAUAAGCAUCUGUGCACCCAGUGGCUUCUACUAACGAAAACCUUUUUCAACAACAAUAUCUUUAAGACUUGCAUCGGAUUGAUCUCAAAAAAUAUGUAUCCCUGCUAACAAUUCUGCGAUUCUUUAAAGUGCAGCUUCACUGCUUAGGGGUUUUGUUAAACUGCCAUCCUGUUUCUUCUAUUUAAGGUAUCUGUUCUCCAAUACGCAUCAAAGGUUGGUGAUGGGAACUGAUUUUUCAAUUUGCCUUUUGCCCCAAGCUAUUGCACUCGUCUCUAGAGGCCCUCAUGAAGACCCAAAGGGAUGAUGUCGGCUUGAAUUGUGUAAGGUCAGCAUUCCACUUCUUGAAUAUUUCUUGUGUGCCCUUGCAAGUUGCGUGCAUUUUCCGUAUUUAAAGCACAGCUCAGCAAAGAUAUGACUUAUCNNNNNNNNNNNNNNNNNNNNNNNNNNNNNNNNNNNNNNNNNNNNNNNNNNNNNNNNNNNNNNNNNNNNNNNNNNNNNNNNNNNNNNNNNNNNNNNNNNNNGGAUGACGUGUUACAUACCACCUUGGUGUACAUGUGUAUGGGCAUAGUAUGAGCUUUGUUUUGACAAUGGAUAUGGGCACUGUGAGUGUCAUGAUAACUCGUGAGAUCAUACCUACACAUUAUAAAAAAUUUGUUUCGUCUUAAAGAUAAUGAUAAAAUUACAUUGAGUCCAAAAUUACCAUAUCUUAGGCUAAUAAGUGCUUUAUUACAUUUAGCACAAUCUAAUAUACGGAAAGGCUACAAUUAAGGGGUAUAAAUGAGGGGCUUAAGUGAGUGGUCCAAUCCAACUAUUAAACUUCAACAUUUUCAACUUACAUAUGGUUGGAUUGGACCACUCACUUAAGCCUCCUUUACUCAUACCUGUUGUUUUCGGAUUCAACUACACCAAAAUUGAUUCAGCUGCAUCCUCAACUUGUGAUACUCGUAAGUGCAUGAGCUGUUCGGUAGUAUAUCAUGUGUAAGUGCGAUGUCGAUCCCACGAGGAUUGAUGAUAGAUUGAUUCAAUUCGAUUCCCUGCACAAAACAAAAAACAAAAGAAUAGAAAACAAGAAAGAAAAAAAAGAACUAACUCAAGCAAAUCAGUUAACAAGUUUAAUUCAGAUUGAUGGAUUGAUUCUAGGUAAAGUAUGAUUAAGCCAUGGCUUCUGGUCCUAACCUUGUAUUCCUAAUUCCCUAAUUAGAUCUUUGUUGUCGAACCUAAAUUAAACAUUAGAAAUCCAUUAAGCAUAAAAGAAUGUUUUAAACAACCAAGCAUAUAUCUAAUCCCUGUUGUUGAAUGUCCAUACAUACUCUUCCUAUUCAUAGUUCAAUUCGAAUUAAGACAUAUGGUGUCUACUCUUAAUUCCAACCAAGAUAGUUAACAUAUAAGUUUUAAUGGUGAUCAAUCAUUCAAACAAACAUAUUAACUUAUAAGCAUAAUAAAUAAGAACAAAAGCCAUAAUUGAAACUUGGAAACAAAUCAAACUUGAAAACUUAAAAUAAGAAAUUAUAUGACAAUGAAAAAUAAAUUACAACUAAGAAAAACAUAAAGGAAAAUUUAGCAAAAAAGUUUUAUUACAACAAUUGAGAACUUAAAAGGAAAACUAAGAGAAUUCGAGAGAGAAAAUGGAGAGAAGGAAGGUCGAACACCUCUCUAGAGCACCUCUCCCUUCUCUUCCUCAAAUUCUCUAAGUUCUCAAAUACACCCCAAAAGGGGGAGCUCUCAAACACAUCUAUAGAAAUCCCCUAUUCUCUUCCUCAAAUUCUCUUAGUUCUCAAACACCUAUGUAGAAAUCCUCUCUAUUCUCUUCCUCAAAUUCUCUUAGUUCUCAAACACACCCCAAGGGGGGAAGCUCUCAAAUACCUCUCUAGAGCUCAUCUCCCUUCUCUUCUUCAAAUUCGCUAAGUACUCAAACACACCCUAGGGGGAGAGCUCUCAAACAUCUCUCUAGAGCUCUUCUCCCUUCUCUCCCUCAAAUUCUCUUAGUUUUUCUUUUAAGUUCUUAAUUGUUGUAAUAAAACCUUUUUGCUAAAUUUUUCUUUAUGUUUUUCUUAGUUGUAGUUUAUUUUUCAUUGUCAUGUAAUUUCUUAUUUUAAGUUUUCAAGUUUGAUUAGUUUCCAAAAGUUUCAAUUACAGUUUUUGUUCUUAUUCAUUAUGCUUAUAAGUUAAUAUGUUUGUUUGAAUGAUUGAUCACCAUUAAAGCUUGUAUGUUAGCUAUCUUAGUUGGAAUUGAGAGUAGAUACCAUAUGCCUUAAUUCGAAUUGAACUAUGAAUAGGAAGGGUAUGUAUGGACAUUCGACAAUAGGAAUUAGAUACAUGCUUGGUUGUUUAAAAUAUUCUUCUAUGCUUAAUAGAUUUCUAAUGCUUAAUUUAGGUUUGACAACAAAAAUCUAAUUAGGGAAUUAGGAAUACAAGGUUAGGACCAGACACUUUGGCUUAAUCAUACUUUAAUUAGAAUCAAUCGGUGAAUAUGAAUUGAACUUGUUUACUGAUUUUCUUGAGUUAUUUCUUUUCUUUCUUUCUUGUUUUCUGUUCUUUUGUUUUGUUUUCUGUUUUGUGUAGGGAAUCGAAUUGAAUCAAUCCAUCAUCAAUCCUUGUGGGAUCGACCUCGCGCUUACAUAUGCUAUACUACCGAAUAACUCAUGCACUUGCGAGUAUCACAAGUUAAGGAUGCAGCUGAAUCAAUUUUGGCACAGUUGAAUCCGACAACAAGAAGUUUUUUAGUAUAUUCGUAAGUUUGGAGAACCUCACUAUUUAUAGGCCUAAGGGAAGUAAAAACAAUUAGCUCAUGCAUAGGUCAUGCAUGAUAAUACACUGCAAUCUGGUUGUAGGCUCGUUUUGGGCUUGUUCCUUCAUUCAUACAAUUCUGGAAAAAUAUGGGUCUUGAAGCUCUUUGUCUUAUCCUUCUAACCAUAUGUAGUCAAAUGUCAUUUUUGGCAUAGUAACGUAGAUGCUGCCGAAUUUCACCUUAAGCUACCAAAACUUUCAUAACUUUUUUUAGAAGACUCAGAAUCAUGAACCAUAAAAUGCUCCAGAAACUAAACUCCCACAUAUUUCCAAUGGUGUAUGGCUCAUUAGCUGGUUCUUCCAAAGAUCAUACAGUCCAAGCCAUGAAUUUGACUGAUCUACAGACACAGUUUUGAGCUAACUUGACUCCAAAAUGCAUUAAAUGAGUCCUAAAGCUUAAUACACUGAAACAAACACACAAGCGAUUAAAAGCACAAUUUUAACUUUAAAACAUAACGAAAUCAUAAGUUAGAAGGGUACAAAAUGAUAUAUAAUUAUGCACUUAUCAAUACCCUCUCAUUAUAGCAGCUCCCAUCUACUAUGAACAAUAUCACAUUUCUAAUGAAUUUAUUAGCAAGGUAUAGAUCAGCUCCAAUAUGUAGACAUUGGAACUGUAUAAAGCAUAUCUCGCACUAUCUUUGCAGAUGUAGUUACUUGUGGAAAUACAUUGAUCUCAUGAAGAUCUACCAAACAAACUGUGAUUGCUACAUCCUCUAAUCAUUAAAAAAUUCUCGUGCUCAUGAAACCAACAAAGAAUGUGUUUGGUUAAGAUCUCAAAUUUAUCAAAUUCAAAGCACAUGUGUUCUUUCUUUAACAACAAAUGCUCUAAUGAUUAUGUAUGAAGACAAUGAUGCAUAUAUAACUUAAAUCAAAGAAUGAUUUAUCAAGAGUGACACAACCAAACACAUAUCACCAAAAUUAUUAUACACAUGAACUUUAAAAAAUUCUAGAAAUCGAAGUCAAACAAAUUUAUUCCCAAGAUAAUAUUUCAGUCAUUUUCACCAAAGCUCUACCAAAAUCUAUAUUCUAGAAGUUGAUGUAUGGUAUCGGGGAGCAUUGAAUUUACAAGCAAUCAAAUUCAAACUUGUUGGGAUCAUAUGAAGAUAUCAAUUUAGGGAAGCAUCCAAAAGUAUACCACAUCAAACAUAUGCACACUGUACUAUUUUUCUCUUGGACUAGGCUUUAUAUCACAUUGGAUUUUUCAUUGUAAGGUUUUAAUGAGAUAUAUUUCAAUGUGUCCAACGCGAUGUCAAUAAUCUGGACAAAAGUAGUACUUGUCUUUUCCCUUCGCUAAGGUUUUAUCUCACCGAGAUUUCUUAGCAAAGGUGUUAAUGAGGUAACUUAUCAUUCAUGCGCAGACAUCCAAUGGGAUUUUGUAGUAUUAAUGAUUAUGCGGCUAUCCACUUGAAGUCAAUAAGUAUUAGUUCAUUUGACUAUUAAGUAAAUUGUUAAUAUUAAUAUUUAGAGAGAAGUUAUGAUGGAAUCUCAAUACAUUUCACUUAUUAUAACUUAAGUAACAUUUACAUAUCAUUUCUCUCAAACGCUCUCCACUUCUCUCCCUCUCAAACCCUAGUCACUGUUCCUAUCCUAGGGAGGGGGAGGGAAGGUCACUGUCUUUCCUCCCUUCUCCUUCCUUAUUUUCUCUCAUCCUCUUCCUAGCUCUUUUCUCUUGCCUUCCUUUUGGUUUUUUAGUUGAGCUUAUUGUCAUUUCUGACCCUUCGAGGGUUUGGUUGUGCUCUCUGCUCUACUUUUUUGUUGCCCUGGAUCUCCUUAAACCCCCCCUCACCUUGUGAUGCCCCUUUAUUUUGCGGCUUUAUCUUGGUGUUGUUUGGGUUCUUUUUGCAGAUCUGUGGGUUUUGUGUGUGUGUAUUUAUUUAUUUAUUUUUGUAGAUUCCUGUGUGGCUGCGGUUCUCCCCUCAACUUGGGCUUCUACCAUAGUGUUCUUGUUUUCGAGCAUCUCGUUGGUUUUGCAUUUUUUUUUUUUUGGGUUGUAAUAAUUACAUAAACUCUUUUGUGACUUUGGUGUUUUGUUUGUAGUUGAGUCUCUACUUGUAAUUUUACUUGUGAUAUAGUUUAAAAGUUGUAGUUGUAUUGGUAGUUUUGGGCAAUGAUCGGUCCAUAUCUAAUUUGUUUAGGCUUGCGGCUUUCAUGCUGAAAUGUGUUUGGAUUUAUGCCACUACUAGUGGAGAUAUGCCUUGUGGUGUAUUUCUCUAUAUUUGGAAUAACCCUGCGUGGUUACUGUGCUUCCACAUUUGUGUCAACCUGUUUUGAGUAGUUUAUGCCCUUGUGGAUGAUGAUGUUGGUGCCUAAGUGAUGAUGGUCUUGUCCUGUAUCCUGAAGGGGAAAACACAAGAGAUAUACUGCUGCACCGGUUCGUGGGCUUUGCCAACUCAUAGUGGGCUUGAAUCUCCUUACAAAGAGCGAAAUAUCUGUGCUUCAACCUAAUUGUCUAUGUGCUUCUUGGAGCAUAAAAUAUUUCUUGUAUUUUCUUAAUUGUAUCUAGCAAUAUGGAAAAAGGCCAAAGGAGAGAGAAAUUUUUUAAAAGAAGCCAAAAUGGACAAAAUUACUCUUAUUUAUUUUUGAAUUUCCUAAGGAAUCCUUUACAUUUGUAUAUCUUUAAUUUGAUAGUUGAGAGGUUUUUCUGUCUUUUUUAAAAAAGCUUUGGCUUUUUCCAAAAGUGAAAGUUUUUUUAUGACUAAAACCUAAAUUUACUUAUUAAUUAAGUUCUUUAAUGAUGUAAACUAGGUUAACUUUGAGCAUAGCAUGCAAGUCUCUAACCCUACAUAAAUGGGCCUAAUGGAAAGAAAAAGAUACAGUAAAAGUUCUUAUUUCUUUCUUAAUUAUUUGAUUUCCAACAAUUUUAUUUUUUGUAAGAUAAUUUACAACUUUAGAUAGUUGCCAAAAGGAUUUAUCCUAAAUAAGGAAAAUAGCGUAUAAGUUUAUAGGCUGAAAAUUAGAGUACAUAUAUUAAAACCUUAAAACCUUGAAGCCGAAAAAAAAACAUAAAACGGCCACUAAUGCUAUUAUCCUAGAUUCUACAUAUACUUUGCAAACACAAUAAAAUAGAACUAGAUUCUUUUUUAAUCAAAAUUAAUUAGGUAGAUAGACUUUAAUUAUUAUUUUUUUGGGUUGUAUGUGUUCUUCACUAGGUGAUUCUAUUUUCCCCCCUUUCCCUUACCUUUACUACUUCUCUCACUGUGUUGUACUACUUUAAUAACUCGUCUCUCCACCGUCCACUCCCUUCAGUCAUCUUGUACUCUCUCUCUCUCUCUCUCUCUCUCUCUCUCUCUCUCUCUAUAAAAGCAAGGUCACCCAGCAAAACUAUUCCCUUCAUCUCACACAGUAUAGUAGUACCCUUUUUAAUUAACCAUGGCUGACUACCCCUACUCAUCAAAUUUCUUCCCAGGUCUCUUCAAAUUCAACCCUCUUUAUCAACGUCACCAUGAACAGCCUCCAAACCCUCCUCCUCCUCCUCCUCCUCAUCCUUAUGCCCACAACUUUUUCCUCAACCAGUCUCACUCUUUUUACUGCACCACCCAACAAACUGUUACCUCUAGGCCCCCUUCCCCUCCUCUCAGAGAAGCCCUCCCUCUCCUCAGCCGCUUAAGCCCAACAAACCAACAACAACAACAUCAUCUCCUUCAUGAAAAUCAACAAGAUCAUCAUCAGUAUAAAGAUCAAGAUGAGGAAGAAGAAGAUGAUGAUGAUGAGAGUGUGACUGUUGCACUUCACAUAGGGUUGCCUAGCCCUAGUGCUGCUGAGAUGGCCUCUGUGCUGUCUGCUGCUGCGGUUGCUUCUUCCUCCUCAGAGAUUAGUAGUCAUCAUCAUGAAAAAUUAGAUCAUGGGGGAGAUAAUGAUUCUGCAGGGUACCCCAUGAGCUGCAGGCUCAACAAGGGUCAGUAUUGGAUCCCCACCCCUUCCCAGAUUCUCAUUGGUCCUACUCAGUUCUCUUGCCCUGUUUGCUACAAGACCUUCAACAGAUACAACAACAUGCAGGUAAUUGAUUUCACCAUUUAAAGUUGAACAAAAUUAAUAAAACCAUUGAGGUAAAUUUCUUGAUUCACCAUGAAACCAUGGCCUCAGAAGCCAUUUUCCCUUUUCUCCUCUCUCUCUCUCUCUCCCAAUCUUUUUCUUUUUAUCAGCCUUUUCUUCUCUCUUUGUUUUCCUCUAAUAAUUUAAGGACAACAAUCAGUCUCAUGAUGAGCUCAGCUUUUUGUUUCUUCAAUUUGUCUUUGAUUUUCUUCCCUUAACUAUCAUCCUAUGCUUGGGUUUAUAAAUGGAAAAUCAGAUUGGGGUAUCCUUUUUGUUUUUUAUUUACUUUUUCCAAAUUUUACUUUUUAAAAACAUAUUCAUCAUCUUCUACUUUUAUUUGCAUGGUUUCUGGGAAUUGGGGUUGAGUAAAUCUUUCUGAUUCAGCUAAGGCUAUGGGCAGUACCGUCCCUUUAUGUGAUUGAACAACACAGGCAAUGUUCCUUAUGCCUUUAGUACUUUGAAGUCUGUGCUCAAACAUAUAAUGGCAGAAGCUGAAAAAUCUUGCAGUGUUUUUACCAGAGGGGCCAGGUCAUAACAUUAUUCAAGUAACAAAUGAGUUUCUGUAUGUGGACCUUCAGUCUGCAACAAAUCAGUUUUUGGUCAUCCAAGCCCCAUACUUAUUCAUACAAAAUAUAUACCUCUCUCUCUUCUCAAUCAACAAAUCUUGAAAACUCAAUAAGUAAUUCAUUUUUUUCUUUCUAUUAUUACAUCUCAAUGAGCUCUAUCAACUCAGUAAGUAAAUUGGUAGAUCUCUCUUUUGCAGACAAAGACUUGUAAACUAAGCACUUUCAUAUGCCUUUUAAAGCGUCCCUAAAACAUUCAAACAAUUCAUUGCGAAAAAAAGAAAGAAUUUACUCCAAUUGAAAAUGCAUUUUCAAGGGAAGUCCAUAUAAAUAUAUAUAUUUAUCUGAAUCUUAUAAAAAUCAUGCAGUUUUAAUCCCCAAAAUAUUUGCACCUUUAAUCCAGUAAUUAGUUAGAAAGUUUCUUUCAUGUGCACAACAGAAAAGUUAAUGAAUCUCGGAAUUCAUCAACAAAAGAUGACUAGCAUAUUAGAAGCCAAAUAAUAGGCUUAAAUACUGCACGUGCAAGCCAGCAUUUUGUAGUUAUCUUUUUUAUCUUUUUAUUUUUUUCUCUUUGAAUUAACUGAUAGUUUGGAUGUUUUGGUAUUCAUUGAUCACUGAUUUUUGUUUUAUUAUUUUCUUUUUCCGACUAUAUAUGUUAUAUAUUGUAGAUGCAUAUGUGGGGGCAUGGAUCUCAGUAUAGAAAAGGGCCUGAAUCUCUGAGGGGCACUCAACCAACAGGCAUGCUUAGGCUUCCUUGCUAUUGUUGCACACCAGGUUGCAGGAACAACAUCGAUCACCCUAGAGCAAAGCCGCUAAAAGACUUCAGAACCCUUCAAACACAUUACAAGAGGAAGCAUGGAAUCAAGCCUUUCAUGUGUAGAAAGUGUGGCAAGGCAUUUGCAGUGAGGGGGGAUUGGAGAACCCAUGAGAAGAAUUGUGGGAAGCUUUGGUAUUGCAUUUGUGGCUCUGAUUUUAAGCACAAGAGGUCCCUUAAAGAUCAUAUCAAGGCCUUUGGGAAUGGGCAUGCAGCUUAUGGCAUUGAUGGCUUUGAAGAAGAAGAUGAUCCUGCUUCUGAAGUGGAGCAAGAUAAUGACUCCAUGCAGUAAUUACUUACUUGGAAGAGAAUUAAGAAACAUUAAGUAUUGUUCAUUAAUAUCAUUAGCAUAUGAACUUAAUUAGAGGGGUAAUAUUUAUUGACAUAGCCAUGGCUUUCUGAGUAAGAAGUAUGUAAGCAUCAUUUUGCUUAGAGGCCACCUUUUUUCUUCUUCUUUUUUUGCUCUUAUUAUGUAGCUCUUUUCUCAGUUCUGUAAGAGGUUCCAAAACAAAUCCAUGUUGACCAAGUAAUUUAUGUCAACCCAUUGUUCAUCAGCUAAUGUGAAUGGCUUUUAGUUUUUAUAAUUUUCUGUCCCUUUUGUUUUUUUGUUUUUUUUGAGAGAAAAUGGUAUUUCAUUCUACCCAAACGUAACAUUACAUGGUAGAAAAAUCUUUAACGAAUUGAUAACUUACUGAUCACUGUGAAGCUCAAGAUGGGAAACAAUAUGCCAAGAAGGCCACAUUGAACCUUAAUGAUUAUACAUUUUCUUUAGGAAGUAUAUAUUCUCAUAUUUGGAUUGCCCUUGCCACUAAUAAGGAGAAAGAGAGAGAGAAUUUAAGAAGAUGGUCAAUGAGAAGAGAAGAAUCUUUGAAAUAAGACGAUCUAACUUUUAGAGAUAAUAAUAAUAUACGCACGGAUAAUUGAACUUUAGGGGUUUGGGGCUUUUGGCUUUAAUAAUUCAAUUUCCUUUUAGGAUCCUCCCGAAGAGUAUUCAUCAAUUCACAAAUCUCAUAAUUCCAAGUGCUCGAUUACUAAUCAGUUAUACAUGUGUGUCUUGAAUCUCACAUCAAUUUUGUAUUCUGUUAAUAAAUUUUAUUGUAUAAGUGAAUCAUGAACAUAUUUGUUGAAAUCUUGAUAAGGAUGUCAUAAUUUGAGUGAGUCGUAAUGAGAACGUUAUGGAUUUAAGUGGAGAUUGAAAUAUAUGUUCCGUGCUAGUUUUGUUUAUGUUAAUUAAUUAGGAGAGUAUGCUAUCUCUUGGUUAUAAUGAUUCAAGUAAACUUUAUUAGUGACUAAUUAUAAUCUCUUUAGGAAUAUUGCAUCAAGAAGGCGAGUUGGUAUCUGAAAUGGUGGCAAUAUUGUAAAGGCAAAGUUAAGAGGAAAGCAAGACAAGGGUUGGGUAUAUUUUGUUCCAAAUGUAGUUGAGAUAGGCUUUUCAUCUCCUGCAAAUAACAUGCAUCAACUUUUUGUUGGGGCUGCAUACGAUGCCCCUUUUGCUUUGUUAGUGGAGAGAGAGAGAGAGAGAGAGGUAUGUUUGAUGGAUGGAACAUGUACCAUUUGAUUCACUAUUGCUUGGGAAAUUCAAAGCAAAUGAUUAGCUUAGAGAGAGAGAGAGAGAAAGGGGAUAAAUAAUAUAAACCUAAAAAUGUAGAGAUAUGCAUAUGUACACACAUAACUAACACAAGAGAAGGAAAGUUAAAGAAAAAAAGAGAGAAAAAUGAUGUAGGUGUCAAUCAAUAAUAAUAUUGGAUUGGAAUGGAUCUCGUUGGCAGCUUUGUUGAGAGAGAAAGAGAGAGAGAGAGAGAGAGAGAGAGAGAGAGAAGAGGAUGGGAAAAAGCUAAGGUCAGCUACAGAGGGUGAAAACGCAACUGGGUGGAGCCCAAGUCGUAUUGGUUGGUUGGUUGUGCUAGUUUGCAACAUAUACUGAUACCCUGCUACAGUCAUACAAAAACCUUUCUUCUGAUGGAUGAACUGUAGAUUGAAACGACCUCUCAAUAACACUUUGACCACCCCUCUCUUUCUCUCUCUCUCUCUCUCUCUCUCUCUCUCUCAAGGGCAGGCAGGGCAACUUUGAAAUAUUAUUUCAGCAAGACUGCAAAACUUGCUAGCUAGCUUAUCUGCUAAAUACAACAUGAAGUCAAGUAUGGUGAAGAAGAGAAUAAUGGUAAUAGUGAUGUAACAUACUCGUGUUUUACACUUUCACUAACCAAACGUACGUAUAUUUAAACUUUUUGGUACGUUAUUCUUCUAAUUAACCAAAACCUACGUAUAUUUAAACGUACGUAUAUAUCUUUAUCUUGUAGGUGGGCGAAGUGGGUUUGCUAGCUAUAUAUAUUAUAUAUUUUUGGCAAAAAAGAAGAAGAAGAAGCUAUAUAUAUAUAUAUAAAAUUCCUGUGUAAUAAUAAUUAGUAUUAUUACUCCUACUACUAAACAUAUAUAUAUAGUUGAACUACAAGUAGAAAGCAUUUAUUCACAAUCAAUAUCCCACCCCUUUGUAGGGGAGACCAAAACCCUACCACUAUUUGAUCCUUUUGGUCCACCCCCUCUCUCUUUUCCAUUUACAUCACCACACAUUCUCUCUCUCUCUCUCUCUCUCUCUCUCUCUCUCUCUCUCUCUCACGUGUAAAAACACACACAUGCUUGCUUAUCAUUCUCAUCUAUCUUUUUGGAAAUAGAGUGCAUGAGUUAUACGCUACAACAUGGGGAGGUCAGGUCAGAAUGAAUGAGUGAUUAGUUUCUUGAAAGUUCAAAGCAUCCACAUAUAUGGAGAGAGACAUUUUAGUUGACAUCCCUCUCAUAUAAACUUAUUUGAAUGACAUCCUUUUAAGUUUCACUUCAUAUUGUAUUUUAAUGAUUCGAACAGUCUAUAAAUUCAUCUAAAAAUUAUUUAUGAAAAAAUUACUUAAAUCUAAAUCCAUUUAACUACACCUACAAUAUAUAUCACAUACCCCACCACAAAAUAUAUAUAUAUAUAUAUAGGUGGGGUAAAAUUGAUAAUUCCAUUUUUAUGCUUUAUAUGCCAUGCAUUGUCACUAUGCAAAGAUCUUUGCCCUUUCUUUAGACGAAUGAAUAGAAAGCAGAGGGUUUGUACUGUCUAUAUAUCUAUGUCUAUAUCUAAGCAAAAAUAUAUACACACUGAGUACUGACGUUCUUAUCAACUGAUGAGGCAAUUGUUUUUUUCCCCAUCCUCGAACACUCAAUGGCUCAGCCAUGCACAGCCUUCUCUGCUUAAAAUCCCAAGACUGAAGAAACUCUUUUUUCUCUUUCUUCUCUAGUCCCAAAAUUCAUGUAUAUUUUUUUGUAUUUAUAUUUAAUUCCAAGAUACUGUUACCAAGACCUCAAGGAGACCAAGCUUCCCUACACGAGAAUAUGUAUAAAUGUUUUGUUUUUCUCAGUAUUUUCCUUUUUAUUUUCACCUUUGUAUUCACAUUCCAAUACAGAGGGGGACAGCUUUGUCUCCCUUGGCUCGAAUAUCACCAGCUUUUCCGGGCAUAUUAUAAUUUAAGCCACUCAUCUUCGCCUUGCCAAUUCAAUGAAUUUUUAAUUAUAAAUAAGUCCCAACUAUUGUUUCAUUAAUUUCAACACAUUGUCGGCAGAAGAAUAUAUGUGAAAACAAUUUCCUCAUCUAAAUUAAAUUAACAAGAGAAUGUGUAUAAGAUAUUUUGUAUUUAGUAAAGUUGUGGGGUACAAUCGCUGUGUGUUUCUUCUUUAAAAUAUUAUUACUCUGGUUCGAUUUUUAAGAUUGAUUUGUUGAUUCAAAGGUGUCAAGCACUCGUCUUAAAUUGAACAGUUGAAUUUCAAUUGGCAUGUGUCAGUAGUGAUUAAUGAUUCCACAACCAUGAUGCAAAACCUUGGAAGUUUUUUAGUCCAAGUUUUGUUUGCCUUGGUCAAAGAGUUUGUUUACCGUGCCAAACGUUCCUUUUUUUAAAAUAAGAUCGUAUCAGUCUAUGGAGUUCUUGUUCUUGAAUCCCUAAAUUUUAAAUCCGUUAACUUGUGAGAUUAAGUCUUAAUUUGUGAAUUUAAGACUUUGAUAUGAUUUGCCAACAUGAUUUAGCCUAAUGAAAAAUGGUCUUGACUUGCAGACUAGUGGUCUUAGAAUUGAAUCCCCAUGGCAUCAUAGUAGUGUGCGUGUGAGAAGCUCCCUUCCCUCUAUAGUUUAGACUAUCUUUUGUACUAAAGAAAAAAAAAAUGACUUUGAUUUGAUUCAGAUUGUCUUAGUUUUGAUUUAGCUUUAUUUGACUUGAGAUUAAAUCAAGAACAUUGCUUGGCUCCUUACAUAUUAAGAAGUCAUUCCUACUUACAUGUGUGGGAGCAAAUAAUCACACACAAAUAAUUAAACACCACAUGUAUCCGAAUAUACUUGUUUGGACCAAUGACCCCUAGUGAAAUGGGCAGGAUAACCAGAAGCACAUCCCAUCACUCACUAAUGAGAGGAUGAGUGGCGUAAUUGCCUCGAAUUGGCAUAAGUCAAUUCCUCUGCCAUAAUUGAUAAGAGCGUGGGUCCACUAGAAAACCCACGCGCUCAUUAGGCCCAAUAGGGCCUUUAAACAUCUCGGGCCUUGCUAGGUCGCAGAACCCUAGCUUGGGCCCAAGAACUGGGUAGGCUUAAGAUAAGCCUUACCUGGGCUUCACAUAACACGCCUAAGUAGGACCAAUCUUUGGACAGCACACCUACAAAACAGAUCAGCAGGGAUCUCUAAGAUCUUCCUAAUUAUUGCAACAACAAUAAUCUAGGAGACUAUGCCCACAAAUUUUGGGCAAAUAUCUCACACUUCUUAAGCCAAACGAUUAAUUGACUGGACAUGUGAAAUGACCGGUCAUAACCCAAGUAACGACCAUACAAAGCCUCUUAAGAAGACAAGUCAGCCACCAACGGGCCAUAUAAAACCCAAUCUCCACCGUGAGAGGAGGUAACAUUCAUCAGCCUAAGAAACCCUAUUUCUUCUAACCUUGGAACUGACUUUGGCAUUAAAGAUGCACCUAGGAUUUCAAAAUGAGGAGGGCUAGAUUUACCUUAUGGGUGAAUUGUUAGUUUUGAACAUGACUAAACCUUAAAACUUAUAUACUAACUAUAAGAAGAAAAAAAAAAAUUUUAAUUGACCUAGGAUGAAAAAUAUAUAUAUAUAUUGUCAUGGGCCAUAAGCUAGGUCCCUCCGUGUUUCGAAUCAGAGACUUUUUGACUCACACCACACCGAUGCGUACAAAGACUCACAAUACUUCAUUCUUCCUUAAAUUUCAAGGGCAGUGAAGUCUUUUCCAAAAGUAGACAAAACCAUUCUCCAGAACUUACAAAUCACAGUAUGAAAAAAAUAUAUAAAUUUACUUUAUUAAAAAUACAAAAAGACAUUAUUUUUGCAAACAUGUUAAACUGUGCUAUAUAUCCUCUUACAUGUAAGAAGCAAGUAAUAUUUUCCUCUUCAAUCAAAUCUCGUGAUAGCCAAUUCGCAUUCACUCUAUUUUCUUGAUCCCUAAUCACAUAUCAUGUGUUUUUUGUGUCUUGAUAAAAUAAAAAAUUUUGCAUUGACCAAAAAAAUUUUGAUGUCUACAAAAUGUACAUGGGAAAAUACACAGGGCAAUUAUUUAUUAGCAUCAAGUAUAGCUGUAUAUCUGGCUGAAAAAUCAAAAAGGAAAAUAAAUGAAAGAAUCAAAGUACUUUGAUCCCUUAACAAUCCAUGCAUGCUAUAAAUCAAUUACAGGUGAUGUGUAUGUGUGUGCCAGAUAGCUUUAUGAUAAAAGAAGUACGUUUGAUGGGAAUAUUUUUUUCACCAUUUUAAUUCAAGGUGUGUGAUUAUUAUUUUUCUUAAUAUUUGAUAUAUAUUCGUAAACAUAACUACGGUUUCAUAAAUACAAAACAAAAAGUUAUAAUUAUGCUCAUAAACACGUGUCAAGUGUUAAAAAUGAUGAGGAUACACAUUUAGUUAAAGUAGUGAGAAAAACUAUUUCCCUGUUUGAUGACUAUAACCCUGAUGUACCUGCAAGAUAUGUCUCCAUUAAACAAAUGCUAACCAACCAAUUGAAGGCAGAUCUUAGCUGCUUUUGAUCCUCAAAGUAUACGUACAAGACAACUUUGUUUGAGAGGCCCCAAUGACUAAAGGGAAAAGAGCAAAAGGCAAAAAUAAUCUUGACCCCAUAAUGACUUUUAAAAAGAAACAAAAAUGCUAUCAAAAUUAAAUAAAACACGAUGAAACAAAAAUCUUCUUUUGGACUAUACCUAAGGCUAUAGCUUCUCUUUUUCUCAUGAUCAUUAUCCAUGACAUAUGCCUGCUUUUUUUAAUAACCAUUUUCUGGUGCUAAAGUUUUCUUGCUUUAAUGUUAUAGAUUCUCCAUGUUGUAGGUAUAUGAUAUCAUUGUACUGGGAAUAUAGAGAAAAACUUCAUGGAGAAGAAAGAGAGCAUACUUCAACAUAACACACAAAUAUUUUGGGAGGGAGAGAAGUCUAGGAUUUUUUACUAUGUACUUAAAGGACACAAGGAAAAGUUAUGUUUGAUGUUCAUGCCUAUCAAAUCACAUAGACGGGUAUUAUCUCAUGUUCUGAGAAUGGAUAUAUAAAAACUCAUGUAUUCAAAUUCUCAAGUUAGUCUCUGCUAAAAUAUGAAAAUUAUAAGAGAAUAUUUAUUUGUGGGAAUUUUCUGUGUAUUUUUCUCUUUGUAGGAGGUCAUAUUUAUAAUACAACAAAACCUGAAUGGGCAAAUAAAUAAUAAAUUCCUAAAUCCAUUUACAAUAGAAAAUCAGGAAUUAAAGUAAAUCAAUUACAAUUAUAAUAGGAAUUCUUGGUGUGUAAGGAAAGUAAGUCAAUAUCCACAAGUCACGCCAACACUCCCCCUCACGUUGGUGCAUAGAUGUCGUCAAUGCCCAACUGAUCCAGUGAAUUAUGAAACGCUUUACUGGAAAUUGCUUUUGUCAAAAUAUCCGCCAAUUGAUCCUCGGAUUUCACAAAAGGAAACUGAAAUACUUUAGCCUCAAGCUUCUGUUUGAUGAAGUGUCGGUCCACCUCAACAUGUUUAGUACGAUCAUGCUGAACCGGAUUAUGUGCAAUGGCUAUAGCAGCCUUGUUGUCACAAAAGAAAUUCAUUGUGGAUUUAGGUUUAUACCCAAUUUCAGUAAGCAACUUUCUUAACCAAAGAAGUUCACAAAUCCCUUUAGUCAUGCCUCUGAACUCGGCUUCUGCACUGGAUAAAGCUACUACAUUUUGUUUCUUGCACCUCCAUGUCACCAAAUUACCUCCCACGAAUGUGAAGUAACCCGAUGUGGAUUUUCUAUCUGUUACAUUACCUGCCCAAUCUGCAUCUGAAUAACCAUCAAUAUUUAGAUGACCAUGCUUUGAGAACAUAAGUCCUUUUCCAGGUGCAGACUUCAAAUAUCUAAGUAUCCGAAGAACUGCAUUCAUGUGGUCUUCACUUUGAGAGUGCAUAAAUUGACUGAAAAAUCACCGCAUAAGCAAUGUCUGGUCGAGUAUGUAACAAAUAGAUCAAUCUAACCACUAACCUUUGGUAUCUUUCUUUGUUAGUUGGAACUUGAUCCGAAUAUUCUCCAAGAUGAUGAUUCUGAACAAUAGGAGUGUCCGCAGGUUUGCAAUCUAGCAUUCCUGUGUAUGUCAACAAGUCCAAGACAUAUUUCCUUUGAGAGAGAAAUAUGCCUUGCUGCGAUCGAGCCACUCAAUUCCCAAGAAAUACUUGAGUCCACCUAGAUCCUUCAUCUCAAACUCAGUAGCCAUAUAGUCUUGUAGCUGUGAUAUUUCAUGUUUAUCAUUCCCAGUAAUAAUCAUAUCAUCAACAUAGAUUAUUAAUGCUGUUACCUUCCCUUUUCGAUGUUUCAAGAACAGAGUAUGAUCUAAGUUGCACUGUUUGAAACCAUUGUUCUUCAUUGCCAUGGUGAACCGUCCAAACCAUGCACGUGGUGACUGUUUCAAUCCAUACAAUGCUUUUCGUAACCUGCAAACUGUUCCAGUCUGAGCAGUAUUAUAUCCAGAAGGAAUGUCCAUGUACACCUCCUCCGUGAGUUCGCCAUGUAGAAAAGCAUUCUUUACAUCAAACUGGUGUAGUGGCCAAUCCAAAUUAGCUGCAAGGGACAAUAAGACUCUGACGGUGUUUAACUUUGCAACUGGUGCAAAAGUUUCUUCAUAGUCUAUACCAUAGGUCUGUGUGUACCCUUUUGCCACAAGUCUUGCCUUGUAUUGCUCGAUAGAUCCAUCUGCAUUGUGUUUUAUAGUAAACACCCAUCUACAUCCGAUAGUCUUUUUUCCUCGUGUUAUAGUCUCCAAUGUCCAAGUCCGAUUUUUCUCAAGAGCUUUCAUCUCCUCUUUUAUAGCUUGAACCCACUUAGGAUCUUUCAAUGCUUCAGAGACCUUGGUUGGAAUAUGGAUAGCAGACAACUGAUGCACAAAAGCCUUGAGUGGUUCAAACAGCUUCUUAGUGGAUACAUGAUUUGCAAUUGGAUACUUGAAUCUCUUGCCAAUAUCAGGUGAAUAACGGUUUGGUGGCUUCCCACGAUUUUGCCUGAAAGGUAAUUAAUAUUCAAUAGUUUUAUCCUCUAAAUGCACAAGUCUAGGAGUAUUUACCUCAAAGAUAUUCUCAGGAGAUUGGUCCAUUGGUACUGUUGAAGGAGAGGGGAGGUCUUCAUUUUGUUGUUCUGAGUUGUCUAUAAGAGUAUGACUCGAAUCAAAAACAUCUUCGCAAGGGUUAGGCGAUCGAUCGUUGUUUGGUAGAGAGCAUUUGCACGUGCCAGACUCGAGACAAUUGAUUGUUAUUGUUUCUUGGCCGAGAGCAAUCUUCGUGCAUAGAUGAAUAUCCUCGUUUUCCAAGCUGCUCCAAUUGAGCUCUUCACUCGGUAUCUCCCCCUGAAGAGUAUAAUUGGAUGCUGGGUCAUAGAAGAACAUAUCUGAUUCCAGAAAUGUGACAUCCAAAGUGACAUAGGUUCGCCGGGUAGGAAGGUGUUAACAUCGGUAGCCUUUCUGAUGAGUGGCAUAAUCCAAAAAAACACAACGAAGUGCACAUGGAUCAAGUUUGCUUCGUUGAUUUUUGUGGAGAUGAACGAAUGCCACACAUCCAAAAAUUCAAGGGGUAAGCACCAAAACAGAGGGCAGAGGCCCGUGUUGCGUGAGCACUUGUAAUGGAGUUUUGAAGUUCAAGACCCCAGAUGGCAUGCGGUUGAUAAGGUGGACAGCAGUGACGACAGCAUCAUCCCAGUGAUGACGAGGAACAUGGCCACCAAUGAGAAGAGCACGGGUUGUUUCAAGGAGAUGACGAUUCUUCCGUUCGGCAACACCAUUUUGUUGUGAUGUUUGGGGGCAAGUUGUCUCAUGAAUAAUGUCAUGUGUCGUGAAGUAAGUCUGUAAAUCAUGAUUAACAAAUUCUCCACCAUUGUCAGAGCGAAGAAUCUGUAUUCGAGCAAUUGAACUGUGUUUCCAUCUGUUUGUAAAAGGAUUGGAACAGGAAAAAUACUUCAUUCUUAUUUUUCAUCAAAUAAAGCCAUUGCAUCCGUGUACAAUCAUCUAUGAAUGUGACAAACCAAUGAAUACUAGAAUGAGUAGAAAUAGGUGAGGGUCCCCAAACAUCAGAAUGAAUUAAAGCAAAAGGAAUAGUACUUUUAUUCAUAUUUAAAGAUAUGAUGCUCUAUGACUCUUGGCUAGAAUGCAAGUGUUACAUUUAAAAUCUGAGUCCUUAAAUACAGAAAACAACUCGGGCAAUAAGUGUCUCAUCUAACCAAAAGAUGGAUGUCCCAAACGUCGAUGCCAGAGCUAAAUUUGUCGGUGCUUGUCAUCAGACGGAUGCUUUACACUAUUGGCAUGUCCCAUACUGAAGUCAUCCACAGAGUACAGCCCCCCUCUUUUAGUACCAUGCCCAAUGAUCUCCUUGGUGAGAAUAUCCUGUAGUAAACAAAAAUUGGGAUAAAUUAGUGCACAACAAUUUAGUUGUUCAGUUGCUUGACUCACAGACAUUAAUUUGUUGGACAAAGAUGGAACCAGUAGAGUAUUAGAAAGGGACAGAGAAGGUGAAAGGGCAACAGUGCCGUCCCCUGUCACAGGAUAGGUAACUCCAUUUGCAUUGGCAAUAUUUGUGCGGCGAGGUGUAGUGGUGUGCAAAAAAUCAUUCGGAUCAAAGGUCAUAUGAUCAGUGGUGCUAGAAUUAAUUAUCCAACCAGUAGUAUCUCGUAGAUCAGAAGUAUGAAAUGCAUAACCACAGUUACCUGAGACAUCCAGAACCGCGGACUAUCAGUAGGAUCUACCUGCGGGAACAAGGCUAAUGGGGGUUCGGUAGAGACAAGAGCAGCACAGCAGAAAUUACUAGCAGUUUCUCAGAGCUUGCGAGCGCGAAGGUCCUCCCACCAAUUAGGAUAACCAUUCAGCUUAAAACAGGUGUCACGGGUAUGUUUGGGGUUGCCACAAUGCGUGCAACCACUUUCAUCAGUCGGAGCCUUGGGACAGGAAGGUGGGAUGGUUUUAGGAAAUGGCACACCAGCAGCAGUAGCAUAUGACUGGAUCUGAAGGUGGGCCACAGUAAAUGAAUUAUGGGGCUGUCCGACACGAGUAGGGGGACUUGAUCGAGGCGCACUCUUGGCCGCUAAGCCAGCACCAGUGGGUGCAGAUGAACCCAUCAUCACUGCUUGUCGAACAUUUUCAUGGCGAACAUAGGCAUAAGCUUGGUCAACAGUAGGGAAUGGAGUCAUGUGAAGAACAUCACUUCGGGCCUUAUCAAGACGAUCAUCAAGGUCAUCCAAAAAUAUGUAAACUCGAUCUUCCUGCAGAAUAUCAUUAUAGCGCUGGAUAUCACUUUCAUCCUCCAUCAUAUUUGGACGACGGAAAUCAAUUUCUCUCCAUAAGCUUUGGAGAGUAUUGUAAUAGGUUUCAAUGGAGCCACCAGCUUGUCACAUACCAGAGACUCGUCGUUUCAGAUCAUAAACCUGAGAGGUGUCAGUGCCAUCAUAGUAAGUUGUGGCAAUUGCAUCCCACACUGGCUUUGCAGUCGAAAAAUGAAUGAAAUUGCCAAUCAAACUCUGCUCUAGAGAAUUGAUGAGCCAUCCCUUCACAAUAAAGUUCUCGGUGCGCCAGCGAGGAAACGUUGGAGCGGUCGAAAGAGGUUGUGGAAGAUCGCCAUUAAUAUAUCCCAAUUUGUCUUUGCCGGAGAUAUACAACUCUACAACUUGGGACCAUAGGGCAUAGUUGGUGACAUCCAACUUUAUGCCAAUCUGUGCAGCGGAAGCUUCACAGGUAAUUGUCGUCAGAAUCGUUGUAUGAUUCGGGUUCAAGGUCGUCGUCUGAUUCGAGUUCGAGGUCGUCGUCUGAGUCGAGGUCGGGGUCGUCUUGGUAGGAUCCUGAUUUAGGAUCAAUUUCGAGGUCUGAGUCUGCAUCUGCAUUAGUUUAGCCACCUGGGCACUCAACUCGGCUAUGAUUGGUUGAGAAGGAAAGGAGGAAGCAGUGGUGCUACUGCCAUGAGGAUUAGAAGAGUCAUCCUCCCCCAUGGUGGCGGCUAGGGUUUAGAAACUAGAGUCAGCAAUCCUAAGAUUGCUGCUCUGAUACCAUGCUAAAAUAUAAAAACUAUGAGAGAAUAUUUGUUUGUGGGAAUUUUUUGUGUAUUCUUCUCCUUGUAGGAGGUCAUAUUUAUAAUACAACAAAACCUGAAUGGGCAAGUAAAUAAUAAAUUCCUAAAUCCAUUUACAGUAGGAAAUCAGGAAUUAGAGUAAAUCAAUUACAAUUAUAAUAGGAAUUCUUGGUGUGUAAGUAAAGUGAGUCAAUAUCCACAAGUCAAGCCAACAAUCCCGACCCUCAUAUUAGUUGAAAAAGUAGAUGGCGAAUGCCUGAUCGAAUUGAUGGGGUCAUGUAGAAACAAGGUUCAAGUCUACCGGUCAAUAUAUAGUAAAUUUGGCUCUCUUAGCACAAAAGAAAAGAAAAAAAAAAAACUUAUCCAUUUGGAUAUUACUUGCAAAAAAAUCCAAUUAUAAUUAGGAUACAUAGCUAUGAGGCCAAAUAACUCCACAUCAAGGAAGCACCUAUGUAUUACUUAUUUAUUAGAAGGCAAAACCCACACAAACACCCUUCCAAGGAGAUACCAUAUGCUAGCUAUAUAAACUUGGAAGAAAUAUACCACUUUCAUCAAACAAAUAUGAAAGGGAAAAAAAAGAAACAAGACUUAACAUUUUUGUUGGAUUAAUAAUGCAAAAAUUAAUAGGUCAAAUAAUAGUAUUGAUAACUAAUUAAAAAUAUAUAUAGCAAAUGGGGUCCAAUCCAAUGAAAAAUGGUCUUGAUUUAGAGACCAGUGAUCUCAGGUUCAAACUCAUAGCACCUUGACUAUCGCUUGUAUUUAAAAUAUAUAUAUGUAUUAGAUAAAAGGGCAAGGAAUUUAUGUAUGUAUUGUAGUUCUUUUGUGUGAAGGCUUAAGGAAAAGUGUGAGAAAUUACUUUUAGAUUGCAUGUAUCCUUUCUCUAUCCAAAUGCAUAUAAAACAUUAAUAUACACUCAUACAUACAUCACAUAUCAUAUAUCAUGUACCUUCAUAUAUAUCAUCAUUAUAUAUCAAGCGACAACUUCUUCUGCAGGCAGCCUCUUUAUGACCUCCAACAAAUUUUCAGCACCAUGCCCAUGCUUCUCAAUUAUAGAUAGUUCUGAAUCCACUUCCUAUAAUUCCUUCCUGUGUCAGUCUUCUGUUGGGACUUUUUUUUCAGACAUAUGUAGCUUUUAUAUGAUCUGCAAACAUUCAUUCACUCAAAUCUUUAAUAUGGUUAAUUAAGAGGUAUUUAACAACCACUUCCACUUCCAAACAAAUACUUUCCUCAAUUUUAUUUCACACAAUCGUUUUGUUAAUCUCAUUUGCUACAUGCUUAAGCCUUAAUUAAGCCACCCUCAUGAGACCAUCAAAGAGAAAGAAGAAAAAAAAAAUCUCUCUUUUGGGUUUACAUGUUUAGGGCAACCUUAUAUGAAACACAGAAGGGGGGAAAAGUAAAAGGUUGGUUAAAAGGGAUGUUGGAAUGAAAGUCCUCCAAUUUUGAGGUCAUACCCUCAUUUGAAAGAUAUAUAUAUAUCCUCUUUGUUACACUUGUAUACAUAAUGCAAUGGCUUAACAAAAAUGAGCCUUUUACAAAAGGGUGCAGUUAAGAUGAUUAUAAAAGCACCUACAUGUUUUGGUUUCCUUUUCGUCCUUCAGUGGGUUGAACACCUUUCUCUCUUUUGCUUUUGGUAAAUGUCCUUUUAUCUCCUUCUUUCCUAUACCCUUUUCCCUGAUGUAACUUUGGGAAAUCCAAUCAAAACCUCACCUUUCUCUACAUUAGUAGGAAAGAGGACUAAACAAACAGCUUUACCUUCAAUUAGUUUCUUUCUCAUUUUUUGUAUCCCUUUGCAUGACAUGUUUGGAUUCAAUAUUCUCUAAUCCAUUUGAAUGACAUUGUAGAAGGAGAAAUUCAAGCCAUCAUCUAUAUGAGUUUGGCUUUGGAUUUAUAUUUUUUGACGAUAUUAAUUAUGCGCAUCGUCUGGUUACAGAUUUCUAUUUAAUUAUCGUUCUAAAAAACUAUGUACUAAACCUUAUAUGUUUGUCCUUCAAUUCAUAUCAAAAUAUUUUUUAACAUAAACAUAAUAAGGUCCCUUGCUACGUGAAAUCUCGUUUUGCAAGAGAUGUGAAUAACAUGUCGCGUAAAAUAGGGACCAUCUAAGUAAUUUAUCAUAAAAAAAUAAUAUUUAAAAUUGAAGUGUAAAAAGAGCCUUAGACCACUCAAUUUAGAUGGGUUGUGAACUUAUGAGAUUCUCUAUAAAGGGUUCAGAAAUUGGCGCAUUCUAUUGCCUUAUUUGGGCCGUCAGUUUGGGCACUGGGAGCAUUUCUACUAUGCAAAAUCAUGUUACUGGUCAAAAUCAUUCUCUUCUAAAAUUCAGUUAUACUGAUUGUCAUAUAGAACACACAUGGGUUGUGGGGAAAACACAUUAAUGAGAGAGAGAGAGAGAGAGAGAGGAUGACAAAAAUGGGACUAUGGCCUGCCCCUUUACGUGGUAUAUUUAACGUUAUAAUUGAAUUGGCUGGAAGGAAAGUGAACCACAAACAAGAGCUAGCAUUAGGACCUUACAUGUUAAAUCCUUCAAUGAAGCAAGAUUUAUUAUCCAGUGGGAAGUUCAACUCUAUGUUUUUAUUGUAGUUGCGUGAUCUGGGAGAUGACAUAGAUCCAUUAUUUUGGAUCUUUCAUAUGCUCUGAUUGUAGUUGAGUGAUCUGGGAGAUGACAGUGACCAAAGAACAAAAAUUGAAAUUCAUCAGAAAAUGGGAAAAAUAUCUGAACUCAAUAACCCUUUUUAAAUUCACCAAUAGGUGUUAGUUGGAUUAGCUCAAGAGUGAUCCUGAGUUCAAACCUCAUGGUACCGGUAUGUGUGAAUUUCACCCAUUCUCCUUCCUAUCUUUGGUCAAAAAAAGUAAAAUUAAUAACACUUCUUAAAUUCCUUAAAUAUAAAUUUUUAAUCCAUCCCAACGCAUAAGGCUUAGCCUGACCAAUCUAGGCCCACUUUUGAAAUAUCAUUUGUUUGUAUAUAAGAUACAUUGCUCUCAACAAAGUAUAUAAGAUACAUUAUAGUUUGUCUACGAUACACAUAUAUGAGAAUUUUCUAUAAUACAAUUAGUAUAUUUGGAAAUAUAAAAAAUGGAUUUUCACAUGGCAAGGCCAACAAAGCCCUGCCCAGCCCGUGAUAGUGGGCUUGGGCUAAGGUUGAAAUAUGUAUGCUAAAAUGACCCUUGAACUCAAAUCGAACCCAACGUUUGAGGGUUGGGAAAAGCUUGCUCCUUUGUUUCCACAUUCUAUCAACCCCAUCAAACCCCAUCGGCGCCACCCUCACCACCAUCGAGUCAUUCUAUAGCCCUUAGGUGAGGUCUUAUCUUUUAACUGUUGAAUCAGGCUAACCAAUUUGAUCCAACAACUAACUAAUUUGAUAUAAUGAUUAAAAGAUAGGGCCUCACCGAAAGACCAUAUUAAGGCCCUCAUUAUAGAUUUCUUGCACCACCAUCCCCCUCAACCUAGUUCUUCAAUCUACCAAUCUCUUCCGAUUGGGCCACACUCUCCUUCACCAUAAGCACACUCCUACCCAAUGAACACUAACUUUUAUAAUCCAACAAGAAUUCUAUAGUUCUUCAAUCUACCAAUCUCUUCCGAUUGGGCCCUCAUUAAUCCACCCGCUAAUAACAUGGCAAAACAAAAGUUUCUGUUUGGUUUAACCAAAGUAUUCAAAACCAACCUUUUUCAUUUUCAUCUUCCAAGUAUUGACAGAGAGGAAACGGCCAAAGAGAAAAUUCCAGGAACUCAUGAUUUUUCACCCCAAAAAUAAUAUUUCCAGGAACUCCAGCCUCUUACCAUGAACACGUGUAGCAAACCCAGAGGCUCUGUUGUGAAGGAUCUCAUGAGCCACAAAAGAAAAGAUUUCUAUGGACCCCAUCAGAAUCCCAACAACGUAUAACGGUCAACAAUAUUCAGCUUCUUCCUCAUUUGCCUCUUCUUCAUUUUGUCCAUAAAAAAUACGGACAAAAAAAAGAAGAAGAAGAAGAAGAAAUGGAGCCUCUUUGCCCAAACUUGGAUCUCAAGCCCACACCUUUCUCACCAAUUUCACCAAGAUUCUCAAAACCCAAUUCUCUGUCAGUGCAUUCACAUCGGUUUUCAUGCUCGGAUCGGCGUGUGACCAAGAAAUGGAGGGUGCCAAUUGUGCCCAGUUGGUUCAAGGCUGCUAGUAAUGUAAGGGCUGAUGAAGCUCAGGUUUGUGGUCAGGAGCUGAUGAGGUCAGUUGGAAAAGGCUUGCUUGCAUUGGCUGCUGCCGCUGCUGCAAAUUAUUCCAUCUUUUGUGAUUCUCCGGCUAUGGCAGAGUCGCUUACUGUUGCUUUUCCGGUUUCACGCACCACUGAGGUGAUAGAUUUUGUUUCCUGUUUGAUUGAGUGUUGUUGGGUUGUGUCAUUUGUGUCCAUCCAAUAUUAUAAGUAAAAAUACACUCUAGAAGAUUUCACACACUUUUAAGAAAUGGAAAAGAAAAACAGAGCAUUUUGUAGAGUAUGAAUUAAACAUAUUUUCGUGUUUGACAUUAACGUGACCUGUUUAUUAUUCGUAUUAGUAUGUGCCAAUUGUCUUAUGUUUGGGUUCUUGAGGUAACAAAAUUGCCACCCUCGAUUCUAUUCUCUUGCUGUUGUUUCUUUCUUCUUCUUCUUCGUCUUUUGUUUUGUGUGUAUGUGUGUGUUGUUUUGAUAUAUAAUUUGUGUUUGAUUGAGUGACUGUAAUGAGUUUUGCUAAUUUCAUUAGAUUUCUUUUACCAAUUUUUUUCUGUGUGUUACUACUUUUGCCAAUAGAUCACAACACAGUUAAUACUCAGUUGGCUGUACUUGGAUCACAAAUUGAUGACAGUUACUAAGUAGAUAAUUAUUAUUUUUCCAGGUGAAUUCUGUUCAGAGAACUCUUGUGGAGACUUGGGGUUUGAUUAGGGAAACUUUCGUAGACCCAACUUUUAAUCAUCAAGGUAUUUGGUUACUUCAUCCUUCUUUUAUCGUUGUUAACUGACCGAGGAAUGCACACCAACGGUUGCAUUUGAAGAUCAUUUAUACUCCAAAUAAUGUUCAAUAUCUAAUUGUGUGGUUCUUUCCUGAAAUGAAACAGCUAUAAUAUUUGGAAAACUGUGUUCUUUAGUGUUGAAGACGAUAAUUCUUUUUCUGCAGAUUGGGAUCUUAAGUUGCAGCAAACAAUGGUAGAAAUGUUUCCCCUGAGGUCAGCUGAUGCAGCAUAUAUGAAAAUCAGUGGAAUGCUUUCUACUCUCGGUGAUCCCUUCACACGGAUUAUCAGUCCCAAGGUCUUUCAAUUCAUUCCAGUCUCUGCUAUGUCAAUUCCAUGUUAAUUUAAGACAAUUGCAAUGCAUAUUUGAUUAACAAAUUGAGUUGAACUGUGAUAUGUCCACUUAUGGCUAUCAUGACUGUUUAACUGUGAAUCUGUGAUAUGUCAAACUUAUAUAAAAAGUAAUUACAGCUAUCAAGCUAAUUACGUUUUUCACUCACAGGAAUAUCAAAGUUUUCGAAUUGGAAGCAAUGGAAAUCUACAAGGGGUUGGCCUUUUCAUAAGUACUGAACCAAGAACAGGCCAUUUGGUUAGUGAUGCCAAAUAAUCUUUUGAUAUUUCCAAUCUUUUCGUAAAUAAGCAUACGGAAAAUUGAUAUAUGUUGUUCCUAGGAUAUGUACAAGUCAUUUGACCUUGUGCUUGAAAUAUGUUAAUAAACCAAUAUAUGGUGGUUCUACAAAACCUACAAAAAUUUAUUGCAAUUUGUCUCUUGUAUUUUUUCUAAGCUAAUUAGCCGUUCAUUCGUUAUAUGGUGUUUUUACUAAUUUAGCUGUUCAUAUAGUUGCCAAUUAUAAAUCUUAUCGCCUUAAGUGCAUUAUCCAAGUUUGGCUUAUGUUAUUUCCAGCAUUUCGGAAUGUGAAAUGAGGAACUGUGCCUUUAUGACUGACCCGGUGAUUAUAUUAGAAUAAAAACGUCAACUUUCCUCUGUAUAUCAAGCAACCAAUCUGUUUCAUUAUAAAAUUUUCCGUUAUUAUUUUUGAAAGAAGUUGUGCUAAUGGAUGAGCUCUUGAUAUGCUAAUUUAGAUUUUGUGAGCUGUGUUCUGAUGUAGGAGAAAGAGAUGCAUUAAUAUGCUAAUUUACCACAUGUAAAAUUUAUUUUUAUUGGACAUUGCAGGUGGUGUUGUCUUGUGUAGAGGGUAGCCCGGCUGCUCGUGCUGGUAUACAUGAAGGAGAUGAGUUGGUUGAAAUUAAUGGUAAAUCAAGAUUCAAACAUUUGGCAUUUCUUUCUGUGAUGCUGAAAAUGGAAAAAUCCUACUUAAAAUCUUUUUGGUGGUUGAAUCCUAAUAGUGGGACAUGGUUGACAAUGUUUUGAUUCAAACCAUCAAAAUUAUUUCAAUCUGUUGUGGAUUAAUCUGGCUCAAGCGAAAUCAUAUUCUUCAUUUAUAAACCUAAUGCUGCCAUCAGACUACAGAUACUUGAGAUUGUCUACAUUCCAUUUCUCAAAUUAUAAAUUGGGUCUGCCCCUUAUCAGGAACAAUGAAAAUGCUCUAACGAGAUUAUCAAGAUCCAGUGUCAAGUACUAAUACACUCGGAUUCCCAGUAGUAUUUCUAUGCAAGAUGCUCCUGAAUCAAGAAAUGUAUUCCAAAAUUCCAACUUUUUCAAUGUCUUCUGUUUACAUUUAAACUGGCUUGUCAUUAUUUCAAUACACUUUAUGAGUUCAGGAGAGAAUCUUGAUGGUGUUGACACUGAAGUAGCAGUUCAGAAACUUAGAGGUCGAGUUGGAACAACUGUUACAGUAAAAGUUCAGAGUGUAAUCAUCAACUCUCUUUUUUUUUUUUUCCAAGUUUCAGCGGAAAUUAGUGAUUGUGAUCCUGUAGAGUGUGGCCAGCAGUUGCAAAUGGCUUCAGCUAACUAAUUUUACGUUUUCUGUUAUGCAGAGCAAUGAUUUGGGAAGUGAUUCUAGUAUACAAGAGGUACUAGGCCAUCUAUUAUUUUGGUUUUCUUAUAGUUUCAUUCAUUUUCAAAUGCACUCUUUGUGAUCCCUCAUGCAUCUUCAAAGUUUUUAAAUUAACAGCAUCAAGCAGAAGCAUGCAUUUAAUUUCACAAUUAUUUUAGUUAAUUGAUCUGAAAAAUGACUCGUCUGCUUGAAGGUGAAACUACCUCGUGAGUACAUUAAGCUUUCCCCAAUUUCAACUGCUACCAUCCCUCAUAGAACUCCAGAUGGACGUCUUACCAAAACGGGUUAUGUGAAGCUGUCAGCCUUCUCUCAGGUACUUCACUUUUUCUCUUGGCAAUGCAGAAAAUAAAAUUUCCUAAUUUAUAACAAUAUUUGGUUGAAAGUACUUUGUAUAUUCUGAAAAGUCUUCCACCCCUUCUGACAGACAGCUGCAGCUGAUAUGGAAAAUGCUAUUAAUGAAAUGAAGAGUCAGGGUGUACACUCAUACAUACUGGAUUUACGCAACAAUCCGGUAACUUUUUCAUUCUCGUUUACAUGAAAUGAAAUCUUCUGAUAGUUCAUUUUCCUGCUUUGGAUUUAUGAUUAUUCAGCAUGUUUAUCUUCUUCUUCUAAUUAAAUUCUUCAGGGGGGACUGGUAAAAGCAGGACUUGAUGUUGCCCAAAUUUGGCUAGAUGGGGAUGAAACUCUAGUGAACACAAUUGAUCGGGAAGGGAAUUUGCUGCCUAUCAACAUGGUCAAUGGGCAUGCUAUAACACAUGAUCCACUUGUUGUGCUUGUAAGUUUUGAACUUUAUAUGUGAAGUUACGUGCUUUACAUCAGAAAAGUAUGCAGUUUUGUAAAAGUUGCAUAUACAUUUAUUUUCUUAAAACUGGUGCAGUGCUGUCUAAAAUCAUGCCAAACGCAUUCUUGUUAAUUUUGCUAGAUAUAAAGAUUUUAUUUAGAAAUUCCAAUGCAAGUGGCAAUGCAUGAUGUCCAACUUUGAUUUAGUUAUGUUCUGAUUUAGUUAUGUUCUCUCAUGCAAAUUGAUAUGUGUGCAGACUGUCUAAAGUUGUCACACAAAUAGUUGCUUCUUCUUUCAUCUUCAUAAUCACAAUGGAUUCAAAAUCUCUACUAUUUCAAACAGGUUAAUGAGGGCAGCGCAAGUGCAAGUGAGAUAUUGGCAGGGGCACUACAUGACAAUCGCCGAGCUACUCUUGUUGGGCACAGAACCUUUGGGAAAGGAAAAAUUCAGGUAUGAAAAUUUUUGUGUGUAGUUAAUUGCAUCAACCAGAAAUUUUGUUAACUCAAACUCUACUUGACUGUUACAAAAUGCUUAAGCUCCAUUUCCAAAUUACGAACUUCAUGGAUUGCUGUGAUGUCCUUCUCUGCAAGCACCAUACCUCCUCUUGUUUUCUCCUUUCACUGAAUUUAAAUUACAUGUAAUUUGUAAUCUCACCUUUGAUUUCCACUGCUACACUUAAUUCUAAAUUUAUCAGGGUCAAAGAAUCUGUCAUGGUGUCUAUUCUACAUCUUUAUUAAGUCUCAAACUAAUGGCUAUGUUGCUGCUUGUUUCCCUAAUGCUCCUUGCUACAGAGUGUCACAGAGCUGCAUGAUGGAUCAGCGUUAUUUGUCACAGUGGCCAAGUAUUUAUCGCCGGCGCUUCACGACAUAGACCAGGUUGGCAUUGCUCCUGAUGUGCAAUGCACAACAGAAAUGCUCAAUUCUUCCAAGGAAUCGACGUCGAAGGAGAAGAGCUCAGUCUCAUCUUUAGAAGCAGAUUCUUGUGUGUUGGUAGCUGAACAUGAAUUGGACAUCCAGGAGUCCAAAGGCACUGCGUCUUGAAGACAGGAUCAUACACUUUAAAUUUGUAUAGCGUAGAAAUAGAAGAUAUACACGUGAAAAAGAAUAUGAAAUAGCACAGGGCCUGCUUAUACUUUUGUGUUUGUACAUCUUGUGCAAGUAAGAAGUAGGUUAUAGUGUAUUCCUGAUCAAUUGAAAAAUCAAUUGAAACUUUUGGGUUUUACCAGAUCGAUCAAUUUCCUACCAAUUUAUUUUUAGACUUUGUCAAGUUGGUGACCACUUUUCCUAAGUCAGAAAUCUGAAAACCGGAAUCAAAAUGGUUGCUAUUGAAAGUUUUGGAUGUAGGGUUUGUGGUCCUCUAAUCUGAAUUCCAAAUUGAUCAGGUUCGAGGUUUUCUUUAACUUAAACAAGACAAGUAGCGUUUGAUGUUAACACAAAUGGAAAGGGAAACGUAGAACCGAGUUAGAAUAAGGAUAGGUUAAGAGUUCAAUCUCUUCCAAUAUAAGAAAAGUAAAACACUUAAACUCAACAUUGCGAAUCAUAGUCCUAUUUUAAUUUAAAGUAGGAUUGGAUGUAGGCAGGUUUAAGUUGAACCAUCCAAAAACACCCAAAAAUAAAAUUUAAAAAACGAACACAAAACACAAAUAUUGGUGUUGUAGCUGGCCAAAAAGAAAAAUUAGGACUUGGACAGCUCGGAGUUAGAUAGCCACUUUUACUCAACACUCAAUACUUUGAGGCUGGCUGGCUGGCUGGCUGUGAUUGGUUGGCUUUUUAUAGGUCGGCUGGCAUGGAGGACCAUACCAAACCUCAUGUGAUAGGACAAUUAUUUGGUUGAUUAUUCUCCUUACAAAAUUGGUAGUUUCAUGAUUUCUUUCUUUCUUAAGGUGGACAGUGGGUAGCCACAAAUCAAUUUGGUUUGAUUUAUUAUGAUUAUUUGCUUCUAUAUAUGGGAUGGGAGGAAUGUGCAGCGUGUGGACCCCACAACAAUGAGAAGUGUGACAACGUUCAAAUGGAUGGCAACGUCUAUCAACAGCUCUUUUCUUCUGGGGUUAGUUUGAUUUUGGUUUGGCUUCACGACACACAUGCUGAUAUUAAACAUUCUUCAAUUUUACGUUGUUUCAUUGGCCAACUCGUGUCGGUGCCUCUCUUAGCACUUUCAUUAGUGACUAAGAGAGGAGGUCACUAAUUAUAUAUUUGAAUGUUAGUGACCAAUAUUGAAGGUGUACACAUGCAUUUUCAAUUUGUUGAACUUUUUAUAUCCUAACAAAAAAGUUAAUAGUUUUCUUAGAUACAAUUAAUAGUUUUUUUUUUUCUUUCUCUUAUCUAUUCCAACUACAUAAUUGUAUCAAUAGUUAGAGCAUUUUUAAUGAAGUUGUAUAAGCAGGUGUAUGUAAAAUGUACAUUUUUUAUUGUCGGAAUCACCUGUAAUAGACAGGUGUAAAUGAUUGUAAAUAUGCAUCACAGUCGUGGAGAUGCAAAAUGAGAUACACAAUUGUAAUUUUUUUUAUUUUUUUUACAUCUUUUUUAUGCGGAACCCACACGAAAAAUAAGUUUCAAGUAGUUUCGGGAAAGAAGAAAUAAUCAGUAUAUCUUUUUAUUGAAUCCGGGCAAACCAAUUAAUGAAUCAAAAGAUCCAACAAAAUCAAUCCUUCCAAGAAAACCCAACUACAUACACCAACUGUACUAAUAAUCAAAUAACAAAUUUCCAUGAAUCUGAAAUCUUUCAGCCAAACCAAUAUAUAAAACCCAAGCUUGGCAUCUCCUAAAAUUAAUUCAGGUAGCGUUUGAACAAGGCGCAAAAUGAGACCAGAAGCGAUGCUCCGACAACUACGCUGUUCACAGGCAAAGAGUAAGCCGCUCCAGCAUCCAUCGGGGACGGCGCCGGGGCGCUCUCCUGAGCCGACACCAUCGCAGCCAAGACCAGCAUCUGGACGAAGAAGAAGGCUCCGGAGAUGCUAACUUGCGCCAUUGGUGACUUGAACUCGGUAAAUGAUUUUUUCUAAAGUAAUGUAGGAGGCUUUGAGUUGAGAGUGUUUAUGCGUUGUGAGAAAAAUGGAGGAGCAGAGUGUUUCUUUAUAUACUGGAAGAUGGAGCGGCGUGUGGACCCCACAAUAUGAGAACGUUCAAAUGGAUGCUGGCAACGUCCAUUAACAGCUAGUGUGCGUGUUCACCCACUUCGACAACGCUGCUGGUGACUAGUGUGGCGUGUGAAAGUUCGUUUCGUCGUCAGUCGGCGCCGUAUAUGAUUUUCACGCGCUAAUUUUUUUUUAAUAUUGUGGUAACUUAUUUCUACUUAUGCAAGUAUUUUUUGAAUGUUACGAAUAACGGUUGUUAAAAAAAACAUGAAUGUUGACAUAAACUUCUAUAUAUGAUUCAUUUAUAUCUUAUAUUUUGUAAAUAUCAUGCCCCCAUUAUACGAAUAAACUGGAUUAUCUCUCCUCGUAUUUGUGGAGGGAUUUUCUCCCUAGUCGAUUUUGUGUUAGGUUUUUGCUUUCCUUGUGUUUUGCAAGGUUUGUCUCACCUCUAGUUGUUCUAGGGUCUUACUACUAGACUACCAACCUUUUGGGUUGGAUUUUUGUAGAUUUGUGCAGAUCUAUCUUUUUAUGGCAUUUGUUGUGUGUACUUGUAUAUUUGAGGUUGAUGAAGUGAAUCCUCAUAAGAUUUAUGUGUUAAGGAGUGAAGCUGUUUUAUUUUGUAAAUUUACUAUGAAUUGGCGCUUUAAAUUUAUGACUGUUUGGGAGACGAUGUGGCCAUGUGUUACAAUUACUAGAAAGACAAUAAUCAAAUAUUAGCCAUAAAAAAUUAUUGUUUAGCUGUUACCUACAAUAAUUAGUUUUAUAUUUAUUAUAUUUAAAUAAAAUGUCAUCAAAUUAUUAAAAUGUGAGAGAAUAAGUCACAAAUAAUAGUGCGGAGUAGACAAAAUCAUUAAUCAACCAUCAACUUGUCACCAAUACCAAUUUGGUUACUUUAAAAAAGGUGGCCUUUGCAUUUUUCUUUCUUUUUUUAUAAUGACAACUCUUAUAUAUUUAGCUUUAUUACAAUGCCCCUGGAGUAUAUACUGAAGUUCAGAUUGCACUCUAAAAUACAAAAUGUUGUGAGCAAUCAAUGUAACUUUAAAUUGUCUAUUAAUUUUAACUUAUUUUUAUGACGUGGCGUCGUAUAGAUCCACACAUUAUAGAUGUGACAUGAAUACAAAUUUGUACUUACGAACAAAUUAACAAAUUGAAAAAAGAAAGAAAACAACUUGUUUCUUUCUUUUUUUAAUUAUAAAUUUUAGUAGUUUGUUUAAUUCGCCAUAGGUGCAAAUUGUUGAUUUUUAUGAAUUUUUCUUUUAUAUCAAGAACAAUUAAUAGUUCCGGUAACAUUUGGGUAUGAUUUGUGCAACAUUGCAAUACAAAUUAGUGACAAAUUUGUUUCGGGAAAAAAAAAAUCACUUUUUAUUACAAUGUAAAGAAUCAAAUAUCCAACAAAAUCAACCCCUUAACAAAAUCCGCAUACACAUUAUCCCCAAAAACCAAUGCAUAACAAAUUUCCAAUGAAUCCAAGCUUGCCGUAUCUCAUUCUGAACAAAUUAAUUCAAGUAGUGCUUGAACAAGGCAAAAACUGAGACCAUAAGCGACGCUCCAACAGCUGCGCCGUUUACAGGCAAAGAGUAAGCCGCCCCGGCAUCCAUCUGUGCCGGUGCCGGUGCCGGCGCACUCUCCUGCGCCGAAACCGUUGCCGCCAAGACGACCAAGACCAGCAUUUGGACGAAGAAGAAGGCCCUGGACAUGCUGAUUUGUGCCAUUGCUAAGAAAGUUAUGAAGUUUUUGGUGGAGAAGCUUUGACUUGGAUGUGAGGUUUUGUUUUUCUUUGUGUUUUGGGGUUUUGAGUUGUUUUAGGGUUGGGGAGUGAGGGGUCGGGUUUAUAUAGGGGGGUCGAGGGGCGUGUGGAGCCCACAGCGACAACGUUCAAAUGGAUGGCAUUUGCCCCACACCUUUUAAUGAAAAUGUUGUCGAUAAAUUUACUCUUCUGCAAACGACCUCUAAGGAACCAAGUAAAUGAAAAAGAAAGUAAUUAUACCAUAUCCACCAACCACUCUAUAUCCAUCUUAAAAUUAUCAUCUCUCAUAUUCAAUUCUCUGAUUGUUUGCUUUUCGACAAUAGAUAAGAAAAUUGUUGUUUUGGAGUAAACUUCCCUAGUGAAAUAGGUAAGAAAAACAGUCACCUUUCAUCAUGUUUUCACAAUUUUUCAUGCACAAUAUUACUUAAUCUCAAAAUUAUGAAUUAGACGUACGAAACCUAAACGAAAUGCAUGAAUAAUCAAAUAGUGGCCUAGAUUGAUGGCACCGCCACACUAUCACCAUUAACACAUCUACCAACCACCACCACAUAUUUAUAGAUGAAAAUUAAGUUAUGUGUUUUAGUGGCAGUUCUAGAAUUUGAAAGCCGAUCGGGUAAAACUUAUAUAUAUUAAAUUCUACGGUACUAAUGAAUUUCAUUAAUAAAUCUAAAAAGAUACACAUAGUGAAGAGAGACGUAAUGAGCCUUAACCUCAAAUGCAUCUAUAUCUACAAAUGCAAAAACUAAAAUCCAAAUCAAAAGUAAAAUUAAAAGAAAAAAAGAAAAAAAAAUAUUUCACAUUUAAAAAAAAGGAGAAAACAUGGGACUACAUUAAUUUUAAAAAAAAAACAACAACAUCAUGGAGCGCUUCUUGAUUCCACAAUUGGAGAUUUCAGUUUAGCCUUCUGGAUCUCAUCUCUUGGGGUUUGUGUGAGACAAAAAAAAAUUAAUAAUCAUAAUUUUUAAUUUAAUUUGAAAAGAAGGGAAAAAAAGAGAGAGAGGAGAGAAGAGAAAAGGAAAAGAAAGAACAAAGAAAGAGAGAGAGAGGAGAGAAGAUAGAAGGAAAAAAACGAAGAAGAAAAAAGAGGAGAGAUGAAAGAAGGAAAAGAAAGAAAAAAAAAGAGAAGGAAAAUAACGAAAAGAGAGAGAGAGAGAGAGAGAGAGAGAGAGAGAGAGAGAGAGAGAGAGAGAGAAGAAGAGAAAAAAAAGGUUUGUAUAGGUUUAAUUUAAGUGGGCUGGACAUAUGUAGUGUAGGUAAUAUUUUUUUAAUAAACAUUUGGGUUGGGCAUGAGCCCAGCCUGCCAUAGGCUAGAACGCCCCUGAUGUGUUUAAUCCUAUUUUCUUUUAAGAUUAGUCAAACAAGAAACUUCACAAAUUUUGCAACAUUAACUCUUAUUUUCACAAAGCAAUCUUAGAUUUCCUCAUCCAAACGCAGUGUAAUGUUGUGCAUAAUGUUUUCCUUACUUUCUAUUAGUUCUUUAAUGUUUUUUGGGAUUCAUUUGUGCUUAUUUGAGUGUGUUUAGGUAUUGUUUAGUAUAUUUUAGGGUUUAUAGGUUUAAGAUUCAAAAUCUUAAACCUAUUUGUUUUAGUUGUAUGGGCUAUAUAGGCCAUGCCCUUUUUUUUUAGUUGUCAAUACCCAUGUAGUCUCUCUCUCCCUAGCCCAUGCAUUUUUUUUUUUAAUUUUCAAAUCCAUGUUCUCUCUUUUUCUUAUUUUCUUCAUUUCUCUCUCUCUCUCUCUCUCUCUCUCUCUCUCUUCUUUUCCUCCUUUCUCUCUUCUUCUUCCUAUUUCUUUUUUUUCCCCCUUUCUCUUGUUUUUUUUUCUUUCAUUUCUCCAUUUUUUAAUGGUCUGGAUCUACUACGAAUUGAGCUUUUUCCCACAGUUUCUUCUUCCUUUUUUUUUUAUUUUUUUUUGUUGCUUUUCUCUUGUUUUUUUUUUCCUUUGUUUCUCUUUUUCUUCUUAUGCGUUUCGCUUUUUUCUCUCACACGUGUUAUAAAGUCCAUUUUGGUGCGAUAUAGCCCUCAUUGUUGAAAUUUCCUACAUAUGUAAGGUAAAUUUAGCCCAUAGAGUUUUGAAAUCCUGAAUUCGUCCCUACUUUAAUUCAAAUUAUUUUUAUGUUGUGCAAAUCUCAAGAAUAAUAUGAAGUGAGUUUAAGUCGAUAGUAUUCUAGAAAAAAUUUGUUUUAAAUUCUUUUUGCACAAAGGAAGAGCGACAAAUUAGCCUUAAAGAAGCAAAUUCAUUCGUGCUUUGGCUCAAAAUUUUCAUUUUCAUCUUAGUUAUUGCCUUCAUAUAUCUUCAUAAUUUCCAACACAGUAUGAUCGCUCAAUGUUUAUAACGAUCAAUCUACACUGGCCAAGGACCUAUUCUUUCAAAAGAAAUAUGGUGCACAUUUUCCAAUAAAUUAAAAGGUGCAUGUCCUUAUUAGUGACAAGCACUUUAAUCUUCAAGUUUCUUUAACCUUUGGAUGUAAGUUAGGUAAAUUUCUUGUUCUCUUGCCAGACAUGUUAUAAUAUCCAGAGAUGUUCGUUUAAACGCAAAUAUAAUCAUUAAUUUAUUUUAUACUAACAAACAAACAACAAAAUAUAUAAAUUUGUCAUGUGUAAUCAAGCCAUAGAUAACUUGUAGAACUUUACAAUAUUAUUCAAAUUAGGUGAUGGUUAAUACCAAUUAACCAUCAAAUACAGAGAAAGUAGGAUAUCGCGAUGGUGUUCAUAUGCCUCAAAAUUCAAAAACAGUAUAUCUUUUUUCCGGAUAUUAAAGCAUAACACUCACCUUAUCAUUAUCAUAUAGUUUACAUUAAAAAAAAAAACAUCCCAAAACACACAUAAUAAGGAAAAUGUGUCAAAUCCAACAAUGUCCAUGUAUCACAACAGCUCCGCUGCACAUCCAAAACUCAGAACCCCACAUCCAUCCAUCCAUUCUAGCAAAAAGCAAAAGCAGCUGUAAGAGAGACCAACAUAGAAGAACAGAUCAACGCCACGGAAACCGGAGAAGCAAACCCGGCUCCGGUCACCGGUAACGGGGCAGGUGGUGUGGCGGUAUUCUGUGCCAUAGUUUUGGUCACAUAAAAUAAUGCAGCAACCAUGACCAUAAGAAUUCUAGCUGAAGAUGUGCCAAACCGUGCCAUUUCUCUGUAAAAAAAAUAGGCACAGAAACUGAAAGAUUUAGACAAAGGUAAAGAAAGGGAAUGAGGAAUUGAUUAAUUGAGUUUGUGUUUUUGUUGAGAGCAAUGUGGUGCAUGAAUUUAUAGGAGACUGGUUUGUAUGUGACCAAUUUCUUGGCCUGCCUUUUUGGACACGGCUAAUGGGACCAAUUAAAGCAAUGGCUGGCUGGCUUCACCACAACAUGGACAUGGGAACUACAGACAUUUCUUGAUGAAUGAUAAGAAAGUUGGUAUGCAAUCACCUUCAUGCACUCAAUCCUUUUUGCCGUGCCUUAAAUUAAUUUUAGUAGAGACUUGUGAGUGCACACACACAAGUUUAUUUUAUAUAUUAUCAAAUCAAAUCCCCUAUGAAUUUCAAAGAAAAUGGUACCAUGUAUUAAUACAAGUUUAGUGUUUAGUUGGGUCAGUCUUAAAUCAUUUUGUCCAUUUUUUUUUCUUUCAAACAAUCAUUUUAUACACUUGCAAUUAUUAGAAUUAGUUAACGCAAGCAGCAAUAAACUUGUAGCUCAAGUGAUUAGUUACCAUUUGCACUCGAGGUCCUGUGUUUAAAUACCCCUCCCUCGAUAUUGAUUGUAUUAUAAAAAUAAAAAUAAAAGUUAACAUAUAGCAUAUACUAUGCAAUGUUUUGCCAUCUGUUGGUAAAGUGAUGCUAUCAUAAAGAGCUGUGGUGAUUCGUGGUGUACAUCUAAAAAAGGUUAAGCUGUCCUUGUAAAAGAGCAAACUUGUGCAGAGAGAUAAUGAACCUAAAAAUAAUUUCAACCAGAUGAGACUUGGAAAAUAGAAAACUUGAAAUUAACUAAAGCAUGAUUUAUGAUUUGGGAUACGAUUAGUGAUUUUUCACUUUGCAAAUGUUACAUUAUUAAAAGUGAAAGAUAUAUGGGCUCAAGUGAAUGAGCAGCCGCUUAAGGGGAAGCUCUUGGGCUUGCAUUGCUAGGCCUAGACUUGUUUGUGGGUAGUUUUUGUUCAAAUUAAAACUAGGAUUCUGUGUUUAUAAAAUGCACCCUACUCUUUUGAACACCUUAAAACUAAGAAUUUGUACCUGGGAUGAUUUGGUAUUAUAAAAUGCUUUCUUUUUUUUUUUUAUUGAUAUGAGAUUUGAUAUAUUUGGACAUGAUAAGAUAACGAGUCGAAAAUAUGCUUGAAAUAAUUUCAUAUUAUAUGAAACUAAUGCACGCUAUAUAUUGAAACACGACAGGUUGCCACGUCUAUGGACACACCCAUUCUAAGAAUUCACAGUAUCCCAAAGCAAACCUUAAAAUUUUGUCCCGAAAAAACUAUUUGCCGAAAAGAAUUUUAAUUUUAUUAAUCUCAAAACUUGGAAAAAAGAAAAGUAAAACCUAACAAAAUUGAAGAAAUACAGACAUGAAUAAGAAUAUUUGUAUUCUCUCUUACAAUGAUGAUUUUGUGUUUUUUCCCCUUGAAAACACUAGGCUAUUGAGAUCUAAUCAAGAGAAGAUUGAGAAUCAAAAAGUAAAAAACACCAUUCAAAUUCCUAAUGUCAUGCAAAGCCAAACACGCAAGUACGUAGCUAGCUAUUCGUCAACUACAACACUUACUUGACCACAAGUGUUUCAUAUUCUAAUAAUAACCAAAAUCCUCCCUAUAAAAUUGUUCAUAAUUGAUUUGAUCAGUACUACUACUAAUCACCCUUAAUCAGUUGCUUGAACCAAAGCAAAACUAGCAAAGUGUUCUCAUUAUUUUCAUCUCAAAGCCAAUCAACUCAAAGCUCACAUUCAUCAAACACCAACCAUGGACAUGAAGAUCAAGAUCUCCCUUGCCAUCCUUCUAUUUGCUGCCUUGAUGAGUGUGGUCUUGGCUGAUAAUAAGGAAGCUCAUCCCCCGAAGCACUCAGGCGGCGCACAUGCCCCAAAGCACUCAGGCGGUGGCGCGCAUGCCCCGAAGGGCGCAGCUUCUGCCCCAGAGGGCACAGCUUCAGUCUCAGCUGAAGCUCCUGCCGCGGCCAAGGACUCCGCUUCGGCGCCGCAAGCAUCAAGCAGUACUACCCCCACUACAUUGUCCCUUGUUGGCUCUUUGGCUGGUGCCUUCCUUUCAUUUUUCUUUGUCUAUUACUUGCAGUACUAAUUAAGCUCAGAGAAUAGGAGAUUGUUUUUAGCUAUAUAUGAAGGAGAAUGAGGUAAUGACGAGAUUUUUAUGUACUUGGAAGAACAUGAUGGUCUAUAUCUUUGUUUUAGAUAUAUUCACCAUUAGAUAAUCAUGGAGUGAAGUUUGCACGACAAUCACCUUUUCAUUUUAGUUACAUUAAGCAAUUUACACUUUAUUUUCUUCAAAUGUUCUUUCCAUUUCAGAAUUAUUUUAUGGCUAAAUGUCACUUUUGGUCCCUGUAGUUUGGCACUUCAAUCACUUUUGACCAUAUAGUUUCAAUUUCGUCAAUUUUGACCCUGUAGUUUCGUAUAGUAUUCCUGUCAAUUUCUUUGACGGUGCAAGGGGCAGUUUCGUCAACCCAAAAUCCUUGAGCAUAAAAGCUCAUUUGAAACUCCCUUCAUUUCAUAUUAGGGCUUCAAAUCGGUCAUUUGGGUUUAUGGUUCUUUAAAAAUUGGGAUUAGUGGUAAAAUUUCGAGCCCUAAUAUGAAAUGAGGAGAAUUUCAUACAAGCUUUUACGCUAAAGGGUUUUGGGUUGACGAAAUUACCCCUUGCAUCGUUAAAAAAAUUGAUAAGAAUACUAACAUGUCCUUGAAUUGCUACAAAUAUGAAACUACAAUGGCAAAAUUGACGGAACUGAAACUACAAGGUCAAAAGUGGUUGAAGUGCUAAACUACAGGGAUCAAAAGUGAUUUUUGGCCUUAUUUUAUUAUAUUGUAUAUAUGUUGAAAGAUUGUACAAAUUAAUUUAAUGUUUAACGAAUUUAUAUGGGACCUUUGCAUCGAUGGGUUUCAAAAUUAAGUUUGAUCAAGGUUGAUCAUUAAGUAAACUUGAUACUAUCGCAAGUGAUAUUCAAUUUUGACAGUGGAUGAAAUAAUACGUGUAUCUACUUGGUGAUUCUUCAUCAUCUUGAUGAAUAGUAUGGGAAGUCUACUUGAUUGUUUUAUUUUUUUGCCAAAUGUUUGGCUGGUUUUUCUCUAGUAUGAAGGUCUCCUCUUUUGAAGAAGGAUCGAGUAUCUCUUAAUAUGAAGGAUUCAACACUGUUAGCUUCUAUUUAGCUAAUGUUUUUAGCUUUUUUUGACAAAUUUGUAAUCUUAUAUGUAAUCAAUUAAGCUCAAGGAAUUUAGGGUAGUUUAAGUUUGCAUUUCAAGAUGAUUACAGAAAUUGAUAUCAAUCUUGUCAUGGCUCAAAUGGAAUCAAGAUUCUUGAAGGUAAAAAUCAUACAUUAAUGCAUUGCAUGCGUUAUAGUGUUCUUAUGUAUGACUAGUCAAAUAUGCAUGUACAUUCAUCUUUAGUUGUCAUGUAUAUAAUUUCUCUUAGCUCAUCUUUAGAAAUUAGGAAUUGGGUAUUUGCCAGAAAGUUAACAUUGAAGAGCUUUCGAGGCUACAAAACAAAGAUAAUUUGUGCAUUCAUUUAUAAUGGGCAUCCUUAGGAAAAUUAGCAUCUAUAUCACAAUACUUUGUCUAGAUGACUAUAUAGGCCAAAUAUUUCCAGCACAAUAUUUUUAAUCAAGGCAUGUGAUUUUGCUUAUGAUAAGUCCAAUAAUUGGCUCCCAAGUGUCCUUUUGACCUACCAAAAAUGCUGAGGCUGGUCUGGACUCACCAAUUCUCUCAUUUUAUAUUUUGCAUAUGGGUUUUGAGAGAGAGAGAGAGAGAGAGAGAGUGUGUGUGUGUGUGUGUGUGAUUGUGCAUAAAUUAGGUUUUUCCUUUUGGAAGAAAAGUUCAUGGGUCCUUUUGGGGCUUUCAUUGUGUUGUGUUAGCUUUUGCUACUUGUUUAAUUUUUGGCUUCCUUAAACAACAUUAUAUUUGCUAUUGUAAAAUCACCAUGCUCAAGCUUAAUUAGUCCAGAACAGAUUAGGAUUGAAGAGGUCUACUAUGACUAUGACAAAUUAUGACUCAAUGCAAAUAAAGAGAAAAAAUAAAAAUCAUGCAUCGCAUAUUUCAGCUUAGUUGAGUAAAUGUGAUGAUUAGUCAUCCAUUUACUACCAGCUCAUUUAAAAUCUCGCGUGAGAUUCUCACGUGUUUCAUGAUUAGCCAAUUGUGGUCUUCCUAUCAUAACGAUUUCGUAUGUCUUAUUAUUAUGCCAAUCAUUAGUCGACAUCUGAUUUCCUUUUCUCACCUAGUUUUUGGGGAUAAAAUAUAUUUUUGGCUCCAGUAGCCGUCACAGACUCAGUGUAAAAUUGUGUGCUUCAUCGUUCUUCCUUUCUCCGAGGUCUGCAUAUUUUCGAAAAAAAUGAGGUUUUUGAAAAUCUAAUUUGGUUAUCUUAUAUCUACAUCUAGUCUGUAGGUUAUAUCAUAUCAUUCUAGUUAGAUCAGAUUCCUUGUUAGUUUCUUCAAGAGGAUUGUUUCUUGAAGAAAUCAACAAUUUCUUUUUGAAUUUAUAUCGGAUUCAUUCUCCGAGGUCUUCUUACAGCUAGAGCUGGCAAACAGGUCGUUUUUAUGGGUUACGGGUCGUGUUCGGGUCAACUCAUUUUCUUAACGGGUUGACACGAACAUGACCCGUUAAACUAACGAGUCAUAAAUACUAGACCCAAACACGACCCGCACAAAUUCGCGAAUAACACGACACGACCCGUUAUGGCUAAUGGGUCGUUUUUCACCCGUUUUCACCGAUUUAAAAAAUAAACAAUAUUUUUCAAAAAAUCAUUAAAUGAAAACACCUCAAAUUAAUAAAACAAAGAAAAUAGGAAAGUAGAAAAUGCUGAAGUUGGGAUUUUGGCUCAGCAUGUUUAUGGGUUUAAGCCAAUUCCUAGAGGAUCAUCAAAUUCUGUAGAGAUUGAAACAGAUAGAGAAAAUGCUGCAUCACUUGCCAGAGCUGGAAACAGAUUGUUCCAGAUUUUAGGAGAAGAAUACUCCGAAGUUCAUGUUUUAAAAUCAAAAGUGCUGAAUGGAAUCAGAAAAGCAAAAUUGACAUAGAAUAUGGAUUGGAGGAGAGCAUUGACUUGGAUGAUAAUGACAAGAAGUCCCUGCUUUCCCGUCAGAAAGCAAUCCUUCCAACUCACUUUGGUAUUAAUAUAAUGCAUAGAUAACAAUUAAAACUCUCAAAUGACUUGAGAUUUUCAUACCUUUUCGUUGGAGAAGAAGAAGAAAGGUAGUUGAUGCUUGAUAGUUUGGUUUGGAUCUAGAGAGAAAGAGAGAGGACAGAGUGAGUGGCCGCGUGCUCGGACUCGGACAGGAGGGCUCCAAUUCAAGGUAGGUUAAUUUUAGAAUUAAAAUUACAAAAAUGCCCUUACUCUUAACGGGUUAACGAGUGAUUCGCGAAUAAUACUGAUCCAACUCGUUAGCUUAACGGGUGACUAACAGGUCCACCUGUUUUCAACCCAACCCAUUAAGCUCAAUCUAAAUGUUGUUAUUUUCGUGCGAAUUCGUGUUGUGUUAACGGGUCGUGUUCGAUAUUGCCGGCUCUACUUACAACACUUGUUCUUUCAAUUUCAGUUGUAUUUCAAGGUUGCUGGUUUACAAACACAGGGUUUUUGCUCUGGGUUCCUAGGUUUGUUCCAAAGGGUUGUGUUGUCCAUUAUGUUUUUCAAGAUCGCUGGUUUACCAACAUGGGGUUUUUGCAAUUGUACACUUUUAUCGUACCUAUUAUGCAAAUGAAAUGUACUUGUUAGCUUUUAGUAAGUGGUAUAAAUAGUUGUUAUAUAUAUACUGUUCAUACCUUACAACUAAGUUGAUUUCUAUGACAUUGUAUUAACAAUGUGCUUCUAUGACAUAGUAUUAACAAAUUUUCAGUAACAAAACAUACUCUAUAUAUAGCUGUGCACUUGAAGUUUAUGAUAUGCAGAAUGUGAUUUUUACUAGAAAGAUAGUUCUAUAACAUAGUAUUAACAGUGUACUUUUAUGUUUAUUUUUUUGUAGAGGUAUUUCUUUUUGCCUUUGCGAUUGUUUCUGGUGAAACAAUGGACAAUUGGAGGUGAUUUUUGAAAAGGAUAUCGGAUGUCUUGCUAGUUUUUUUUUGAGUUUUUUUAAUGAUGGUAUGAACAAUGUUUUUCUAUGAAAUGAUAUUAACAUUGUACUUCUAUGACAUAAUAUUAACAAUGUAUUUCUAUGACUUGGAAUUAAUAAUGUACUUCUAUGACAUGGUAUUAACAAUGUACUUCGAGCUCGUUGAGCUUUUUUUGUGUGUCAAAUAUGGGCUGGGCUUACUGGGCUUUUUUUUUUUUUUUUUUUUUUUGGGUUGAGUUUUUUGUAUUGGGCUUGUUUUAAGUUAAUCAAUGGCAAAGAUGUAAUUUAUAGGAACUUCAACACUCAUUUUUUAGGUAGUAAAUGGUUUUUGGGUAUGUUUCUAAAGUGUAUUCCAUAUAGGUUUUUUUUAUAUUUUAAAAUAAUAAUAAUUUCAGGUCCUAUUUUAGAUAUAUUACUAAAUCUCCCUAAAAAAUAAUGUACCUACUUUUAAAAUAAUUUACUGAUACAAUCUAAUUAAAUUAGCAUACCUAUUUUUUUAAAAUAACAUAUAGGUAAAUUAGUAUGAUAUUUUUGAACUAGUAUACCUACAAAAUAUAAGUAAAAUAGUACGUGAAUUUUGUACUUAGUAUAGCUGCAAAAUAUAGGUAAGUAUACCUACAAAUUACUAUAGAUACAUUAGUGGGAUCUUUUGUACGCAGUAAGUGUAUUCUGAUCUUAUUUCUGUAGGUGUAUUGCUAUUGCUUGUAUAUGUAAUUAAUGCUUACGUCUUUUACAAAUUUCAUGGUUGGCAUUAGUAUUGAUUAGGGGUGGCAUUUUAGACCCAAAAACUAAAAGACCGCAAAAACCAACCGACAUUUAACCGUAAUCGCAGGAAAUCGAAUCACAUUUGCGGUACGAAGAAGUUAACCGCAUUUGCGGUUGCAGUUGUGGUAUUUGAUUUUCACAACUUGCAGUUACCGCAAACCGCGACUAUAGUUUUUAAAAAAUAAAAAUUGCAUUUUAAUGUUUAAUCGUAGCCGUUGUAUAACAAGACCACUUAUCUUGUAAGUAAUUAGUUUAUUUAUGUUUUUUCUUAUAAUAAAAUGUACUAAACUUAUGUUGUUUUAUUUGUAGAUAGCAUUGAUGCUCAAACAACACAAUGGGGUCCUUCAAAUCCACUCACCACCACCAACACUUGAGUUUGUAACAUUGGGGCAUUGCAUUUUCCUUUUAGUUUGUAACUUUAAUUAACUUUGAAUUGGAUUUUUCCUUUGGGUUGUAAAUUUAAUUCAUUUUGCAUUGCAUUUUCCUUUUGGUUUGUAACUUUAAAGGAUUUGGAAUUGGAAUGCUUGAGAAGUUUAACUUUAAUUGGAAUGCUUGGAAUUGUAACUUUAAUUUUCUUUAGGUUGUGAAUGCUUGAGAAGUUGAGGAGGUUGUGAAUUUAUAUAUGCUUGAGAAGUUGAGGUUAUGAAUUUAUAUUUUUGGGUUAAAGUAUGCUUGAACUCAAAAGGCUUCAAAAAAAAGCAUCAAAACUAGGCCUAAAAUGUGGAAGAUUGGAUUUUUAUGACACCAAAAAAACUUGCGGUUUUAAAUCGCUACUUCACGGUAACCGACGAUAAACCGCAAAAAAAGGUCGGUUUGCGGUUUCAAAAAUCAUCAUACCGCAAAUAGUUGGUCGGUUUGUGGUUUGAACAAAAAUUCGCAGUUAUCGAACCGCAACCACCCCUAGUAUUGAUUAAGUCCAUUACUUUUUUUUUUUUUUUUUUUGCAAUUGCUAAUAAUUUACAUUCAUUACUAAUUAAGAUGGUAAAAAUUUAGGUUUUAAUACCAUAUAUAGUUGGAUGGCAUCAAUUGUAAAAUAGUUAAAAAUAAUAGGAUAGCCUAUUUUAAAUUUGGGUUUUGGUUGGAGAUUAUAAAAUGGGUGGGUUAUUGUUUAGAAUAUAUGAGUUAUACGGGCUUUUCACCUAACAUCUCUUUAAAUUAUAAGACUAUUUGGUUAUUAAUUUUGUUUAAAACUUUUAGUCUUUUAAAAUUACACCUCUAUUGAAAAAUUCUUGAAUUUGUCAGUGCCUACGGCAGCAGCUCCGAUUCCAGGCAAGCGCUGCCUUUGCUACCUUUCCCACUGUGGGGUCUUUUGGUGGCUCCCUUUUGUCUUCCUUUGCCUAUUGCUUGCAAUACUAAGCUCUUUAUUACGUUGUACCGGGAAAUGUGAUUAUGGAAAUGAAGUAUAUGUGUACCUAGAAAGAAAAAUCAUGGACUGUAUCUUUAUUUUGGAUUCAAUCACACCAAUCACCCUUGACGGUAUCUUUAUUUUGCUUUUCAUAAUAUUUCUUGCUUUUACUCUUUAUUAAUAGAUUCAGCUGGCUGGUGGAAUUUAGACUUACUUUCUGCAGUUUUUUUUGGAAAGAAGAGGUUGUUGCUAUUCUGUCAAUUCCUUUGAUACCAAACUGAUCAGAUAAGCUAAUCUGGCAUUAUACUGUGACUGGGAAGUAUAGUGUUAAAAGUGGUUAUUGGUUAUCUCAAAGUAUAAUCUCGAGACAACAGGGAGAUGUAAGUAGGUCAGCUAAUUCAGUGAAUUUGUUAUGGUCGUCCAUCUGGUUAUUGCGAGUUCCUAAUAAAUUGAAUGUAUUUUUAUGAAGAGCGGUACAUGAUAUUAUUUCAUAUAAGGUGAACCUUUUUAAGCAUCAAAUUAUUCAUGAUUCAUUAUGUUUUAGAUGCUCUCAACAGUCUGAAACUAUAGUACAUGCUCUCUAGUUUUGUCGAUUGUCAAGGGAGGUUCGGCAGCAUUCACCUAUUCAUGACUUGACAGUUCCCCUGCAGGUUGGUACUUUUAAGGAGUUAUAUCGAUAUGUUUCCUCGGUUUUGACUAAUGACGAGCUAGUCUUCUUUGUUUUUUUGAGUUGGGGAUGUAAUGAUCUUUUACAUUCUGGUCAAAUUACUUCAUAUCUUAAUUUGUUGGCUCGUACCCGAAAGCUUGUUUUGAAAUAUCAACGGGCUAUUAUUUUAAUGUCUUCUCAUGUUCCGGCAACUAAUAUUGUGCGGUAUUGGUCUCCACCUAAUGAUAAUUUUGUGAAGAUAAAUGUUGAUGGUGCUGUCAAUUUGCUUAUUGGUUUUAGAGGUUUGGGGGUUUUCAUACGAGAUAGUAUGGGUGAUUUAAUGCUAGCCGCCUAUAAAGGUCUUCAUGGCAUGUUUUCUCCUAAAGCUACUGAACUUUACGCAGCAAUUAUGAGAUUACUGAUUGCAGGUCAAAUGGGACAUCGUUCUGUCAUUUUGGAAAUGGAUGCCAAAGAGAUUAUUAUGAAUCUUCAAACUUAUGAGCAAAGUUGGUCGGCGGAGGGUGCUUUAGUGUAUGAAGUCCGGAGCUUUUUUAAUAGUUUUGAUCAUAUUUCUUGUUACUUUGCUCCUCGGGACUUGGAAGUGUAACCAAGUUGCUCAUCUAUUGGCUAAGCAGGCGCUCCUGUCUCAGGACUUUCAAGUGUGGUUAGAGGAUGGUCCUUUAUGAAUUUAUAAUGUUUUGGCCAAUGACAAAUUAUUUACUUAAUUUAAUUUUAUACUAGAUGUGAUAUAGUGGUACUCUUUUUCCUUGACCGGAUUUUUCUCCAUUUGGGGGUUUUUAAAGGCAAGGUUUUAAUGAGGUCACACUUGUUACAUUACUAAAGUCCAGUGUUAUUUUUGUACUCUAACAUUGUUGUUUCAAUGAAAUUAUCUCACUUUGAUAAAUAUAAAAAUUAAAAUUAAAAUUAAAAUCCUAAAUGUGCAAAGUCCUAAAGUGACCCUAUUUCGAAACCUUUCAGUUUCAUGGUGAGGAUCAAAGUGUUGUCCUAAACUGACCCUAAUACAAGUAUCAAAUAUCGAGAACUUAAAAUGUAAUACAAAAAGAAAAGAACAACAUUGCUUUCGACCAAUUCCAAAAUAGUCAUCUUGCACUCCUUAACGGAAAAAAGAUAUCAGAGAAAGAUGAGUGAAUGAUGACUAUUUUGGAAUACUAAUAACAAUAAAUCCUUUAAUAUUUUCUAAGUCUUAAAAUAAAUCUCAUCGUAACCCAAUAUUAUCCAAAUAUGAUGAUUGUUUGAUAUGGUUCGAUACAAGUUCAAUUCAAUAAUUUGAAUAGGAUUAGAAUACGAUAAUCUGCUUAUAAUGGGAUUCAAAUUUGGAUAUAUAGGCUUAUUUGUUGAUAGUUGAGUCAUGACCAGUUUUGUGUUUCCCAAAUAUCAAGGAAUGCUUAGUUGCGUCAUAAAUCUUUAUCCCCUUCUCUCUCUCUCUCUCUCCCUCCCUCCUUCUUCUUCUUCUUUUUUUAUGAAUCCAUACAGUUGUUUAUGCUUGUGUCCAUAUACUAGCCUAAGUGUUACGAAACCAUACAACUGUUUCUACUUGUAUCCAUAUAGCAGCAGCAUGGUAGAUCUAACCAACCCCAUAAAACUAGAGAAAUUGUAAAAACGUUUGGCCCAAAAAGAAGUAAGAAUGUGUAAAAACGAGAUUGAUUUGGAUACGUUUCAUACCACACGAAUAAAAAAAAUAAAAAACAAGUGUUAACAAAAUUCCUGAUGACAUGCAAAACCAGACACGUAAAGACCUAUUCCUAAGUAAUAGCACAACUGAAGACAAGUGUUUCAUUCUAAAAAUAACCAAAGUGCUCCCUAUAAACCUCUCCAGUAUUUCCUCACUAUUCCUCACACUUACAACAACUAGAUCAAAGCAGAGCUGUAAACAAACAACUUCUUCCAUAUUCGUCUCCAGGAACUCUAGAUUUAUUUUCACUUCAAAGUUCACAGUCAACAAUUAUCAAUAUUCAACAUGGACAUGAAGAAGAUCUCAAUUGCCAUCAUCUUCAUUGCUGCCUUGAUGGGUGUUGUCUUGGCAGCUGAGAAGAAGGAAUCCCCCAAGGCCGCUGCCCCCAAGGCUGCUACCCCUGCCCCGGCAAGCGGCGCCACCGCCACCACCUUUUCGGUUGUUGGGUCUUUGGUUGGUGCCUUAAUUUUUGCUUUCUUUGGCUAUUACCUUCAGUAAUGGUUCAGAUCAGAGAAUAAGUCAUUCUUGUAAGGGAAAUUAGGAAAAUGAGAUUCAUGAGAUCGUGAUGGAUUAUUUACAAGAGAAGAAAGGAUCACGUUUAUUUCAUGUAUUUUGACUAGCUAUGCUAGUUUCGUUAAUUGAAUUGCCUCUAUUCUUUUAAUUGAAUUGCCAAUCUUAUUGAAAACAAAAGUGAUUAUUGUCCAAAAAGAAAUUCUAAUUUGGGUCAAGUGGUAUCAAAGCAUCAGGUGAUUUAUGGUCUUAACUCGUGGCCCAAAAACUUGUAGGUCCUUGGCCUUUGGAUACAUUUCAAUUGAAAAUAAAAAUAAAAAUUGAGGAUCAAGUCGUGAGAUCCUAAGGGCUCUAUCUUAUGGGAGUAUUUUUGCUCAUUUCUUUAACUAAAUAUGUACUUUCACCAUUUUUUUUAAAAAAUUGACAUAUGUCCAUGAGUUUAACUAUAAUUAACUCUUUAUUUUUUAUUUAUUUGAUGAUAUUAUUAUGAUGAGAGAGAAACAAUGCUUUAAUAAGAUUUUUCUUAAUUUACCCUUAUUCUAUUAAUUAACUCAACAAACUUUCCACUUUUCUUGAUUAAUUUAAUUUUUAAAAAAAAUCAAAACAAUGGAAACUAAAAAGGCAGAGCAUAAGUUCUUAUUCCCAAAAAAAAAAAAAAAAGAAGAGAAACACAGAAAUCCCUUCUUUCUUUUUUUAUGAAGGAAAGUUCAUGAGUUUAUACAUGCUCACCAGGAGCGGCCCUGGGGUGGUGCAAGUGGCGCCACCGCACAGGGCCCCCGAUUCUUAAGGGCCCCAAAAAAAAAUUCUUUAUAUUAUACAGUCCUGAUCUCUUGGACCCCUGUAGUCCAAGAGAUUUAUGGUCACCCACCGUUGGAUGUAAAUUCAACGGUUGACUUGAAUCGGGUAAUAAUCAUUUAUGUCAUAUUGCAUUUAUAUAUAUCAUUUUGAACCAUUGGAUUAAUAUCCAACGGUGGGUGACCACAAUCUCUUGGACUCCUGUGGUCCAAGAGAUUGGGACUGUUAUAUUAUAUAUAUAUUAAUAUUAUAUGAAUCGUAUGGAUAUUUACACAACAGCAUGUUUAGGGGAGUUGGAUGGAGCGCAUCUCUCUUUGGCAAAAGGGCCCGAGUUCGAUGCUCCUUGAGGUCGUUCCCAAACAUUCUUAAAAAUAAAAUAAAAAAGGUUUUCUCCUUCAAGAAAAGUACUUUCUUCAUUCAAAACACCAUGAAAAAAGCUUCAUGACUUCUUCUUUCUCUUAAACUCUGAUUUUCUGGUAAGUAAUCAUCAUUGUUCAUCAAUUUCUCUUUGGUUCUUUUUUCAAUCAUUUGACAAUUUUUGUUAUUCUUUCAAUUUCAGGAAUUUGAAUACCAAAAAAAGAAAACCCUAAUUCCUGAAUUCAUAAAGACCACUCAAAAUCAAAUAGUCAUAUUCAAAUCUCAAUUCAAAUUCAGGUAUGUAUCUAAAUUUCAAUCUAUUCUAUAUAUUACAUGACUUAUUUUAUUAAAUUAUUAUCAUGUUGAUGAUUGGUUGUAUAAGAAUAUAAUUUGUAGAAAUAUUUAUCUAUUUCUUGCUGGGGUUUUCUUCCAGUUAUAGGGUUUUAGAAUUUUUCUUUAUAAUCUAAACAUUGCUCACUAGAAGUUUUUCAUUUUUUUUCUUUUCUUUGUUUGUUCAAUCAGUUUUGUUUUUUUCGUUCAGUGAUCAAAAUAUUCUCUCUCAUUAUAAUGUCAUCAAACAAAUAAAAAAUACUAAAAACUUUCUGCAGCGUCUCUCCUCUCUUCUUCUUCAACGUUUCUCUUUUUUUUUUUUUUUUCCUUCUAAUUUUUCUUUUCAGUGUCUUCUAAUUACGCCCAAUAACUAAUUCUACCCCUUUAAUCAUAUAAUCUUUCCUUUUUCAUAUACUGAUUCUGAUAUGGGAUGAAAAGAAACUGUGAGGUGCUGUUUACAUACUGAGAGACUUGGUUUCCUUCCCCUUAUUGAACAAAAAACAAGAAGAUUUUGCAGAAAAGGGAGAUGAUUCUUGUGGAGUCGUGAAAAGAAAUUUUUUUUUUUUUAAAAAAAAGGGGAAGUUGCCUCUUCCAAAAUCUUUCCUUUCCAACACAUGAAUGAUCAAGAAAUUCCCAAUCAAUGGUUGUACGCUUUUUGAAAUCAACCCUUGUUUUCGCCUUGGGAUGAUUUCAGACCACCUUGUUUUUGCUCUGUAUCCCUGACAUAGCCAUGGUCUUUUGAACUGGGCUUUUGAACGCGAAAAAAGAAGACAUUGAAUUGCCUUCAAUUGUUUGUGGCCCCCUCACAAUAAGAAAGGAUGCGUUUCUCUUUUCUUUUUUUUAAUGAAAUAGGAAUUAAAAAGAAUAAGUGAUUUUGGGGCCACCAAUAUAUUAAUAAAAAAAAUAAAAACAGUCAAUCAAAUAAAAUUUCAAAAAAUCUCCUUUAUCAAAUAGGAAAUAGAAAUUUACCCAAAUAAAAAAGGAUUGAUAUUUUAAUUUUUAUUCCUAUAUAAAGCAACAUAAAUUUAGUUUGAAGCAGUCGCACACAUCAGAAGAAAAUAAUUGCAUUUGGUUGUUUGCUCUCCAAGCUCCUGCUUCAAAAUUUUUAAUUCCAGGUUAGAUAACUUUACAUAGUCAUAGUUUUUUUCCUUUGUUUAUUUAUUUUUUAUGAGAAUAUAUUUGUAUAUGUUUAUAUGAGUGAAAUUUUUUUGCAUAGAAUAUGAGAAUAUAGUUAUAUGUUUCGUAUCUUAUAUGUUCUAUGCAUAGAAUAUGAAUUUUUUGGGUGGUAUAAUUUAUGAAUCAUAUCCUUAAUAAAAUUUGUAAUUGAUUUGUAGAUGAAGAAACAACUAAGAAUUGAUGGAUUUUUCAUAAAAAAACAUACUGAAAUAUCUGAAGUUAUCUCAUCUAUACCUUAUUCUAAUAUCGAGACAGUAGCAUUUGAAAAUUGUUUUGAUUAUGUACAUUGAAAGGGAAAUUGCAGAAAAUUUUGAAAUCGAAAAAAUUAAAAUCAAAUAAACACAAGAAUCAAAUAAUAAAAUAACCAAAAACAAACAAACCCAGAUCACCUACCUCCCAAGCCCCCCCUCAUCCCAGCCACCACACCGUACCUCCCAACCUCCUCCGCCCCAUGCCCAGCCACAAACCCAGCCUCAUUGUAACUCUGUCUCUCAGCUCCCUGGCAUAGACGACGGCGAAUACAAACAAAAUUGAAACUUGUCAACUGUACGAUUCUUACAUGGUGGAAAAGCGAGGUCGGAGAGGGAGAGAGGGUGAGGGGGUAGGCGAAGCCACUUGGGGUUGCUGUGGGGAUGAUGGUUGGGUUUGUCGUCGUCGGAGAGUGGGUAUGGUGGUCCGGUUGCGUGGGUUAUGCUUUUCUCUAAUCCUAGCACCCAUUAAAAACACUAGCCUCGAAUUUAAGUCCAAAUGGUGUGAUUAAAACAAUGUAGCAAUUUUGUGUUUCAUAUUUUGCCUUUAAAUAACAAGGAAAAAAAAUAGUAAGAAGAAAGAAAAGUUAUGAUAAUAAAAGAUGACAGGUAAUGACUCUUUGUUUACACCGUUAAGGCCCUCUGGGCANNNNNNNNNNNNNNNNNNNNNNNNNNNNNNNNNNNNNNNNNNNNNNNNNNNNNNNNNNNNNNNNNNNNNNNNNNNNNNNNNNNNNNNNNNNNNNNNNNNNUACCCGUCGGUCCGGCCAUAGCGCAAAAAAUGAUGCUCUACCUUUAGACUUACGGAGAGGGUCUCUGCUACCUGGAUCUCUACUACCAGGCAAGGACGUGGAUAAAGGCCGAUCCGAUAUUUUACUCCUCCAUCUUUCUCAAGAUCCUCAAGGCAGCAAGGCUUCCCUCUCCCCGGAAGGCCAAGUCUCUGUGCAAAGAGACCCCGACCGGGCAUGACGUUGUACGCUCUGAGAGAGUCCGGCGUCAAGGGCCCCGUCGGUAUUUUCAAGAAAGCCUCGAGGCCUCGGAAAUUCCAGGCGACCCGCACCGUUUACCGUUCAGUGACAAUAGUGCGGGGGUGUUUGGGUAAUCUGGGUUUCUUAUUUUUGGGGUUACCUUUUAAAUUUUUUAUUUUUUAUUUUGGGUUUUAGUUAAUUUUUUGGUUACUUUUGUUUUUUUGACCGAAAUGUCCCUCAAUAACUAACAACAAGUUACUCUAUUUUGAUAGAAAUUAGAAUUUGUCCUUGAAUUGCUUAAAUUAAAAAUUAUAUGGAUAAAAUUGAUCAAAUUGAAACGACGAUAGAAAUUAGAAUUUGUCAUUGAAUUGCUUAAAUUAAAAAUUACAUGGAUAAAAUUGAUCAAAUUGAAACGACAACGAUCAAAGUAAUAGAAAUGGUAAACUACAAAGAUCAAAAAUAACUGUUUUGCCAUUUUUUAAUAUCUUGUUUGGUUUAUUUGUUAUUAAUAUGCAAAUAAUGUGAUACCAAGUUAAAAGUUUGAGCUAUAUUUAGGUGCCUCUGUCAUCUGUCAAUCUGCAAGUAGCAAGAUGACUACCGCAGUGGAAAGAAUGCAAUUUUCCGAUAGAGUCCUCAUCCGAUCCAUCAUUUUGAGGGCUGAUGGAGGGUCUGGGUUAGCCGGGCAGCAGGCCCGGGUUGGUGGGUGGGUGAAGACUGGCCGGAAGGCAGACAAGGAUGCAUUUGCAUUCCUAGAGCUGAAUGAUGGGUCAUGCACUAGCAAUCUUCAGGUCAUUGUGGAAGCAGACAAGGGUGACCUUGGGCAGCUUGUGCUGACGGGUACAUGCUUGCAAGUGGAUGGCGUGCUUAAGCUACCCCCAGAUGGGAAAAAGCAGAAGGUGGAGCUUCAAGUCGAGAAGGUGAUCCAUGUGAGUGUGGUUGACGCGUCGAAGUACCCGUUGCCGAAGACCAGGCUCCCCCUUGAGCUUCUGAGGGACUAUGUCCAUUUGCGUGCCAGAACCAACACGGUAAGUAACCCUGUUUGCAUUGUAGGACCUGUUGUGCUUUUGAUAACUAGUGUUUGAUUUAGUGUAUUUGCUUUCAGAUGGGCGGUUGCUAGAAUAAGAGAUGGACUGUCAUAUGCAACCAAGAGAUUUUUCCACGAGCAUGGAUUCUGUUACGUGAACACUCCAAAUAUCACCACCAGUGAUUGUGAGGGUGCUGGUGAGAUGUUUCAAGUCACUACCUUGAUUAGUGAAGCUGAAAAAUUGGAAAAGAAUCUGAUUAAGAACCCUCCUCCGUCAGAAAUAGACGUAGAAUCUGCCAAGCUUAUUAUCAAGCAGAGAGGAAAUGAUGUUGCUCAACUCAAAUCUGUUAAAGCAAGUAAGCAGGAAAUUGGCGCUGCUGUGGCUGAGCUUCAAAAGGCAAAGGAGAAUGUCUUGAAGAUGGAGGAGAGAUCUAAGCUUCAACCCGGUAUCCCUCAAAAGGAUGGGAAGAUUGAUUAUAGCCAAGAUUUCUUUGCCCGUCAAGCCUUUUUGACUGUUUCUGGCCAACUACAACUCGAAUCUUACGCAUGCGCUCUUAGUACAGUCUAUACAUUUGGGCCAACUUUUCGAGCUGAGAAGUCACAUACUUCAAGGCAUUUGGCAGAAUUCUGGAUGGUGGAGUCAGAAAUGGCAUUUGCAGAGCUUGAGGUACGUGAAGCUUAAAUUUAGUGUAGUUUUCUCAAUAUAUAUUCAUGAUUUUAACGUUUAGUUUUGUGCAUAUGCAGCAUGAUAUGGAUUGUGCAGAGGAUUAUGUGAAAUUUAUGUGUCAGUGGCUACUUGACCAUUGUAUGGAAGAUAUGCAAUUUUUUGCUGACAAGAUUGAUAAAAGUUGCAUCGACCGUAUAACAAUGUCCGCUAAAACACCAUUUGCACGGAUUACUUAUACAGAAGCAGUGGAGCUGCUAACUGAGGCUGUAAAAAAUGGUAAAAAGUUUGAGAACCAUGUAGAGUGGGGGAUUGAUUUGGCAUCUGAGCAUGAAAGGUAGUUUCAUAGCUUUAUUCUGUUGUUCUGUAUUGUUACAGUUUCUGAUUAAAUCAGCUUACCAAUUUAUCUUUUUGGUUUCGUGCAGAUACUUGACUGAGGUGAAGUUUCAGAAGCCUGUUAUUGUUUACAAUUACCCUAAAGAGAUCAAAGCAUUCUACAUGAGGCUCAAUGAUGACUCAAAGACAGUGGCUGCUAUGGAUGUCCUGGUACCAAAGGUGGGCAUUAUACUCUCAACAUUAAAUUUAUAUCGUUGACUUCAUUGCUCUGUUGUAUAUACUUGAGCAUUGUGUGUAAUCUGUGUAUUUUUUAUGCUUUUCUUGUAUUUCAGGUGGGUGAGUUGAUAGGGGGAAGCCAAAGGGAAGAACGUUAUGAUGUUAUGCUGAGCAGGUAUAUGAGUGUUUUGGUCUGUUUUAAGUGAUUUUUAUCCGCAUCUGUUUUUUUUUUCCUUUUUUGUUGGGAGUUCUCUUGUGCACAAUGUGUUUUCUAUUUUUAAUAUAUACAAGUGAUAUUAGGGGAGGGGGUUUUCUCACACAUACAAUGCUAAGGUACUAUGAGAGUUCGAAUCUAAGACCAUUGGCGUUUUCCACUGAGCUAGACCCGUUGGCUUGUGCACAACGUUUUUUUUUCCAUAGCAGCUGUUUUGCCCCUCCCCAUAAUUUGAGUAAUGGAUAGUUUGAACUGAGAAACGUAUGUAUUGUUUGAUGAAACUAUUAUUGCAGGAUGAAGGAGAUGGGGCUGCCAAUUGAGCCAUACGAGUGGUACCUUGACUUGCGGCGCUAUGGGACUGUAAAGCAUUGUGGUUUUGGUUUGGGUUUUGAACGAAUGGUUCAAUUUGCUACUGGGCUCGACAAUAUUAAGGAUUGCGUGCCAUUCCCUAGAUCUGCUGGAAGAGCAGAUCUUUGAAUUAAUUACUAGUCUAUAUGCAGCAAAUUUUUUAAAUUUUAUUUUAGGCGAAUUUUGUACCUAUAUUUUUGGUGUACUUAGGGCUAGUUUGGCAUUGCUGUGCUUUUAAAAAAAACUACUUCUGCUGUGCUGCGAGAAUAAUCAGCUGUGAAAAUAAUCAGUUAGGCGUUUGAUAAAUUAUAUCUGAAAAAGUGCUGUGAGUAAUCAAAGUGUUUGGUAAAUGACAAAAAAAAAGUGCUUUUAGCAUGUUCAAUGACCAAAAAGGACAUGAUGAUGGAACUAUUUGUUUUUCUUCUUCAUUCUUUUUCUACUUAAAAAAACUUCACUACAUAAUGUUUUUUCUUUUUUUAUUUAUACUAUACACGUGUUCCUCUCUUCUCAGAAAAGUAAAUGCCUUUUGUUAUAUAUUGAAUGCUAACCAUUCCGACCAAAAAAAAAAAAUGCUAACCCAACGACACCAAUUGGAAACCCAACACAGCCCAUCUCUCGACUUCAAUUUUUCUCUUUCUACCAUUUACAAGUUUUUUUUCUUCAUUCCUUCAUCUAACCAAAAAUAUCUCAUGUUUCCCCAGUUUUUUUUUUUCUUUUAAUAUGUUUCCCCCAAUUGUUUUUAGUACUUUUGGGUAGGUAAGACUGAAAAGGGGAAAAAUUGUAUGUAGGGUUUAUGUUUUGGUGUUCUUGCAAUGGGAGAUAACAUAGUGGAGAAAGUAGCCAUGGUUGAAAUACAGAUUUCUGGGUUGCAGCCAUGGAGAUUUGAGCUGGUUUACAGUGCUGUAGUGGGGGUAGUUGAAGCCCCCCCAAAGUUGGGACUACUGCAACAGGAUCUUUCCACCCAUAACCAAAAACAAGAACAACAAACUCAGGUGGAACAUGAAACUCAUCACUCUCUCUCUCCCUCUGACUCUGGCUUUCUCUAAAACCUGCAACAAAUAGAAAAACCCCCAAUUUGACAGAGAAAACUCUAGAUGCAGAAAGUUUGAGAAGUAGAAAACCGAAAAAUCAUAAUUGUAAUUCAGUUACUGAUGAGUGGGCAACCUUCUUAGCAAUUAAUUUUUUGAUGUCCACAAUGAGAGUUCCAGCAGCGUCAGAGAGUAGAGAAGGAAAUGAAGGAAAUGGAGUUCGCAGAAUGGAGAAGAAAAAAGGGGCAAGUGAGGGUAUUAUGGGAAGUUAAAAGUUCAUUAAAACAACCGGUUAAAUUUUUUUUGAAGCAGCUUUUAAAAGCUGGGUAGAGACGGCUUCGAAAAAACAGCGAUCAUUGACCGCGAUUUAAAAAAAAGCAAGAUUCCUGAUGUUUACCAAACACCCAAUCGAUGACAAAUUUUUAUUAAAGCUGCUUUAAAAAAAAAUUAAGCGCUGCCAAACGCCACCUUAAUCAAACCAAUUCUUUUUUCAUGUAACUAUGUAUGGAAGGCCUAUGCCAACUGUUUAGCUUCAGUUCUGAAUUUUUCAUAAGCGACUAUGAGUAUGCGCUUUUAAAGGUGAUAAAUGGUCAAAGAUAUGAUUCAAUCUGAAGAUUUAUAAGAAUUGUUGAUGAAACAGGUAAUCCCACAUUGGAUAAUUUAUUAUCCAAUCUAAAUAUAUGAUUAAGUUGUCAAUGGGAUCUAGCCAAGUGAAAAAGGAUAUUGACUUGCAGGUUAGUAGUCUCAUGUUCGAGCCCCCAUGAUACUGUGGUAGUGUGUGAGUGAACAAAAUUCGUGCGCAAAAAAUAAACUCGUAUAUGAUGAUACUAAAAAUAUGAAGGCAUAAACUCCUAUAGAAAUUCUCAGCCGUAAAUAGAUGAUUUGGAAAUUUUUGACAUGGUAGAAGAAAAGAAACAUUUGUUUACUUUGGAUACAUCAAAUUUGAACAAUCGAACAUCAUCACAUCACAUUAUAGGAUGUUCCAUGUUUAAUCCUUGAUAAGUAUAUAUGGAACAGAUAAUGUAGAAAUGCUUUUAGAAAAAUGCCCCAAGUGACAUUUUUUGUUGUGAAGAUUAAUAGGGUGCAGGGCCAACAUUGCACCAAACAAAUUAAAAUGGUUGUUUCUUAAUUUGGUUCCAUUUUUCUUGUUUAUUUCAUGCAAAUUAAGACAUUUGAAUUCGUUUCUGACCACUAAUAUGCAAAAAUACCGUUCAAUAAUUCCUUAUACCGUGCAAAACCAAGCAUUAACCAACAACUGUUUGAUUCUAAUAAUAACCCAAAAUGCUCCCUAUAUAUUGAACUCUCCAAUUCAUCUACAUUCAUCAGCACCUGCAGUAAACAAAGAAGAAAUAAGAAGUUACUUCAUAUUCAUCUCUAAGGCAGCUGUUGUUGAUCAACUUAUUCUCACUUCAAACAAUUCAUCAUGGAAAUGAAGAAGAUCUCCCUUGCCAUCAUCGUCGUCGCUGCCUUCGUGAGCGUCGUCUUGGCAGCUGACCUCCCCAAGGACCCACUAGCAGCUGCUGCUGCUGCUGUUGGUGCUGCUACCCCAAAGGCCUCAGCAGCCCCCGUGGGCUCAGCUGGUACCACCACAAGCUCAGCAGCCUCCCCAAUUCCUUCCUCUGCAACCGGCACACCAACCUCAGCUCAUGCCCCCAGCCCAUCAGGCGCCGCCUCUGCCAUGCCCGUUGUCAGCUCUUUGGCUGGUGCCUUCCUGAUGUCCUUCUUUGGCUAUUACCUGCAGUAAGCUCAGGGAAUACAAAAUUCUUGAUGAGACUAUGAGAGUUAAAUAAGUACUUGGAAGAUGGGAUUCCCAAGAGAAGUAAGGAUGUUUAUUCAUGUUAUCAAUGUUGUUGAAUCUUAAUGAUUUAUUUUGCUUAAAUUCAGUUGCCUGUUUUCUUUCAGGCCAAAACUAAAAGAAUAAAUGUAGCAUGCAAUUACAAUGUAUAUUUAGACAGCAGUAAAAGUUUUCACAUCCAAUUUCUAUUACGGCCAAUGUUCAGUUACAUUCAGCAAUAUGUUAUUUCCGACUCUAAUCUUCAAUGUUCAAACACCACUCUGGUUGACAAACAAAUUUAUGUCAAGAAGAUGAAACAAAUACCUUUUCUUUUUUUCUUUUUUUUAAAACAAGAUUGAAUAAAUUACAGACAAAUGUCCAUCAAAAAUUAGGAUCCUCCAUUAGAUUUUUGUGCAGACAUGAGACUCUUUGUCAACCAGAUGGCUGUUUCUCUAGACGAGACAGCGUCUUCUCCGAAUGGUCUUAGCACCCCAGCAAGCUCUUCAAGUUUGUCCUGCUUUAAUAGCCGCGCGCAUACCUCUAACAGAGACUCCAGGGCGUCAGCUCUUUGCUGACUUGGAUUUUCCCAGUCACUCUUGGAAUCAUCACCACCUAUUGCAGUUAGUGUGCUCAAGGAGAUGUCAAUUGGUGCCUGAUUAACCACAUGAGCAUUAUCUUUUUCUGUCUGCGUGGAGCAAUUAUUAUUGUCUGCCUUUGCUCCCACUUCAUCUUUUUCUUUCUGUAUGGAGCAAUCAUUUUUGCUUUCAGAUGACAAGUAGUCCAGGUGACCACCUACAGGAUAUCCAUUAGAACUUUCCUUCGGUAAACAGCUUCCGGGUUCCACCUCAGAUUUAGCUGAUGACGAGCAUUUAUCAUCAGGGGAUCCAACUUUGUUGGCACAGCCUACACUGGGCACCACCAAUUCCCUACAAUUCUCUUCUUUAGCACCCUCUCCUUCUGUUCUAGCUCCUUCAGGAACUUGUUGGUCUCUACAUGACUUUCCAUCUUCAUUGUUUGAAGUCUUGACAUCAACCUCUGGCAACUGUUUGGAAUUUGUAGCAGCAGGUUCUUCUCGUUCUUCAUUUUGAGAAUUUGGUGUGCUCUCUGAUGUAAUUUCAAUGUCAGACUCGGUAUUUUCCUUUUGGUGUAUACUGAUAGUGUCAGCUUGCUUAUCUCCAUUGCAAACAGAUGCUUCUGAAUCAGUUGGUCCAUCUUUUGAAGCAUCAGUGGCAUUGGAUAAUUCCAUAGAACAGCCAACCCUCUUCAUUUCAAGCUCUUCUGCACUAACUGUGAAUACAGGGUUAUCAAUGUUUGUUAUAUACCUAUGCGUCACAUCAGCACUGCUCUCAAAUGGAUGGACCUUUUCCAGGUGGUUCAGUGUUCCAGCCUCUUUGUCUCUGUUGUCUUUGCCACUGCUGGGUUUGCUAGGCGGUGAUUUUCUAGUAGUUUUAUCUUUCAAGUUGUUUACUGGCUUUACUGGAAGAAAAACAGAUGAUGCAUUGCGACAUUGAAGAAGGUAUGGUUGUAAGUGCGGAUGCCUUAAUAACUCUGCAGCCUAACGUAAUAGAUUAUGGGAGUAUUAGAAAAAAUAAAGGUCCUCAAAUUCUUUACAUCAUGCAAGUCAGGGGUUAGCUAACUCACUGUUGGUCUGUGUUCUGGACUCUUCCUGAGCAUGCUCUUUAUGAUUUGUUUCCUGUGAUCCGGAGGCCAUACCAUAUAAGUUGAUAAAUUAGAAAAGAAAAGACAUGAAAUAUGCAGUUAGAAUAUUCAUUUAAAAUAGCACCAUUAUGUCUGAUGAUUUUGAAGAUAUUACUCACAGUGUGGAAGAAUACACAAUUGGCAGAGGAGAAAUGGUGGAUCUGUUAAUUUUAUUGAUAAGCCCAGCCAUGUCCUGUUUAAUCAGGUAAUUUAUAGGAUUUAUUUACUCAAAAAUAUAUGCCAACAGGUUUAGACGCAUCUUUGGCAGCCAAUAAUAUCAAUGCAACAUCAAACGCUCAAGCUUAUACUUACAGGAGCUCUAAAUGCAGGCUGAUGUGCAGCAAUCUCAAACAUACAGCAACCUAAAAACCAACAGAAAAUAAAAAUUAUAUCUAUUCAAAAUCAUGGGCAUGAGCCUGUGAAAAAUAUAACUAUUAAGAUUCUAGAGUUCUUACCAAGCGACCAUAUAUCGGAUUUAUAGCCAUAAGGUAUAUCUGCGAGGAGCUCAGGACACAUGUAGUUUGGAGUUCCAACAACCUAUGUUGAAAAUAUAGCGAUUGAAAAUGAACAGACAUAAGUGGAUUUAGUGAAGUAGUUGCAGGUUUUAACAGACAUUCUAGAAGUUCAGCCACAAAUACUGAGGAACUAUCCUCUCUUAAGAUAAGGUGGCCUUGUCAAAUGUGGAAUGUUUGAAUAUAGUGCUUGGUGGAGGGGAAGCAAGAGAAGUUUGCAACUAUUCUAUGGAAGUUUUCAUGAAAGAAGAGACGUACAAAAUUUUAAGAGACAGUUCUGUAGGUGGGCAUAAAGACAAUCAAAUAAUGUAAAUGCAAGUUCAUACCGAAGAAGUAAGAUCUUCUGUGUUGAGUAGUUUUGCGAGUCCAAAGUCACCUACAAGGUCCAUGUAAGAAAUACAUAUCUUUAAAAACAUCAAUAUAUGGAAGCCAAACCUUAUGCAGCAAAACAUCGCUUCUCUUAGCAAUCAUUAUGUCUACAUACCAAGUCUGAUGUCAUUGUCCUUUGUAAGGAAUAUGUUGGAGCACUGCAAACAUUAUAUUUGUAUUAAAACAAACAUCAUUAGUAUUUAUCUUCACUGCAACUACAGGUACACUAUAUUACCUUAAGAUCCCUGUGAAGUACACGAUUGGAGUGCAAGUAGUCCACAGCUAGUAACAAUUGAGUCAGCCAUUUGCAGAGCUUCUGCAGGGCAAAACAGAAUGGCAACAGAGAGCAGUUGGUUUCUACCCUUUACAUAGGUACAUAUACAGGACGUGAAGUUUCACUGAUUACCUCCUCUGGAAAAAAUUGUCCUCUGGCUUUCUUUACCAUCUCAGCUCUGUUAAGAAAUGAGUUGUUUCUCAUUCAUUAAUCAUGGGAAGUAUUGUGAUUGAUUCUCUAAUUCUUAUGUAAUAUUGAAAAAGAAAAAUCAAUACUCUCUGAAGUUCCUUAAAUGAGAUCUUAAUUCUCAUCUAUUAGAUUAGAUAUGGACGGUUGAGACGCAUCAUGGCUGUCCAAUAUCUGGUCUAAGGACUGAGAAACAAGACUUCAUUGAAGGACCCUAUUUAUGGACUUUAGAAGAACAGGACUGAACAGUAUAUAUACGUAGUUUAACAUGUUGACUAUGAAAAAUAUGAUACUAAAUUUCCUCCUAUAUUUCGUCCAAAAAUCAUGUGGAUUAUCAAUGAGUUUCAAGCUAAUAUUUGGAUGAGAAUUAAGGACUGAAAUAAGUGUUUUAACUCUUUACAAAAGCAAAAGAUGUUUUAAAAAAUGGCUGUUUCAAAUCAAUUCCUCAUUUAAAGAAGAAAAAGGGCAUUCUAGCAUACCAGAGAAAACAUAUCUAGAACAGCAAUGAUCCACAUUGUGUUACUUACAUGUCACCUCCUUCGCAAUAGCCUGUAACAAUGCAUACGCAGUCUCCCUACAGAAAAUAUAAACGUUUAAGCAUGCGUGUAUGAAGUGAAAUAUUGUUACAACAGCUAAAGACUUCUCCAAAUUUAUACUCUCAAGCCGUAUUCAAAUAUAAAGAACUUUAUAAAAGAAUCACAGAUUUACCUUGUCAACCCAAGCAUCUUUAUAAUCCACAAUAUAUGGAUUGUUUAGCUUUGCAAUUAAAUUCAUCUGCAAAAGAAAUUGAGGGAACACAUCUUUCAGUCUCACUUCAAGGACAUUGACAAUUAAGGUUUUCUUCAAAUAUGGUGGGUGGAAAACUAGAUACAAUAUCAGAAACACAUUAAUGAAAAGAAAAAAAAACACUAGUGAUACAGUAUUGAGCUGGAGGACAAAACAAGUUUUAUCGUCUUUUCUAAGUGGAUAUAACAGGGGAUUAUCCAACCAGAAGGUUACAAUCCAGGAUCAUUGUAGUUAUGAGAUACAUAUUUCAAAUGUCUGUGCAAAAGCAUGCUUGUUUCUUCUGAUUUCAUAUGCAUAUCGUUUCAAGAACGCAACUUCCCAGUAGAUUGUUACAUAAACAGAUCUUGGUAUUUGUACAGAAUGAAUUGUAGCCCAAGAAGCAGAAAUGACAGUACUGAUAUGGACAAGCAAAGAAUGAAGUUGGAGCUUAUUGAUGCAGGACGCUUUUAUAUCCUAUUUUGACUGCCAAGAAAACAGGAAAGAUGGAUAUUUGAUGCUACAUUUGAUUCAUUCUCAGAGUACAGCUGAUAUGCAAAGAGGGAGAGAACAACAAAACAAAACCUAACCCUUUGAUUGGUAAUGUAUCAUGUUGAAAAAUGGAACAAUUUGAAAAAUAAAAAAUUGUAGCUGACAGCCAGUUCUACAUUUAACAAUAUGCAAACAGUUUUCGAGAAAGCAACCUCUUGGUGAGCUGUGCGUUUGAACUUAUCUGUUUGCUUAGCCAAACGAAUCUUUUUCAACACAUACCUAUCAAAAGAAAAACUCAAUAAUUAUUAAUUAAACGCAGUUGGCAAAACAUAGGUUUAAUCAAGUUGAGCUGAGUACCAAUUGUACUAUCAAUCAAAUACAGAAUUUUGGAUUCUCGAUUACCUUUCUUGUGAAAAUUCAUACCCUGAGAUGUAAACUUUGAUAAAGUGUAUAGAAAAAAUCAGACAGUUCCCAUUACCCCAUUAUUCAGUUUUCUUGCUAAAUUCUGUCUUUAAUUACAUAAUUGUCUAGCAGAUUACAAGAAUUACAUUAUUUAAGAAAAGAUCCCUUUAAAAGUACACAAAAUUAUAAUUAAAAAAGGUUCGUAGAAAAUACUCUUACUUCUUUUUCUGAGUCUUAUGAAGAACAAGAAAAGCAGCUCCAAAUGCCCCUCUCCCAAUCUGCUCUAUCACUUCAUAAUCCUCCAUCUUUGACUUCAUCUCACCAUCAUCAGUCUCCAUAGUCACCUAAUAAGACCUUCAAAACCCAGAAGAUACAGAGUUCAGUAAGUCAACCCAGCUUCGAUGGUCGAGUCAAAAUUGCUAUAUUCACCCAAUUUGGAUCAAUUUCAUAAACUUCAAUUCAUAUAGUACCAAGAAAAUUUGCUGCUUUAUAGCAAAAUUCGACCCAAAAUUUAAAAACCCAGAAAAGAAAAACUUGCAGAAUUACCAAUAAACAAAAAAAAAACGCAAUAAUCAGCUUGGAAAGCACCAACAGCUCUGUAAUGCUCCUCAAAGGGAGAGUCUUGAGACUUUGAGGCUACUAAAUUUCCCAAAAACUAGAGAGAUCUUAUAGGUAAGAGAGAGAGAGAGAGAGAGAGAGAGAGAGAGAGAGAGAGAGAGAGAGAGAGAGAGAGAGUAAAGCUAAAUUCCAGAAUAAUAAUGAGUAUCACAACAAUACAUGAGACUGAGACAAAGACAGAAGGAAAGAGAGGUGGAAGGACAAACUCAAGUAAAAGCAACAAGAGCACUGAAAUGAUGAUUAAGAGUGUGAUGACUUACCAAAAAAAACGAGUAGAGGGAGUUAGAGAUGAGAGGGUGGAAGGGCAGUCUCAAAGUAAAACCAAAUGAGGCAGCUAAUUGUGUAAUCUUUAAUAAAACUAUACUUAAUUGGAAGUUGAUUAUCUACCAAAUAGAAAGUUGGGUUUGUGGGGAAGAGAGAGAAAGGAGAGGGCUUGGGAAGCCAAAAGCUAAAGUGACAGGUACUGAAGAGAAUGAAGACUUAAAAGAGAAAAGCAAAGCAUUGCUUGCAUUUUCAGAUUCAUGGGAGAGAGAGAGAGAGAGAGAGAGAGAGAGUCUCACCAGGGAAUGUUUUUCCAGCGCGUAGUUAUGAUGUCACUGUCCUUGGAACUUAAAAAUCUAUUUGUUUUUUGUUUUUUGGGUUUCUAUUUUGGGUUUUCUACAAUUCGUGCUGGUCCACUUUAGUCGCUGUGCUUCCAUUUAAUACUCGGCCUCUAAAUUAUUUAUUACUGAAAUUAUUCUUUUAAUAUCUCAUGAGUUGUCGCUAUAAUUCUUUAAGAAAUUUGGAGAAGAAAAAUAAAAACUCACCAAGAUGUUUGAAGUUGACCAUGAUGGCUCGUGUCUUGCAAGAUAAAUAAAGGGAUUUAUAAUUCAAGUGAUUAAAAGUAUUUAUUCAUAUACCUAAAGUCCUAAAUUCGAUUCUCCAUUCCCUCAAUAUCGCUUGUUAAAAUAAAAAAUUAAUCAUGUAAACAUCCUCAAUUACAGUCCAAAAACUUAACUUUGGUGAUAUUUCACUUUGAUCUAUGACUCUAAUCUAGCAUUUUGAAAACCUUGUAUUGCGUUCAUUAGGUUGACUAUCAAGUCAAUUGACGUGAACGUAAAAUUUGUGAAAAAAGGAAAUGGGAAAGAUAGAAAUUUAUCUUAUCUUUAAAGAAUACUGAAAAAUAAAAUAAUGUUACCAAUAUUUUGGGUUCAAAGCUUCAAAGCUACACCUAAAACCCCUCUAAAAACUAAAGCUAUUGAGAGAUGUAUCGUUCAUCCCAAAUUGACGGGUGAUAGAUACUCCGUGGUUUACCAACUAACACAGAAAAGGAAUAAAUAUCUUCAAAAUUUUCAACUGGUUAAGAAAGACUUUCAAGGAGCAAUUGGCCAUGUAGAAAGUUGCAGCUACCCAACACCCGAAACUUUCAUUGUAACGCAAAAUUCCAACACCACCAAAAACCAUCAUUGAAAAAGAUAAAUUAACUGACUGGUCACAAGCACAUUAGCAUUGAGAAAAUGCAUCUAAAACCAUGAACAGAAGAAAAGUUCACAUACAAUUUCCAUGCGCAUUUAGAUAUCUAACAAAAGGGCAUUACAUUGUUUGCGAAAAGAAAUUUGUGCACGUUAUCAGAAGGUCAAGUUACUUGUGCUUUGAUUUUCUGGAGGACAUUUUCCUUUCAAGUUUUUUCUGUGUUGCCUCAAAUUCUUCUUCUGAGGGUUCUGAAGCAGCACUACACCCGCCAUAUUUGGAAAUUAGAGAAGAGAACAUAGAAUCAAACUGGUUUUUCCUCUCAUUUCGGCGCUGAGAUAUGAUUGCAUACAGAUCCUCUGACUGUUUCUUUGGUCUGUAAAAUAUUUAACCAUAAAGGUUUUUCAUUUCUUGAUUGAGCUAAACAUUAAAUUUAAGCAAUUAAAUAAACUUGAAGCAAAGUACUCACUUGUCCUUCCUCCUUAAAGGACUAGUAGGAGGUUUUGCUUCAGAUACUUUCUUUGCCCAUUUCGUGUAGGCUUUGGUUGAUUUCAGUUCUCCUGUGAGUGAGAGAGAGAGAGUUAGCAACAUGAAAGAUACUCCAGCACACCCUUAAAUCCAGGAAAAUUCAGUAUGCCAAGUACAUCAAUGUUGUUAACAUUACUUGCAUAGAAAGUUUGAUUUCUAUGACUAAGGAUGUGCCAAUAACCCCCAUUGGAGAUAAAAUGAGAGACCCAACCAUGACAGUUAGGCAUGUUCAACAAUGAUUCAUAGAUGCACCAAUCAGGAGUGACUUAAUCAAGAUAGAUGAUAGAGCUUAGAUGAGUAAAAGUAAUUAUUAAAUAUAUGACAGGAUGUGAAUUACAUGAAAUGAUUUGUCAUAGGACAAAAUGGAGGACCAAGAUUCAUGUAGCCGACUCAAAAUGAUUGGAACAAGACUCUUAUAAAGGUUCAUUCGUUGAACCCAAAAAAACUGAAGCACUGUCAAGAGGAAAGAAUCCAAAUGGCAAGACCACACUAAGGAGCUAACUAAAGGGGGAAUCUGAGUGUCUGCUCUUGUAUUGUGGACGUCUAUAAUUUGAAACAAUCAAACCAUGUCCAACCCCAGAUUAAAUGACUCUACACAAAGACUAUGCUGUAAGUUUUGUGGUAGGGCAUCUAAGCAAACCUGGUCUAAGACAUCAUUUAAAACAAUAAAUUAGGAUCUUGAGUUUGACAAUAAGCUUAUAUUCAGUAGAACCACAAAAAUACUAAAUACAAUGUACUAGAAAUGACUAGAUAUAAUGUAAUAUCAUGAAUUUGAAAUUACUAGGUUUGAUGAAUCAUUAAACCCAUGCACUCCUUCAAUCACAUAGAUAAAUUUGCAUUGUCAACAAUAUAUUCAAGUAAUUAAACUAGAAACAACUGAAAACCCUGUUUUGAGAUUUAGCUUAAAAGACAUCCACACCUGCAGCAAUUGCCUCAUCAAGAAUAUCCUUGAAACGGUGUGAAUCAAGUUUAGGGUCUGAACAAAGCAUUGAACAGAAGAGUCUGCAAGGGAAACAACUGUCAGCACCAAACAGGAAAACAAAAGGAAAAAAGGAUAAACACAAUGCUACUACUACCAAUACCUGUUCAUAUUACCCUUGUACUUGCUAUACAGAUCAAUCAAAUCUUUCUUCUCUGAAUCGGAUCCUCUAUAGUUUGCUUCAAACUCUUCAAUAUCAGCUUCAGUGACCUGCAAUUGAUGUAUAUGUUGUCACAAAUCUAAAGAAGGCAGAGAGUGUACAAACAACAUUAUUACAUCAAAAGACAGCAUGAAGAGGUGAAAACAUUGUGACCUUUUUAUAUAUGACUCGGAAAUAUUCACGCAGAUUUUGAACAACAUCACCAGCAAGGUCCUGCUCAUGAAAAAAGCACAACCAAAAUAAGCACCAUUUGAUUAGUAAGGCAACGCUGGAUUUCCCAAGUAUCUAAACCCCAAUUUGAUCUUCCAAAGUAGUUGAGUGAGUACGAAGUAGUUAUUCUAAUUUAAGAACACCAGGUUGACACAUUUACUUGUCAUUUCUAGUAAUGCAUCCAAUUCAUCACGCUGCACGCAGCAUUGUCUAGAAAUGAACGAGUUACAAAGGAUGGGUUUUUCUUUAAAUUGCAAAACAAAGAAAUUACACACUCACAUCAUCGUCAAUGCAACCAGUCUGGUCAUAGAGUGCUCGUUUCUCCUCAUCCCCAAGAAUUGAUAUCACUUUUUGCAAUUGCUGAAACUUCUCUUUAGCUUCCUAUAAAACAAAACUGACAAAUUAUACUUGCAAAAAAUCCACAGUUCACAGUUGAGAGAAAAUCAUCAAACAAAAACACGAUUUUUUUUCGACGUUCACCUCAUCGCCCGGAUUUUUAUCAGGAUGGAGUCGUAACGCUAACUUAUAAUACGCCUUCUUUAUUUCCUGUUGAGAGGCGCUUCUAUCGACGCCAAGAACCUACAAAACAAGAAUAACCUAAUGCCUUAAAAUCCCCAAUUUUCCAAAUUAGGGCAAUGAAAGCUCGAAAAAUCUAAUUUUUCUAGCUUAAAGAAAGAGAUCAAUAGGUUAAUCAAAAAAUCACAUCACGCAAAUUCUGAAUAUAAUUCUUAAUCACCUCGUAGAGGGUCUUCUCGUUGGUGGAAGUGGGGUUGUGAUCCACGUCGCUUUGUUGUUGUUCUUCUUCUUCUUCGACUUGUCGUGCUUGCUUUUGCUCAGAAACCCUAGCUCUCUUUCUUUUCCCCAUUUUCGAAUCAGAAGUUUUGAAAUUUGGAGAAAUGGUUUAUCAGAAGUAGGGGCUCUACUUAUAUGUGAACUUUCGGGGCUUCGAUUUGUUCCCGCCAAUUCGCUCUCCAAUUUACCCUUUUCCCGCCGCGAGAAUAUGGUAGAAGAAUUCCUUAACUCUACUGAAGUUAGUGGACCGAACCCAGCGCCCGUGGGCGGGCAAAAACCCGAUCCAACUGCCCACACCAACCAAACCAACUGAGUGGGGUCCGCUUGAUUUGUCAAAGAAAAUAAAUUGUUUCGAACUGGCUACACCAUUCAAACUGGCUAUUGGUUUAAGUUACGAUUUUACGCUAAAAGUACAAUAUUUGACUGAAUCAAGCCAAACUAUGAUUAGUUUAGUUUGUUUCAGUUUAGAAACUGCACAAACGAACCAAAACCACAUAUAUUAAUUUAGUAUCUCCUUUUUUUUUUUUUUUUUCCAGGAAAAAUUUAGUAUCUCUUAUUGGUUAUUAUAAUUUUCUAAUCCUCCACAUUGAUAACAACCAUUUAAUGCCAACUGAAAUCUCUAACCUAUUCAAAUUUUACAUAAUCUAUUUUACAUAAUUUGUCAAUCUUCAAGCAAAUGGGGUCUACCCUAAUGGAAAAUGACUUUGACUUGCAUAUUAGUGGUCUCAUGUUCGAACUCCUAUGGCAUCUUAGUAGUAUGUGUGUGAAAAACCCUCUUCCCCUUAGAGUUUAAAUUAUCGCUUGUAUUAAUUUAAAAAAAUUGCAAAUCUUCAAUAAUAAUAAGUUUUCUCACAUGUUCAGUUUAUGAGUCACUUUGGCAUAUGUAAGAGGACAUAAAAUAUUUGCUUUAAGGGAAAUACAUGAACCCAACCAAACACUAAAUGAUUUGGUUUUGCAUUAGUUAUGCUACUAACUUGGGGCCUAAACUAAAUCAGUUUGAAUUGUGAUAUUGUGUUGCUUUGAAGUUUAAACCGAACCCAACAAAACUAGGUCCACCACUAUUACAAGGCAAAAAGUUACUUUCGGUUCAUGUGGUUUUACCAAUUUUACCACUAAGGUCCCUUUGAUUUCAAUUUGGUCACUUUCACCAACGUGAUUUUCAAUUCCAAGCAAUUUUAGGACGAUGCCCAAUUUCUGUCAAAUUCUUCUAACUCUGUUACUUGUUGAAUAUGUGCCUCUCAAGUGGAGGGGGCAUUUCUAUCAAAGCUGACUCUCAUAAUUCACGAGAAAUAUUGCACUUAUCUCUUGGAAGUGAAUCAUGUGGGCUUCCUUUUGGAUUGAAAGUUGUGCAAGCCAUGAAAAGCGAUUGAACUGUAGGUUGCUUUGGGCAAUACACGUCUUCGGCAUGUUGGGGCCUUAAGGCUUGCUGUGGUUUCGACAACGAUGGUGUCUUUAGCAUCUUGGUGCCUAGAUGAUUCAUGAUUUCUUCAGCACGAGUAUUGCGAAUGGAAAAUUAGGAGGUGCUAAUCGGAGGAGUGCCGAAGGGCACUAAAGAAGGGGAGAACGAUUGAAGCAUUUUGUGUCGAUCCCCACAAACGACGUCAAACUGUUGAUAACUCCAUAUUUGUGUUUAUUUUCUAUACCCUAUUCUUAUGCUUUGCAUUAGUUUCUUCUGUAAAAUUGGUUAUUUUGAUGUAUUUAAUGUGAGUUUUGUAGGAAAUCAUCUCUAAAGUUGAGUUGGAGUUAAAAAAGAAAAAAAAAUAUUGUGAAAAAGAGCAAAGAAGGCAGAAAUUUGGAAUUAGAAACUUAGAACUCAAGAAAUUGCAUGUGCAGAUGGGUCAAACUUACGGAUUUAACUGUAUGUGCUCAAGAAGAAUCAGAUAACGUGUUGUAUAUUCUUGGAAAGCUCUGGAAGUCUAGUUUCUAGAGAAUUUUACGGUUCGUGAUUUCGAGUUUUAUGGAGAAAGUUACAUCAAUUUUAGUACAGUGGGUCAGUGCUAGAAUUUUGCGCGAGUUUUGACAACUUUGCAUCACAAAUUACCAUUCUUGGUAAGCAGGCUUUUGGACAUCCUUGGGAGUAUGUCCACCCCAAAAGGCUAAGGGUAAGGCUAAGGCAAGGCAAGGGCUGUCACUAUUCAUGUGAAUAGUGGCAGCCUUGCCUUUUUUGGUUCCACCCCAAAAGGCUAGGACAAUGGCAAAUACUAUUCACAUGAGAUAUGAAGAAAUGAAUUUGUAUAGAGUUUUUGGUGUGGGAAGUAAAGAAUAUGGUUAGGUAUUUAUAAAAAAAAAUAAAAAAAUUUGUAUUUUUUUCCCUUUUUUUUUGUUGCUGACGUCAUUAUGAUGUCAACAUUACAUCAUUCUGCCCAGGCAGCAGUUUGGGCUGAAUUUGCCUAUGGGCUUGCCUGGGCUCGUGGGACCUAGCUCUUGCCAGGGCUAAACCUUGUGCGCUAGAAGGGGUUUUGGAGCCUGGGGCUGCCUUUUACCCGGGCUGGGCCCAAGCGCUGGAGUUGCUCUUAGGAGGCACCUAAUCUUGUGUUAGGUCAAUUAUAAAUCACCUAUAAUUGCCUAGAUCAAUUGGCAUUUGGUCUGGUCAAAGAAGUGCAUCAAAAGUCAAAGACUAACUCAACUAGGAAAACAAACUCUCUAUUCUAAUUGGAUUUUAUUCGUAUUUUUCUCUCCUAUCCCACACUGACCUAUUCCCCAAUAUCCAUAAUGAUAUUUCUUUUGUUCUUGUUAGGCCAAUUGACCUCAACCAUGUUGGUGGGACAAUGAUUAUUGUUUACUGUCAUGCUUUCAGGCUUAUCCAUAAGGGUUUGCCAUCUACUAUCAAAUCUUGAAUUUGAUCUCUAAAUUGCACGCAAUUAACAAUGACAUGAGAGAAAGAGUUGUGUCACUUAUAGUAUGAUUUCCCCUUGACUUCCUCAGGCUUUGUGAAAACAUGCUUAUCAUCAAACUGAAUCAUCUUGGCUCUCAUUAGCUCAUCAAAAAUACUCUCUACCUUGGACAAGUCAAAAGAAUAUGACUUAUACUUCUGCUUAUAAGACAAUGGCCAUGUUAGUAUUUAUGUGCUCGAGCCCUUUUUCAACCAGUCCCUCUACGAUUUCCAUAUCAUGAAUUGGAUUCUGAGUCUUCAAGUAAGUAGAUUUGGAAGUGUUCUUCCUUUGAAUUUCUUCUUUUAGCAACAGUUCAUACGUCCCUGCCCUCUGAGCUAUAUCUUGAAGGUCCACAAACUUAGUAUCAUCAAACUUCUUCCUUAGAGAAAUUUUUAGGGCAUUUUGAGCAAUUUUAAUGAAAUGUUUUUCCUCCAUUGGAAUCUUACAUUUCAUCUUGAUCUUCUUGAAUCGGGCAAUAAAAUCAGGAUCCGUCUCAUGCUUAUGUUGCUUUAAAUAAGUAAGAUCAUUGAUAGUGAUUUCGGGCUCAGACCUAUAGUACUGGCUGGUCUAUGAAAACUGUCUCCAUUUCAUUCCAGUCUUGAAUAGAAUUUGGAGGCAAAUUUAAAUACCAAGUAAAAGCUUGGCCCGAUAAUGAACUUCCAACCAACCUUAACUUCACUAGGGGCUGAGUCUCAAUAGCAACACAAUGAGCUAAGAAACACCUAAUGUGUUCUAGAGCUGAAGCGUAGAGAUCUUCCCCAUUGAAUAAGUUGAAAUUUGGAACUUAAUUUGAAACCCCUUGGGAAAGGAAUAUCAUUAAUAUGAGCUGGAUAAGGUUUUUGGUAAAUAGACCUCAAGAAACUGGAGCUGCUACUGCAAAAACAGGUGGAUGAAUAGGUAUUUCUUCCAUCUCAUCAUCAGAAUCUUGGAUUGGUUCAGGUUGUUGCACGUUAUUCCCUCUACCUCUGUCAUUGCCUCUAAUAUUGCCAUUGUUGUUGGCAAUAUGAGUAUUAAAAGCAAGGGGUUGCCUCCAUCUCUCAGCAUUCACAUUUCUCCUUGAUGGCUCUGGUGGCAAAGCUGCUUCACCAUGUCUCUGAGCUUGAUACCUUGGUGGAGGAAUAAUAGCAGGCACCUCCACAGCCAUAGCUUGAUUAUUGUUGGUCUCAUCUUCAGCAGUUACCACAGGUGCAACUAGUAUUAUGAUCGGGGUCGUAAUUGCUAGUAUAAUUACUGGCAUAGGUACAUCAAAUGGACCUGUCACAUGAACCUAUGAAGAUGGAGAAUUGGCAUGAUCACUGGUUUGCCCUUCAGUAAGUCUCGUUAUCUAUAUACCAAAUGCUCUUGAAGCCAUUUCAUCACUUUGUGGGCUUCGACUACCUUGUGCUAUCUAUGUUGAUAGCUGAGGAAAUAUGAAAGAGUUUCACUUCUUGAAGCUUGGCAUGGUGUUUUGCUUAGGCGUGCCACUAUUGGAACUAGCUGCAGCGCAAUAUAAAUAUGGAUGUAGUGUAAGAUGAAUUUACACAGAUCUUGACUCCUAAUUAAGCCAUUGUGCUCCAAAGGUGUACUGGCUCGAAUUAGUUCUUUUAUACGCCUCAAUUAAGAGGACUUCAAUAUUCUUUUAUGUGUGCCCUGGCGAUGUAGUAGAUAUAUUGCGUAUCUUGUAAGAUGGUUUACUGUUUUAAACCACUAAAGUGAUCUUCUAAUCGAAUAAGGAUUCCUAAGAACUCAUGGUUUAUCAGAAAGUCUAUUCCUAUCUGAUAUGGCAGCCUAAUAUAAGUGUUCUAGAUAUAUAUUAACAGGCUUAAGGAUUCCUACUUUGAUAAGGAUUAAGAUUACCUAAUCCUAUAAGCAUUAAGGUUAUCUCUAAGAGUUCAUUGAUGGGCUAAACUCAUAGAGAUAUGCAUAUAAAUAAGAGGCUCCUUCUAGAGCCGAAACACACACAAAUAAGCAUACAAAUAUUCACCCCAAAAUCAGAUUUUUCACCUCAGCUCUCUCUCUCCUGGCGCGCUCAACUUUUCUCUCUCUCUCUCUCUCUCUCUCUCUCUCUCUCUCUCUCUCUCUCUCCUCCGUUUCUCUCUCCCCGACCCGAGCACUCUCUCUCUUCGGUUCUCUCAGCUCCGGCCACGGCAGAACGUGAGACCAGUCCCAUUAGCUGCAUUUCGACGCCCCGGUCAUGGCCUGCAGUUUUCCCCGCCAGAAAACUCGAGUAUCACCGACGAUAUCGACUGGUUUGAACCGGAGAUUUCUCGUCGUUGAGCCAUCGCCUCCGCCGCCCGAUUCUGGUGAAAAAUGUGAGGUUUCUUCCUCUUUUUAUUUGUUCUAGCUGUCUGUUGCUUGGGAUUAGAUCGAUUUUUAGUUUGGGAAAUCGAAUUUGAAAACCUAGGUUUUGGCCGAAUUUCAAAGUGAAAUUCCGGCCAGUUGCCGUCCUAUUUGGACCUCCCCGUAGUUGAAUAAAGUGAUCCUUGCUUCGAGUAGAACCUAGGGUAGGAAGGAGGAGCGGUGGUGUGGAGAAUUUCCGUCGUCAGAAUUUACUCUACACACCCACACACUGCCGCCGAUGUGGCGGCAUGUGGGCAAAGGUGGUGAAGCUAUAUUUUGUCCUGAUGAGAUCCUCAUGUUGUCACGAGUGUAUAGAAUUUCGCGGAUCUCAAUUCGAACGUCGUUUGUCUAUCUAACGAAUUUCGCAUAUUGUGCGUUAUCCGAGUUCGAUAGGUUCUGACCGUUGGAUCGUUUUCCAAUUAAAUAUGUUGAUCUAAGUACUCUUAGAAUCGUAUAGGAAUUUGCGGAUCGUGAAUCGGAGCCCCGGAUGUUCCAAUUCAAUAAUUCAAAGUUUGUGGGUUAGCGAUAACCGUCCAAUCGUGAGCGAUUCCUAAACCUGUAACUGGACCUUAGGAUACCUCGUUCAACGUACACGCACUGGGAACUUAGGAAUUUAAGUAAUUAAUUUGUGAUUUCCGUUUCGAAGUAAUUUUAUAUUGAUUAAGGGUUCGUAUCUCGAAACAGGUGCUCCGACCGCUCGUACCCAGCAGGCGAGACCCUCUCGUGGUCAGGCAGCGUGGGAAUACUUGUGAAUGGACUUUGUUUUUAAUCAUAUGCAUGGUUUUAUUGAUGAAAGAUUUAUGCAUAAUGUUUUAAAUGGUAUAUUGAAUAUAUUAUAUUUAAAUAUUGAAUUUGAUGUUUGUAUAGCGCUUUGGCAAUAUAUUGUGGGUUUGACAUAUUUAGGUAUCGAGAGUAUGUUUGUAUGGAUUUUGGGGAAGUUCUAUAUAUAUAGUCGAUAGGUAGGAUACUUAGGUUGUUGAGGUGAGAUUGUGGAAGGACUUAAGUAUGAGGGGUUGUUGAGAAAAGUUGUAUGAUUACACUAGGGGUGGAUACGGUUCGGUUUGGACCCAUUUUUGCCUCAAAUUAGAACCGAUCCGGUACUAUUUAUCUGGUUUGGUUCGGUUCGAUUUUAAUAAAAAAAAUUUCAAAAACUGUCCGGUUCGGUUUGAACCGAUUUCGGUCCACUUCCGGUUUCGAUUCGGUUUUGAACCAGAUUAUAAAAAUUAUUUUUUUAAAUUAUUUUUUAAUACAAUUCUCAACUGAAAUAUUAUUUUUUUUAAACUUGAAAAUUAACAAAUUAUUCAAUUUCAUAUAAAUAAAUAAAUAUUAAAGUUAGAAAAGAGAGAUAUUUUGAAAUUGAACUUGGAUAAAUAUUAGUUUUUUUUAUUAUAGUGAAAUUCAAAAUAUAGCAUUAAAUAUAAAUAUAUAUUGAAAUUAUAUAUAUUUUUAAUUUGACCGGUUCGAUUCGGCUCAGUCCGAUUUUUAAAGACAUGGAACCAGAUCCGGAACAGGUCCAAACCAGUUCGGUUUGAUUUUUGACUGUUGUUGACGUUUUGGUCAACUCGGUUUUUUUCGGUUUGGUUCGGUGCGAUUCGGCUCAGAUUUUCGGUUCGCCGGUUUGAGUGCCUACCUCUAGAUUACACUUGUAAGUAUCUUCCCUAGUAACUAGGCUUCCCACACAUGACGUUGGAUGUUCCGGCGUGUGAGACACUUCCCAUACGCGGCAUUGGAAUUUCCCGCGUAUGGGAAGAUUAUAUAUAUUGCUUGGGAUCAUCACACAUGGUGUUGGAUGUUCCGGUGUGUGAUGAUGUAGUCUGCGCGCAUAGGACUUAGUAUUUGAGCUACACGUGACGUUGGAUGUUCCGGUGUGUGAGCUAUGGAGUUUCGUCCCCCAGUUGGACCGGUCAUCCCUAAACGCAAGAUAGCACCUGAAAAUCUUACGGGCUAGUCAAACAAUCCCCUGAUUGGAUUGUUUCUCCGGUACCUAGGUAGUGUGACGGGUAUAUUAUAUAUUGUAUAUUUGUAUGUAUAUAUAUAUAUAUAUAUAGUAGUGGAAUUUUGGGGAUGAGGUUUAUGGAUUGAGUGAUUUGUGGUUUUAAAGGGUUUUAAAGAAUAAUGUUUUUGAGCAUCUAUUUAUGAAUUGUGAAUGUUCAUGAUGUGAGCAUUAUUUUUACACGGUGGGGUUGUUAUGUUGUUUUAAAUGCAAAUCUUGUUUUUGUCCACUCACAUAUUUUCUGUUUUGCGCCCCCCAGCCAUUAGUCGCUCCAGGAGGGUUGCAAGCGGUGUUCGAAGGCCGAAUCGUUUACAUCAGUAGAUUAGGCUUCGAGUAAUUUCCUUCUACUCAACUGUUGUUGUAAACUAAAUCUGUUAGACGCUCUGUUAUUGCCCAUAUUAGGUUUUUACUUGAGGCCGGAGGCCAUUUACUGUGAACUGUUGUAUGUUAAAAGCAUGCUGCUGGUCGGGAUCUUAUUAUGUAUUCUAUGCAGGUUGAAUUUUUUGUUGGGUUUGUUCAAUUUACAAGGGUGACUCUGCCAAAAUUUUGGUAGAAAGUCUCGAUUUUUAAUAAGUGGGCCCGGCAUCGGGGUGAUGUCGGUAAAAAGACAAAAUUCGCUCCAAUUUCUGAAAAAUUUCGAAGCGGGUCUCGUCAAACCAUGGUUCCUUGCAAUUUCAGAGAAGACUGAAGGAAGGUGCUGAAUUUUGUUGUAUACCUCCAAUCCUUCAACUCUUUCUAUAAAUUAAAUAGAUUACAGCUAGUCUACAGUACACACAAUACAUGAGAAAAGUAUAACCUCUCUUAUUCUACUCAACCUAACCUCCUCAAAACUCUAACCCCCCCUUACCUCCUACGUCGCCAUCCACCACCUAGUGCUCAGAACUUUUACACCACGAUUACUUGAGGUAAUAAUCCUGGAUCUGCCAGCACUAAAAUUACACACCCAUUUGUUUGGAGCAUCAUGGCAUCUACAUUUGUUUAUUCUUUUCUAAAUCAUCUAAGUCAUUGCCAACGGAUGCCCUUAAUUCCUUCACAUUUCUUACUCCAGAUUUAUAUUCUUUGCUAGUGGUGGAAUCUACCGGGCCUGAGGAAGGGCCUUAACCACUGGGCCAACAUGAUAUUUAAUUUUAGUUAUUUUGUCUUGUGCUGUGUCAUAGGUACGUUAGCAU
This 114317-nucleotide long non-coding RNA is filed under the name Prunus persica (peach). Its description in RNAcentral is "long non-coding RNA (PPER_LNC007285)". The record is from RNAcentral. Lineage: Eukaryota; Viridiplantae; Streptophyta; Magnoliopsida; Rosales; Rosaceae.